Molecule: long non-coding RNA, 98705 nt
Filed under: Populus tremula
Lineage: Eukaryota; Viridiplantae; Streptophyta; Magnoliopsida; Malpighiales; Salicaceae
Description: long non-coding RNA (PTRE_LNC001271)
Source: RNAcentral
UUUCAAAAAAAAAAAUGUGUUUUAACAUAUAUUUCUUAAAUACAAAAAUUAUUUUCUUGUAUUUUGGAUUUUACAACAUGUUUUUAAAUUUCAAAAUGUUUUGGCCAUUAUUUAAAAAUCUUAUUUUUCAAUAAUUUAUCCUUAUUCACUAUCAAUAUUUGGAUACAUAAAUCUCACAUGGUUAAUAUUCAAAUAUUAUUGGGAAUAAUUUGACCCUCAAUUAACCAUUAAACUUUUAAUUUUCUUCAAUUCGACCCUCAAUUGACCAUUAAACUUUUAAUUUUUUUCAAUUUGACCUCUGAUUUCAAUCAAUUAAAUCCUCAUAGUUCGAUGCAUUUUUCAAAAUGGUCAUUGGUUGUGAAUUUCUUCUUUUUAACCCUUAAUUCACCUCCUAAAAAAACUUCCAUUUUCAUGCGAUUUUACCCUUGGUUUAAACCAAUUCACUUUGUAAAAAUUAAGUUUGGUCUCCAAAAAUUUCAAUCUUCUCAAUUAAGCCCAAAUUGGGCUUUCAAAUUUAAGUUUUCACCAAUUAAGCCCCUAAUAAAAUUAAUUUGACUCAUUUACAGUAUAAUUAAAUCUUAGCACCUAAUUAAAUCCUUCAAUUGGACCCAAAAUUAAUUCUUAAAUAUAAUUAAACUUUAAUUUGACCCAUGAUUAAAUCAAAUUGACCUAUUAAAAAUCUAAUUAUGUCCUUAGGCUUAAUUUUUAUGUAUAUUCGUUCAAUAAUAAUUUAAUUUGACCUUGAAUAUGCAUUGUUUCUUCCGUUGUGGGUAAAAUAGGGUACAAUUAGGUUGUUGAUUCUAUCUAAAAUUGCAGCUUAAAUUUCCUACAUUUGAAAUCCUUCCUCAAUUAUUUUUUUCCAUUUCGUUAGUCUCUUUAUUGUUAUUGUUUUAUUUUUAUUUUGAAAAGAAAAAAAAAUAAAUUUUAAGAAUAGCCCAAAAAUAAAUUAUGACAUAAGAUAUCGUUUAUUAUCUUAAAACAAAAAACACGGAGACAUGGAGAAUGAUAUAGAAUAUAAAACUUAGUCUGAGUUGUACUUGGAAAUGGUAUAUAAGACAAGUUGAAUAUUUUUAUUUUUUAUUUGGUUGAUGAACGACAAGGUAAGAUAAAAUACGAAAAGAGCUUGUUAUAUUAUUGCUAUCAAACUUACAAUGUUUGGAACAAUAAAUAAAAAUCAUUAUUUUUAUUUUAGUUUAUAAUAAGUAUUAAUUGUUUUUUAUCUAACUUAAAAUGGUAAUAUCUCCACUCAUCAAAAUCAUGUUAAUUUUAUUUUUUUUGUAAUCAUUGUAGAAAAGAUAAUCAUUUCAAAAAAAAAAAAUAGUAUAGUUAAAUUAUGUUUUGCUCAAUCAUUAAACAAAUAUUAAUUGUUAAAUAUUUCUCAACUUUGAAGUGGUUCAAUCAAGUGUGAAGAUAUUUAUUUCUCAAAAAACAAUGUUCAAGAAAUAUUAGGCAAGUUCAAAGUGAAUAAUUGUAAUUUAAUUAGUACACUAAUUGAAUUUGGUUUGAAACUAAAUAGAAAUCAAGAAGGAAAGAAGGUGAAAGACACCCUUUACAAGAAAGAGAAUUAUAGGGAGUUAAUUUGAUGUAUCUAACAAAUAAGAAGGCUAGAUAUAAUGUAUGCAAUAAGUCUUGUUAGUAGAUACAUGGAUAAUCCAAUAGGAAUUUAUCUUUUGAUGACUAAAAGGACAUUUCGAUACUUAAAAUGUAUUAUAAGUAUGGAUCACUCUACAUGAAAAGAGAAAAGUCUGAUUUGAUUGCCUUUACUGACAAUUAUUAUGCCGAAAAUCAAGUUGAUAUAAAAGGCAUUUGUAGAUAUGUUUUUAAACUUGGUUCAGGAGCUAUUUCAUGGUCAAGUAGUAUGGUUAAAAAAAAUUAUUGAAGAACUUUACUUGAAGAGACAAGAGCCUACAAUAUUUCUUUUGUGAUAAUUAAUCAAUAAUUAAACUCUAAAAUAAAUAUAGUUCAACAUAGCAGAUGAGUGCAUAUUGCUGUAAAGCUUCACUACUUAAGAGAAUUGAUAAAGAAUGGAAUGAUUGCAAUCAUCAAACAAGUUGCUAAUAUAUUCAGUGAGACUCUCCAAUUGAAGUUGUUGGUGAAACACAUAGGAUUACAUGGUAUUUGAACUCAAGAAGACCUUGUUUGAAGGAGAGUCUUUAAUUUACUAAUACGAGUGUUUAAGAAAAUCAAUUUAAGUUUGGUGAUCAGUUUAAUAUAAGGGGAUAAACAGUGUCACUAUAGUAUUUUUAGAUUUUCUUUUAGUUCAUAGUGUUAAUUUGUAAAAUUGAUCUUUAAUUCUUGUGUUAAUUUUCUAUGAUACAUUAUUUAUACAAGAGCAAGCAAAUUAAAACAGAAUCCAACACAUCAAAUCAAGCUAAUAUAACUUAUAAAGAUGAAUUGAAAUGAAAUAACAUUAAAUGGUUGAAGUGUAAGAAAAUUUAAAAAAACAAAAAACAAAACAGGGAUCUAAUAAAAAAAGGAGUGCAAAAACUAGACUGAAUUGUUGAAAAAAAAAAAACAGACCAUGUUUGUUUCCGCGGCUAGGCCAUGUUUUUCAAAAAAAAAAAAAGUAUUUUUGCUUCAAAUUAUUUUUAUAUUAUUUUAAUAUAUUAAUAUUAAAAAUAAAUUUAAAAAAUAAAAAAAUAUUCUCUCAUCGAACAACCAAGAAAAAGUUGUUCUUAUAUUAGUUGAUAGAAACUAUCCUCUCCCCUACAUGACAGCAUAGCUAGAAACCUACCAGAGAUUCCAUCUCAAAAUCAAAAUAUCUGCAGCUAUACAUCAAGCUUUCUCCAUCUCUACAUCCCAAGACAGAUGUUUCCCUGGGUCUACUACGAGUAUCCAUGCUUGUUUUAUUGAAUUCAGUGGGGUUUAUGAUCAAGAUUAUGAAUUUUUCUUGUUUUUAGAAAACAAAUUAACAAUGCAUAAACAUUUUUUUUUUUUGUUAUUUUUUUUUUAUGUUGACCCACGAAGUAACAUGAACCAACUUUCUAGUUAACAUAAACUAAAAUAGUGUAAAUUCAUGGUUCAUCUUCUCAAAGCAUUAAAAUAGUAAAAUAAUGAAUUCAUCAUUUAUUUUUAAUAUUAAUUUUAUUAAGAACUAAGUUUGUAAUAUUAAUUUUAUUAAAAAUUAAAUUUGUAAUUUAUUUUAAUUUAUCUUCUGUAUAGAUUAUGAUGUCUUAAUAACAACACUCUAACCCAGCAACUCCAACCGAAUAAUGUUCAACAGUUAUAAAGUGUAUUAUGCAUGAAUUUAAUUAAGUGGUAUAUCAUCAAUAUGUCUAAAUAAAAAUAAUAAGACUCGAACUUAAAAUUCUCCUUCCUAUCAUCAGAAUUCAUCCAAUAACUAAAUAAUAUAUAACGUGGGAAUGAAUCUAUAUGGAAAGAUUUCAAGAGUUUGAGGUAUCUUUAUAAAAGUUAAGUUGAAAGCCAAAACGAAAAGAAAAGAAAAGGUAAUAGCAUAAAAUAAGCUGAUAAAGUUUAUAUUGAGACAUAUCAUCAAACCAACACAGAAUACAGCCAUGCUAAUAGGAGUAAUCAUUUUUUAUUCGGUUUAAUUCGAUUUUUAUAUAAAAAAAAAAUUAAUUUUUUUAAAUAAAAAAAACCAAAACCGGUUUCGCUUGGUUUUUCAGUUUGGCUCGAUUUUGGCUCGGCUUUUUCCGGUUUGGCUUGGUUUUUGCGGUUUGGCUCGGUUUGUUUUGGGUUCGAUUUUUUCGGUUUUAGGCUUAUAAAACCAAAACCAAACUAAACCAGUCGGUUUUUUCAAAAUUUUAAUCAAUUUAAUUGGGUUUUUUUUCACAAUUUAGUUUUUUAAUUAUUAUUUUUCAUGUUUUCUCGGUUUUUUGGUUUUUUUCUCACGCUUAAAACCAAUAUAUCCUUGUGGGUCUCUAUUUCUCUGCUUACAAAUUUGUCUCUUAAAAAAAAACAAACAUUAAAAAAAAAAAUAUGUCAUUAAUUUCAAAAUAAUUAAGUUAUUAAUUAUUGGGUUUUGCAUCUUGAGAAUAUUCCAAACAAAUUUGAAGUUCAUCGAAAGAUCAAUUUGAAGUUCAUCGAAAGAUCAAUUAUUUCAAAUUUAUCUACUAAUUUUUUAGUUUGAUUAGAAUUCAAAAUAUAUCCUAUAAAUGAUUAUAAAACUUAACAAUAUAUUUUACACUUUAUUUCAUACACAACAUACAUUUUACAUUAGAAAAAAGCCAUAAGACAUACAUUGUAUUUAUUUUAACAAAACAAGAGCUAUUAAACUUGGACAUUUCUCUCGCAAUAAAAUAAAAGUUGUAUUUAAUCUUCGCCACAUUUAAUCUUCGCCACUGCGAUCUGCAUUGAUCUCAUCAAGAAUCACCACAAGAGCUGUUAUAAAGGCAUAAUCAACAUUAGGAUACACAGUCACUCCAAAACUGUCUGUAUCCAAAAUAGUACUUGCGAGAGAAUGUUUUCUAUGCAUCUGCAUUUACGUGAAAAAAACAAUAUUAGUAUGAGCUCUUCUGAAGAUAAAUUUCAUGAUUAAAAUAGGAUAUAUUAACCAAUUAGAAGCCUUUCAAUUUGCAGUAAAUAAAGGGUAGGGCAACAAGUUCCAAAUUAACCAAAAUGUAAAACUCGAAUAUUAUAAGUGCGGGUGUGAAUAAAAGAAAUUCUCAAACAAUAUUAUUGUUCUUAUUAAUCGUUUAACUAUGUUAUGAAAGAACAAAAAAGGUAAAUUGAGAAACGUAAAAUAGUAUAUCUAAUGUGAAAAUAUUUCUAAAAACUUGUAUGGUGCCCUAUUUUAAAACCUUACCCAUCAAGUUAAGGGGUCUAGGUUGGCCAUGAUUUAAUAAAAAUAAAAAGAUAAUUAAUUUAGUAUAAUCUUUUUAAAAACACAGAUAAUCCCUGACCCUGUUAGUCAAAGUAAAACUCGGUCAUAACUAAUUGAUUUUUUUCUUUUUAGUUAUUUUUCAAACUAAUAUAAUUUUUUUUUAUGAAACAAAAAAAUUUAAUUCACCUCGAGAUCUAUAAAUUUCCCCAAAUCAAGUUUACAAAAUUAUAGCAUCAUAAAUAAAAUAACAAUAAUUGAAAUUAAAAAUCAAUUGGAUGCAAACCACUAUAUUUAAUGUUUCUUAGCAAUGGUCCUUUGAUACUAUUUAAAACUAUAAUUAUUGAAUUAAAAAAAAAUCUCCUUGAAAAGUUACCAAUUAUUAAGGGUGUCUUUGGUAUUGCGAUUACUGUUGUGGUUGUGGUUUUAAAAAAGUUGUUUUAUAAAAAGUACUUUUAAUUGAGAUUGGUUUGGAAAAAUAUAUGUUUGGUUAAAACUGUGGUUGAAAUUAAGGUUGGACAAAAAGUAAUUUAAUGUGUUUGAUUAAAAAAAAUGAUUUUCAAAUUGAGAUUAUAAAAUAAUUAACAUAUAUAUAUAUAUUAAUGAUUUUUAAUUUAAAUAUUAUAGAUUUAACUACUGUUAUUACAUCAUGAAAUAAAUAAUAUUGAUAUCAAAUAUUUUUUAUUAUUCCAUUAAACUAUGUGCAAUCUCAUUACAUAUAAAAUCUAUCCAACAAGGACUAUAUUUUUCAUGGUUUCUUAAGCGCACAAUAACAAAAACUGAAUUUUUUAAUUUAUGUAGUGUUAUUAAAUAAUAAAGAUUGUGAUAUCUUUAUUAUUGGAAUUGCGAUCAAAUUCCACAAAUGCUACGUCAUCAUGCGAUAUCUUUCUAAUUUAUAUAGUGUUAUUAAAUAAUAUUAAAUACUAGUUUUUCGAGUAAAACACAAUUUUUUUAAAAAACAUUACAAUUUCAUUACGUACAAAAGUCAUUCGAUAAGAACUACAGUUUCCAUAAUUUUUUGAGCGUGCAAUAAAAUAUGUAAAAUAUUAUCAAGAAUAAAAUUAAGAUUAAAGUACGAGUAAAUUUAAUUCGCCUUAAACUAAUUUUUUUUUUAAAAUAUUGUUCACAAUUAACUGCACUGGUUUUUCGGGGAAAAAAAAACUAAACUUUUCUCAUUGGUUUUUCAAAAAAAUAAAAAAAUUGAACAUUGCGACAAUGGAGCAUGGCUCCACUGUUCAUUGAACAGUGGAGCCCUAAAAAUAAUCACAAGAAGCAGCAAAAUGCUGCUUCUCCAAUCCUAUAGCUGGACAGCAAAAAUCAGUGGGCCCUACCAAGUAAAAUCAGCUUUGUUUCCUUUACUAAACAUUAAAAUGUGUGGCUGCGGGUGAACCUCACCCGCAACCACAUUAACAAACAACAUUUAAGACUCAAAAUACUAUUCAUUAUAUAGUAUAAGUAUAAAAUCACCCUUGAAAAAAAUAAAGCAUUGAAUUAAGCAUUAAGGAUCAUGUAGUCUUUUCACAAUGACAUAAUUAUCUUUUACAAAUUUUAUGAAGUUAGACAGGCCAUUUCUAUUUUGUGCACAUUAAAAUUAUUAAUUUAACCCUAUAAUAAAAAAUAUAUAAUGCCUAUUAUUAAGGGUUUUUUUUUUCUUUUUAAUUUUGUUUUAAAACAGUGUAAUUAUUUUAAUAUCUUUGAUAACAAAAUCAACAUCUCUCUUAUAUAGGUGUUUUUUUUUUCAUUUCACAUUAGUUUUAUUAUAAAUUCCAAUGCUAUUCAAGGGCAUUGUUGUCAUUUAUAUUAAUUAAAUGUAAUUAAAAAAAAUUAUUGACACGUGUAAAUGACCCCGCAUUGUUUGAGCAACGUGUAUGGGUUCAUCUAGCCACCUAACAAUGUAUUUUGAAGUGGCGUUUAAAAGGUGUUAACUACUUUGAACUUCACGUCCGCAAUUAAUUUGGGUGGGCUCCAAUAAUGUUUUUCCAACCUUUUUCAAAUGUUUUUUUAAUUUUCAUUUUCAUUAUUUUCUUUACUAGAUAUUGAACUUUAUCUAUUUUUUUUUUAGAGUUAUCAUAUUUCUAUUUAAUUUAUUAGAAAUUGAUUUUUAAUUUUUUUUUUAUAUUUUUUCAAUAAGAUUAUCUCAUCUCAUGUGAAUGUUUUACAAGUUAUUCCAGUUUAAUUAGGGAAAUAAAUUAGCUUUAAACUAUUUUUAAUAAUUUUUUUUUAUUAUUUUUUUGUUUGUUUAUUUAUUGUUGUUAUAUUUUUAAAAAUUAUUAAUUUAACCAAUACCUCGUAUCUUGAAUUUAUUUUCUUGUCAUUAUAUUUUUUUUUAUAUUGAAUUUGUUUUUGUUCCACCAGCCACAAAUCUAGUUAAACAAUAAUUACCUAUUAAAUAGUUGUUGACUUAGGACUAAAAACUGAAUGAGAGCGUCCAACUUACUUGUGCAAGCAUGGUAUUGGAAUCUCCAAGAAGUAUAGAGCAGGAACUCUCGCUGUAGCCUCCUUUGACCUUGAAAUCAGGGACCUCUCCUUUGUUAUUACCCAAGAAUACGUCUAACUCAGUCUUGAAUUGGAACAGCUUUGAUUUCUUGGCUGUGAAAAGCAAGUCUUUCUCCUCCUUGCUUUCUCCUCUAAAAGCUUCCCACCUUCGAUGCAUGGUCAUUAUCUGGAGAAAAGGAUAACACGCAGCAAGCCAUAUCAUUGAAGAAGAAGAAGAAAACAAAUGAAAUGAUCAAUUAAGCAUACCUUCUGCCUGAGAUUGACAAGGGUGUUACCGGCUGCAUCUUUCAGAAAACGACGAUCAUGCAAGCUUAAGAGUUUACUCUUGACUUGGAAGAUGAGGGUGCCAUUAAUGUCAGACACCUUAAAAUCAUUCUCUCCAAGACUCCAUAGCUUUGUGGAGACGGCGAGUUCAACAGGGUACUGUGCCAGGUACUGUGGCCCUAUUACCACCACUGGAUGCUCCACCGGCGGGUAUGUUCUCAUAGCUGGAAGGGGGUUGCCUGAUGCUUGUCCAGCAGCCAUAAUCACAGAAACAAAAUAUUACUCGAAGAAAUAAACAGAAAGAGAAACAGCUAAUUUCUAUAUCAUGCAGGUCUUGAUGGUUUUUAGAAGUAGUCUUUGAGGAGAAUGAUGGAUGUGUUUUGUAGUGCCACUUAACAUAUGGCAUGUCGUGUCUUUAAAUAAAAAAAGGGGCAGUCUUUCUUUCAAAAUGACAACAAUAAGAAAGGCCUCUUCUUUUAGCAGUGGAGCUGGCAGACACGGUUUUAUGAGUUUUUUUCUUGUGAACAAAUGAUGGCACCUAGGACAGUUUGUUGUCUUCAUCCCUAUUUUGUGGUUUCUUACAAUUUUAAUCCUUAAAUGUUUCUUCAUUUCUAUUUCAUCCUUUAAUGCUUCAAAUUGUCUUUUUAAAUUUAUUUAAUAGGGGAUUUUUUCGCUUUAAAUUUAUGUGCUUCAUCUCUCAUAUCCAGUUUUCUGGGAACUACAAUUACAUCCCACAAAAAAUUAGAAAUUAAGGACCAAUAUUACCGUGUGAAACAAUGAAAGGAUGAAUUUAGAUUUUAUUUGACACGGAGAUAAGGUAAUCCCAAAAGCCAAUAUAUCGUCGCCAUGUCUGCAACCUUAUCUCUACAGCAGAGAUGGGGACAGAAAGUGGGGAGAGAACGAGUAAAAGACUUCAAAAAAAAGAAGACAGUAAAGAGGGGGUAGAGUCAUGGAUUGAAAGGACGGGCAUUAGUGAAAGGUGCAUUAGCGAAAAUGGUCUGGAGUAGACAUUGGGUUUUCUUGGUGGAGCAUUUAAUGAUUUUUUCUUUUUCUUUUAUUUUUUAUUUUGGAAAAAUGAGUUGUGCUUUUCAAUUUAGGUGCAGGGAAAUCAUACCUGCUCUUGAAAUUCACAGAUAAAAGAUUCCAUCCCGUUCAUGAACUCACCAUCGGUGUUGAAUUCGGAGUUCGCAUGGUCACCAUCCAUGGCGUAUGUACUUUCCUCUUUUUUUCUUUUUUCUUUUGUCAUUCCCACACUCUCAGUUUUUUCAUUCCAUCAGAGGAAGCGUUGGAAGCCAAAUAUGGUUAAAACAGGGAGGGCCCUUUUGCAAAGAAAUGCCUCACGGGACUUGCAAUGCAGCUGGUAGCUAUCAUUUCUUGGUAAUGUCCAUGGAUGCUUUUGUGCAAAACGUGGUCGUGAGGUAUGCGUCAGAGGCCAGUCAUCGUGAUUAAUUAAAAUUUACAAUCAAGAAUCAACUAUGAAAUUUAAAAUAUACCUGAAAAAAACUUAAAAAAGAAAAUUUAUUAAAAUGAUUAUAUUUUUAUAUAUUUUUUAAUACCAGUAUUUUAAGAUUAUUGAAAAAUAUUUAGAAAAAUAAAUCUAAUAUUUUUUUCAAAUUAAAUCUAAAAUGUAAAUAGCUCAGUUGCCUUGUUUGAAACCGUUGACAUUGGCUUCUAAAUAAAAAAUCCAUCUCCUUCCUUGAUUGUGUUUACGGGCCAGAUGCCUAUAUCUUUUAAAAGGUCAACACAAGAGAGAAAAAAGGCGUGUAGAGAAAUGAAAAAAAAAUAGUGAUGAUGUACUAAAAUGUAAAUAGCUCUGUUGCCUCGAUUGAACCUUUUUUUUUUUUUUUUUUUUUUAAGUAAAGGGGUAAAGUCUUUGAUGGGUUGUUUAUUUUUUUUCUUGGAUUAGAAGAAGGGCGGAAAUCCCAGGAUAAUUUAUCGAAGAACAUUUAUUUAGUGGUGUGGAUCAAGGUUGUUAAAAUCAUGAUUCAACUCGUAAAAUCGUACUUUUUUACGAGUUAAUAUAGGCUUCACGUGCUAAAUUGCUCAUAAAACUCGGAAAUCAGUAAAAUUGGGUCAAAAUCGGGUAAAAUCGUUAAAAUCGGAUGAAAUCGCGUAAGAUCAUGAUUUCACCACCGAUUGAACAAGUUUACCCGCAGGGAAUAAACAUUCAAUGUUGCUGUCAGGUGUCGCCUUCCUAUUGGCUUUAACAUAUCAAAUGCAAUUAAGAAAUUCACCGAAUCAGUCUUCUCUCUUCUCUUAACGUUCACAAGUCACGUUCUCACUUCUCAUAACAUCAAAGAUUCAAAAUCCCUAAAUUGAAAAUCCCAAAUUUCACAUUCCCAAUGAUUCAGUCUCAGUCUUUUAAUCUCUUGCUCUUAGCCAACAAUCAACCAUCGUCCAACAGCCCUCGCCCCUCAGCUUUUUUAUUAUUCCAUCAUCGACGGCGUUCUUUGCACCAGCCACCAGCCACUGUGAGAAUCAGCGUCCACACAGCAACAACGGUCAACGACGUCUCUCCAGUCUUCACGAGGUAAGUUACACUGUUUAUCUUGUUUCGCCUCCCUCCUGCAAAAAUUCAUUAUAUGUGAAUGGUCAGUUGGUCGCGUUUUUUGUCCCUGUCCGUUUCUUAGUCUAAUGUUAAUGUUAGUGAAUCCCAGUCUUUACACAACUGUUUGAAUUUUUUUGAAUUGAUGGGUCUAUCAUCUUUGAAUGGGUUGCUCACCGAAAACAAUUCUGUGAAUGGGUUUGCUAAUUGUUUAUGAAUGGGUCUGUCAUCUGUGAAUGAAUGGGUUUGCUAAUUGUUUAUGAUUGGGUCUGUGACGUCUAUCAUCUGUGAAUGAAUGGGUUUGCUAAUUGUUUAUGAAUGGGUUUGUGAAUGGUUUGAGUCUGUGCAUUUGUUUUGAUAAAAACUGCCACUCAUUUAUUACCGAUUUUGUGGUUGUACUUUGGAUUAAACAAUUUAAUAUUUAUUUUUAAGGCAGCGAGGCAUUUUCAUGUCUUCCCGAAUUGAAGAAGAAUAUAAUUGGGUUCUGAUUUUGAAAACAAAGUUUGUGAUUGUGAAUGGUUUGAUAGAAAACUGGGUUCUGAUUUUAAAAAUGGUUUGUUUACUGAUUUUAAUUAGUUUCUGAAUUCAGUAUUAUGGUAAUUCUUUUUUGAUAGCUAGAUGUUUAGUAUCUAAAAUGUUUAUGAAUUCAGUAUUAGUUUCUGAAUGCAGUAUUAGUUUGUUUUUUUUUUUUUUUAUAGCUGGAUGUUUAAUAUCAAAAUUAAUUAUAAUCAUAAAAUAUUUGGAUUGAUUGCAGGGUUUAUUGAGUUGAUCUUUGAAUUGUUAAACUUAUGGCAUCUAGAAAAAAUGCUUUUGGUAAUAGGCUUGAUGUGGGAUGGCAGUAUGGUAUAGAUGUUUUAAAAAUUCUAGAAAAGUUUUGUGCAAGUAUUGUCAAAAAAUUAUUAGUGGAGGUAUAUUUCGUUUCAAACAGCAUUUGGCUUGCACUCGUAAGGAUGUUGAGCCAUGUCAGCAAGUGCCAGAAAAUGUUAAGCAGAUGAUUUUGGGUGUUUUAGUAAAAAAUCUUGAGGCAACUAAAAAGAAAAGAAAGCCCCUUCAAUAUAGUGGAAAUGAUGAUGAUGAUGAUGAAAUAAAAGAAAUUAGCUCCAAGGAUAAAGGAAAGAGAGUAGCUAGUGGGAGUGGAAGUACACAAACAACUCUAAAUCAAUUGCUAAAAAAUGAUAUUAGAGAAGAAGCAUGUCGACAAAUUGCUAGGUUUUUCUACACUAGUGCAAUUCCAUUUAAUUGUGUAAAAAACCCUGAGUUUAUUAAGGCACUUGAAAUGGUUGCAAAGCAUGGGCUCGGUUUCAAGCCUCCAUCCUACUAUGAUAUUAGAGAGAAGUAUUUGAAGCAAGAAGUGGAUUAAACAAUGAAAUUGCUUGAGGAGUACAAGCUAGAAUGGAAAAAGACAGGUUGUUCAAUAAUGUCUGAUGGGUGGACAUAUAAAAAAAGACGUUGUAUUUGUAAUUUUUUGGUUAAUAGUCCUAAAGGGACUGUUUUUUUUAUCAUCGGUGGAUACUUCUAAUAUGUCCAAGACUGCUGAUAAGGUAUUUGAGAUGUUAGAUGCCAUUAUGGAGAGGAUUGAGGAGGAAAAUAUUGUCCAAGUAAUCACCGAUAAUGCUGCAAAUUAUAAGGCAGCGGGACAAUUAUUAAUGGAAAAAAGAAAGAGUUGUUUUGGACACCAUGUGCUGCCCAUUGUAUUGACUUGAUAUUAGAAGAUUUUGAGAAGAAGUUAGAGGUUCAUCAAGUAACUAUUGCUAAGGGCAGGAGAAUCACCUCAUAUAUUUAUUCAAGAACCAUUCUUAUUUCCAUGCUAAGGCACUUUACGAAAGGAAGGGAUUUGAUUAGGCCUGCUGCCACUCGGUUUGCUACUACAUAUUUGACUCUAGGAUGUUUGAAUGAUCAUAAAAUUCAGCUGAUGACUAUGUUUAUUUCCAACCAGUGGAGUUCAUGUAGGUUUGCAAGAAUAGAAGAAGGGAAACGAAUUCAAAAUUGUGUUUUAGACAACAGGUUUUGGCAUGAUGGCACUAUAUGUAUUAAGGCAGCAUAUCCUCUAAUUAAAGUGCUUCGAUUAGUUGAUUCAGAUGAGAAACCAGCUAUGAGUUUUAUAUAUAAAGCAAUGGAUGAAGCAAAAGAGAAGAUACAAGUGAAUUUUGGUUUUGUGAAAAAAGGUAUAUAUUUUGCUAAUUUUUAUUUCAAAUGUUGUCAUCUAUUAAUAUGAAUGUUUUCCAAUUGAAAUAUUCCUAUAUUGUAAUGAUAUUUUUAUUGUUUUUUUUUUAUAUAGUUAUAUACCUAUAUGGAAUAUUGUUGAUGCAAGAUGGGAACUUCAACUCCAUAGACCUUUACAUACAGCAACUUAUUAUUUGAAUCCUCAUUAUCAUUAUAAUCCCAAUUUUAAGGUUAAUGCCAACAUUAAAAUUGGAUUAUAUCAAUGCUUAGAAAGGAUGGUGCCUAAUGCAAAUGAAAGGUGCAAAAUUGACUUACAACUUGAAUCAUUCAAGGAUGCAAAAGGGUUGUUUGGCAUUGACGCUGCCAAGACAGCAAGAGAUAAAAAAAACUCCAGCUCAAUGGUGGGAUUCUUAUGGGGAUGAAUGUCCAGAAUUACAAAGGUUUGCAAUCCGAGUUCUAAGUUUGACUUGUACUUCAUCUGGAUGUGAGCGUAAUUGGACUGCAUUUGAAAUGGUGAGUUUUUUUUUUUUAAAAAAAUAUUGAAAUAUUUGAUAAAAAUCUUAUAAAUUUGAAUUGCUUAUUUAAGUUCAUACAAAAUGAAGAAAUCGUUUGCACCAAAAAAAAAUGAAUGACUUGGUAUUUGUAAUGUGCAAUCUGAAAUUGAAUGAUAACCAAGUCAAAAAGCAAGCUGAUGAUUUUGGUAUAGAAGAUGAUCUUUCAUGUGAUGAUGAUUGGAUAACCGAGGGAGAAAAACAUCCAAACUUUGAUUUGCUUGGUGCUAUUGACAGUGCAACACGAAGACAAAAUGGUGAUGAAGAUGAAAGUGAUGAAGAAGAAAUUUCUAAUGAUGUUGAAACGGAGAGUCAUGGUAUUGAAGAUGAUUUGGAUAUUUAAAUUGAUAAUAUUGGUGUUGGUACUAGUAGUAGACUAAUGUUUAUAAUAUUGGUGUUGGUACUAAUAGUGAUACUAAUAAUCCUCUUGAUGCUAAUGAUAUUGAUGAAUGCUUGAUGAAUGAUGAGGAAGAUGAAGGGAAUGAAGCUGAUUUUAGUUUACAUGACACCCCAACAGAUUGUUUGUUUUAAAUUUGUUAAUUAUUGGUUAAUGAAAAGUUAUUUUAAAUUAUGUAUGACUUUUAUUUGAACCAUGUAUUUUAAGAUGUUUGAACUAUGUAUGAAUUUUUAUUUGAAGGCUUGAAAUAUGUAUGAAUUUUUAUUUGAAGCAUGUUUUUUAAGGUGUUUGAACUAUGUAUGAAUUUUUAUUUGAAGUAUGAAUUUUUUUUUAUGUAUUUUAAAAUUUCUUAUGAUUUUACGAUCCAUUUUUACGAUCCGAGUUUGUGGGCGGUUUUUUGUGCCGUGUUAAAAUCGUGAUUUUAAUAACCUUGGUGUGGACCAUGCUGAAAAAGAUUUUUAAGUAUGUAAAGGAAACCAUGAAGAAAUUCAUAUUUAAAAAGUCUUAGGUGAAAGGAAUCUAUUGGAAGAAUCCAUGCAUACAAGGAGCUCGUACUUAAGACGUUUUUCUAAGAGGCCAAGGAAAGUGAACCUAUGGAGAAUGAACUUAUAGUUUGAAACAUUAUAAGAGGCAAAAAUGGAUUCUAUCAAGGAGAAGUCAUACUUAGAAAACAUUCUAACAAGGCUGAGGGUUUAACGUCUAUGCUUAGAAAAAAUUUUAAAGGGUCGAGAGGAAUCCAUGAAGGAAAAGCCAUGUUUAGAAAAAUUUAUAAAAUGACGAGAGUUUCACGUUUAUACUUGGAAAAAUUCGAAUCUAUAGAGGAGAAGCCAUGUUUAGAUGAAAAUUCUAAAAGGCCAGGGUUUCAUGCACAAACUUGAAAAAAAAUAAUUCUAAAAGGCUAGAGAACCCAUGAAGUAUAAGUUUAUACUAGGAAAUUGAGAGGUUGAGGGUAAUCCUUGAGAGUUGUUUCAUAUAAUAUCUUAAAUGAUCGUUGUUUUUUAAAUGAUGCAGCUAGUAACACCCUUGUCUAUCUCAAGCAAAAUGUAUGUUUAAUUGAAAUUCUUUUUCUUUAUUUGUAUUUUUUGUUUUCUUUUUUAUAGUUGAGAAUUACUGAAUGUCUUAGGUUUAGCCUUAGCCAACCUUUCCUAUUUAUAUAUGUAGGGCAGAAUACAGUAGUAACCAUAGGGAUUACAACAUUGGAUUAAUCCUACAUUACAUUAAUAUCCUAUGUAUAGAUAUACAUGAUAUACAUUCUAUAAUAUGCCCCCUCAAGCUGAGGGUGGAGGAUCGACCCGAAGCUUGAACCUGAAGGCAGUAAAGGACACAGCGGAAAGUGGUUUGGUGAAGACAUCAGCAAGUUGAUCCUGAGAGGGGAUAAACCGAAUUUGAAUUUCCUUCUUUGCUACCCGGUCAUGGACAAAAUGAUAGUCUACCUCAACAUGCUUAGUACGAGCAUGAAAGAUAGGAUUUGCUGAGAGAUAAGUAGCACCAAGAUUAUCACACCAAAUAGUAGGAGCCGAGAUGGAGGGAACCUGAAGAUCUCUUAACAAAUAUUGAAGCCAGAUGACCUCAGCAGUACCAUCUGCUAAGGCUUUAUACUCAGCCUCAGUGGAAGAGCGAGCAACUGUACGUUGCUUGCCGGAUUUCCAUGAAAUCGGUGUUUGACCAAAGAAAACAAGAUAACCACCCGUAGACUUGCGAUCAUCAAUACUCCCAGCCCAAUCGCAUCUGUAAAACCAUGAAGAGCAAAGGAGGUACCUCGAGUGAUAUGAAAACCAUAAGAAGCCGUUCCUUUGAGAUAGCGGAGUAUGCGUUUAACAGCAGCCCAAUGGAAAUCUGUAGGAGCAUGCAUGUACUGACAGACUCUGUUAACAGCAAAACAGAUAUCUGGGCGAGUGAAUGUAAGAUACUGAAGAGCACCACAAUUUGACGAAACCGUGUGGGAUCAGAAAAUGGAUGAUCGGCUGUAGAGCAAGUUUAGAGGGAGAAACUGGAGUGUCAACCGGUUUGCAGGAAGUCAUACCAGCCCGAGUGAGGAUGUCAAGAAUAUAUUUUUGUUGGCGCAACAUCAGACCCAUACCUGUAGACUGAACUUCAAUACCUAGAAAGUAGUGAACAUCACCUAAGUCACGUAGCUUGAAUUCAGAGCUUAGUAACUGGACUAGAUGAUGGAGCAUGGCAGAGUUGCUGCCUGUAAGCAGAAUAUCAUCAACAUAGACGAGAAGAUAGAAGAUAUUAGUGCCAUCAGAUAAGAUAAACAGGGAAGUGUCAACCUUGGAGGCAAGGAAACCAAUAGAGAGUAAAAAAUCACUCAGACGAGUGUACCAUGCCCUUGGUGCCUGUUUUAAACCAUAUAGUGACUUGUGCAACCUGCACACAUGAGAUGGAAGAGUAGAAUCAACAAAACCUGGAGGUUGUUUCAUGUAGACCUCUUCAGUAAGAACACCAUUGAAAAGCAUUAUGAAUAUCAAGCUGAUGAAUCUUCCAAUUGCGGGAAACUGCAAUGGAAAAGACUAAUCUGACGGUGGCCUGCUUAAUAACUGGGCUGAAAGUUUCAGAAUAAUCAAUGCCUUCCUGUUGAGUAAAGCCUCUAGCAACUAGACGGGCUUUAUAACGUUCGAUGCUGCCAUCAAUACGACGUUUGAUACGAUAUACCCAUCGGCUGCCCACAACAUUCAUCGAUGGAUGAAAGGGCACUAGAGACCAAGUAUGAUUGGAUCGUAAAGCCUUGAUCUCAUCACACAUGGCAUCAUGCCAAGCCAUAUUUAUCUGCAUCAGAAAAGGCAACAGGUUCAGAGGAAGGAGAGAGCAAUACCCGAGAAACAGCUGCAUUAGCGGCAGCAGAGGACACCAUAUUGGCAUUUUUGGGCUGUCGUGAUCGAAGGAUCAUAGGGUGUCGGCUGAGAACUGGCUGUGACGCAGGUGAAGGAGGCAUGACAGAGGUGUCAUGAUGCAGGAUAGGCUGAGAGAUCCACCACCAGAUUUAGUCCAGGAGACGAAUCCGGGAAGAAGCUGCCGCAAGUGGAGAGCUGGCAGCAGAGGCAGAGUCGGCAGAAGCCGAAUUGGUGGCAGAAAAAGGAGCUGAAGACGAGCCAGAGGAUCUCCCACUAUGCGCAAGGACUUCGUGCUGGAGAACAGGAAACACUGAGCUGCAACCUGUAGCUGCAACAGUAUGGUUAGAUAAAGAUGCAUGGGGUGAGCGGCAAGGGAAAUAUGGAGGCUGUGGUGCUUGAGUCGGCAGUAAGGGCAGGGCAGAGGCAGAGGCGGGUGGGGAUGGAUUUUGAGCUGUAAACAGUGGUGAGGGUUGAGAUUUGGGAGGAUGGUAAUAGGGGAUGGUGUAUGGGUUUGAGAGGGAACCUGUGCAAUCUGUUCAGAUUUAUCAAACGGAAAAACAUUUUCAUGAAAACGAACAUGACGGGAGAUAUACAUGCGAUGAGAUUCAAUAUCAAAACAUCGAUAACCAAGGUGAGAGGGACUGUAGCCAAAAAAUAUACAAGGAGAAGACCGAAAAUCUAAUUUGUGAUUAUUAUAGGGACGCAAGAAAGGAAAACAUAGACAUCCAAAAGUACGUAAAAAUUGAUAAUCAGGAGACCGUUGAAACAAACAAUCAAAAGGAGAUCGAUUAUCAAGAACAGAAGUAGGCAUACGAUUAAUGAGAUAAACCGAAGUAUCAAAUGCAUAAUUCCAAAAACGAAAAGGAGCUUUACAUUGACCUAGAAGAGUAAGACCGGUUUCCACAAUAUGCCUAUGACGUCUUUCUACCAUUCCAUUUUGUUCGUGAGUAUGUGGACAUAUCAGACGAUGAUGAAUACCAAUAGUUUCGAAGAAAGUGGAGAGUUUGCGAUAUUCACCUCCCCAAUCAGUUUGAACAGAUUUUAUUUUUAACGAAAACUGACGUUCGACAAGAGUUUGAAAUUGAUGAAAGAUAGAGUAAACAUCAGAUUUUGCAACAAGUGGAUAAUACCAUAUAUAUUUUGUGUGCGCAUCAACAAAUAUAACAAAAUAACGAUAACCAUCCGAAGAAAAAAGGGGAGCAGGACCCCACACAUCACUAAAAAUUAAUUCAAGCGGAGCAGAAGUUUUGUGACCAGUAGGUCGUAAAGACAAACGUGACGAUUUUCCUAAGGGACAACUUUGGCAUUGAAAAUUAAGACUUUUGUUGUUACAAAUGAUCUUAUUUUUCGAGACUAAAAAUUUAAAAAUGGAGGUAGGAUGACCUAGGCGACGAUGCCACAAAUCAGCAGAGGCAGAGGUGCAGGGAGACCAAUAGGCUUGAGGAGUUGACAGGACGGAAGACCUGAACUUGGAAAGUAUAGAGACCAUCUUUACUCUGACCUGAGAGAAGGACUUCAUUGGUGUUGAGAUCCUUGACAUAAAACAGAAAAGGGUGAAAUUCAAAAUAAACAUGAUUAUCGAGACAAAAUUUCUGAACAGAAAGCAGAGGUUUCGUGAUUGCAGGAACAUGUAGAACAUUAGAUAAAGUGAAUGAACGAUGUGGGUUAUAUAUUUUUGUAUGGCCAAUAUUAGAUAUGGAAAGUCCCUUACCAUCACCAACAUGCAAAUUAUCAUUACCAUUGUAUGGUUCUGAAGCAGUCAAGGUUGCAAGGUCGGGUGUGACGUGUUGGUUUGCACCGGUGUCCGGAAACCAUUCAGCAGCAGAGGCAGAAUUAUUGAAUGCCAAAUUGGCACUGUGUUGCGGGCCAUGACUGCGUUGCUGAAGUUGGGAACACUGAGGAGCAGUGUGUCCAUAAUUGUUGCAUAGCUGGCAGCGGGAAUUUGAGCCUCGGCGCUGCCAAUUUCCUUGCCAGCUGCUGUGCCUAUUUUCGUGCCAUAUGAGGAGCAGAAUUAUAAUUAGUUGGAGGUUACGAAAAUCAGACCUGUAGGAAUUAUUUCGUUGCCUCGGUAGAAGGAGAACGCCAGCUGCCACGCCCCCUAUGUCUUCCAAACUGAGCAGAAUUGUAGCGUUGAGACAGUAGUGCUGAAGGUGGCGUGGGCAGCAAUGGUUGGUUGGCGUUGGCAGCAGAUCCCAUAGACAAAUGAGAGGUUUUAUGAAUAAAUUCAUGAGUUAGCAGAUGACUAAGCAAAUCUGCAUAUGGUAGAGGAUCCGCCCUUGUAAUAAGACUUGUUACUAAGUCCUUAAAUUCUCCGCGAAGGCCACGAAAUAUAUAGAGAUUAAAAUCGGUUAGCGAGAUAGGCCGGCCAGCAGCUGCUAGCUCAUCAAAUAAAGUCUUAGCUUUUUGCAAAAAUUGAGUUACCGAAUCAUCACCUUGUCGAAGUUCUUGAAGGGAACCAUGUAAUUGCAUAAUACGAGAAUUGGAUGUAGAGGCUAGCGCUUGCUCAAGUGUGAGCCAGACAGAACAUGAGGUUGGACAAUCAACAACAAGAUGAAGAACUUCCAUGGACAGCGAAGAGAGCAAGGCACUUAGAAUUAAUUGAUCCUGUUGUUUCCAACGAAGAAAGGAUUGAGAUACCUGAAGAGUAGCACCAUCGGCAGCAGGAAUAUGUGGAGAGGGGCAGGAGUUUAAACCAUCAACAAAGCCGAAAACUCCUUGGCCUAAGAGGUAUGGUUUCAUCUGCAUUCGCCAAUACAAGUAAUUGGUAUUCGUUAAUUUCAUAGAGAUGACCUGAUGGGUGUGUGAGAGGGACACAAUUGCCACGGCAGAGGCUGCUGUAAUUUCAGCAGACGAAGAUGGCAGCAAAGGAGCAUUGUCCGGAUUGAGAAGAGCAUGGCCAAUAUUAGUGUGUUGUGGGCACUGCAUAAUUGAGGCUGAAGAAGAGAGCUGUCCUGCGGUUGAAGAAGAAAAUUGUAGCGAAGGAGGUGGGACAACAGGGGUUGCUGCAGAGGAGAAGAAGGCUGCCGGCUGAGAAGAAUCCAUUGUUGUAGAGAAGGAGAAGGCUGCCGGCUAAGUGUUUUAAUUUAUUUUGGCUCUGAUACCAAGUUGAGAAUUACUGAAUGUCUUAGGUUUAGCCUUAACCAACCUUUCCUAUUUAUAUAUGUAGGGCAGAAUACAGUAGUAACCAUAGGGAUUACAACAUUGGAUUAAUCCUACAUUACAUUAAUAUCCUAUGUAUAGAUAUACAUGAUAUACAUUCUAUAAUAUUUAUUAAUAAAAAUAUUAUUUUAUGAGAAACAUAUAUAUAUUUUUAAAUAAGAACAUAAUUUUAAAAUAAACUUUUAAUAAAAAACAAAAAAAAAUGAAUCAUAAUUUUUACACACGAAAGUGUCAAAAAAAUAUAAGAAUAGUCAACCGAUGGAAAUGACUGUAUUUAUCCCCCAACAUCAACUCACCUCACCUCAUUUUUCUUUAAAGAGCAAAAUCAUAAUGUUACCAUAGCUAUGAAUAGUUUUUUUGUGUUUGAGGCACGUUUUCAUGUUAAUUAUUUUGAAAGUAAAUAGGUCGGUUGCCUUGUUUGAAACUAUAGACAUUGGCUGCUAAAUAGAAAAACGCAUCUCCUUGGUCAGGUCACCAUGGAAAAGGGUUAGCUUAAUAAUUAAUUAACACCAUAUUGCAACGGGAAGCUGUCCACUGCAACUGGAAAUGGAUCAGACACGGUUUGCAAUUUACUGUCAUUAUCUUUCUUUAUCCAUUUUGAAAUGCAAAAGUUGCUCCAAGUUGCCUUAUUUACGAAUAAAACAGAGUUGCCAUUGUUGAUUUGCUUCUUGAAAUGAUUUGCAGCUGACUGUUUUAGCAAAAAGAGAAAGUAGUUAAAAGCAUAAGCUCGUACCAAUAAUUGUUGGGGGCAAAAGGUGACAAGUGGAUAUAUAUGGUUAUAUUUUAUAUUCAUUGCUUGCAUUCUGAAAUGCAAAAGAUGCUCCAAGUUGCAUCAUUUAGGAAUAAAUUAAAUUGUGUUGCCAUUGUUGAUUUGUUUCUUGAAAUGAUGCCCAGUUGACUGUUUUUUUUUUUUAAUUUAUUAUUUAAAGACACGACAUGCCAUAUAGGCUAAUUGGCACUAUAAAAAACAUCCACCAUUCCUCUCAAACACUACUUCUAUAACCACCAUCAAGACCUGCAUAAUAUAGAAAUUAGCUAUUUCUCUUUCUGUUUAUUUCUUCGAGUAAUAUUUUGUUUCUGUGAUUAUGGCUACUGGGCAAGCACAGGCAACCCCCUUCCAGCUGUGAGAACAUACCCGCCGGUGGAGCAUCCAGUGGUGGUAAUAGGGCCACAGUACCUGGCACAGUACCCUGUUGAACUCGCCGUCUCUACAAAGCUAUGGACUCUUGGAGAGAAUGAUUUUAAGUGUCUGACAUUAAUGGCACCCUCAUCUUCCAGGUCAAGAGUAAACUCUUAAGCUUGCAUGAUCGUCGUUUUCUGAAAGAUGCAGCCGGUAACACCCUUGUCAAUCUCAGGCAGAAGGUAUGUUUAAUUGCUCUUUGUCAUUUGCUUUCUUCUUUUUCAAUCUAACCAUCACAACAAUGAUAAAUUCUAAAUUUGGUUGCCUUUUACACGAGACUAGAUAUGAUUCAUUCAAUAUAAACAUCGAGGAUUAUUAUUAUUUUUUAAAUGUAAUUUAACUGAUAAGGACCACACAUAAAAUAACAAUGAUGAAAGUUGAAUACAGUCAAAUAAGUUUACUAUCAUUACUGUCCAUAUAUCAAUGAGAUGGCUUACUGCGUGUUUACCAUUUUCUCCAGAUAAGGACAAUGCAUCGGAGGUGGGAAGCUUUUAGAGGAGAAAGCAAGGAGGAGAAAGAUUUGCUUUUCACAGCCAAGAAAUCAAAGUUAUUCCAAUUCAAAACUGAGUUAGACAUAUUCUGGCUAACAACAAAGGAGAGGUCCCUGAUUUCAAGGUCAAGGGAGGGUACGGGAGAGUUCCUGCUCUAUACUUCUUGGAGAUUCCAAUACCAUGCUUGCACAAGUAAGUUCGAUGCUCUCAUUCAUUUGAGUCCUAUCUCUUUGCAGGUUUUCACACUAAUAUUUUUAAAUCUUACAUAAAUGCAGAUGCAUAGAUUACAUUCUCUCACGACUAUGAUCUUGGAUACAGAUAGUUUUGGAGUGACUGUUUAUCCUAAUGUUGAUUAUGCCUUCAUAGUAGCUCUUGUGGUGAUUCUCGAUGAGAUCAAUGCGGACCGUAGUGGCGAAGAUUAAUACAGCAGCUUUUGUUUUAUUUCAAGAGAAGUUUUCAAGUUUUAUUGCUUUUUUAUUGUAAGAAUAAAUACAAUGCAUUCUUUAUUGCUUUUUCCUAAUGUAAAGUGUAUGCUUUGUGGAUGACAUGAAGCGUAAAAUAUAUAAUGUUUGUUAAGUUUUAUAAUCAUUUAUUUAAUGUGUUUUGAAUUCUGAUCAAACUCAAAAACAAAUAACACAUAACUUGAGAUAAAUGAUCAUUAUAUAAACUUAGCUUUGUAACUUUAGUAAAAUUUAUUUGUAUAAAUUUGUUUGGAUCAGCGCUUGCAAAAGUUGGUGCUUGAUUCGGUAAAAAGAAUGUAAUUUUGCUGUUAAAGAAAUAUUGAAACUUCAAGGAUCAAAUAUAUAAACACAUGAGGUGAAGAUUUUAAAAAUUUAAUCCUCAAAGGUUCUUUAUUUUUAUAUCUUUUGUCACUUUAGCUUUAGAACUUUAGUUUUUUAUCCAAAACUUCAUUUUGUUUGUCUUCUUUUAAAAUUCUAUGUUAAAGAGAUAAGAGAGAAAAAAAUCAUGACACUUUUUUUUAUAACAUUAGCACUUUUUUUAUAGCCCUUCGUGAUUUUUUUCCCCUUAAAUUUUAUUUGGUAGAUUUCCAGCACAAGUCUAUUUUUAUUAUUGUAUGAUUAAAAUAAAAUAGAUUCUAAAAAUAGAGUUAUUAAACCCAUUUGAGUUCAAAACUCUAAUUAUAAAUUUUAUUGUUUAAUCCAAGUUGACUCAAGUCGAUUCAAAACAUUGUCAUCUCAAUAUUUUUUUUAAAAAAUAAAGUUGAACCAAUGUUAUCUUGAAAAAACAUUUUUUCAAUAAAUCUAGGUUUUUACCAGGUUGUAUUUGGAUUCACCAGGUUGAUCGGGUCACAUCGAACCAACUUUCACCUGUUUUGAUGUUAUACCUGGCUAGACAUUAUUUAUUUCUAAUGACAAUGGAAUGAAAUUCAUGAGAAUUUAUCACCAUCGAUUCCUUUAAUACUUGGAACGCACCCUAACUCUAUAACCCUGGAUCUAACCAAAACCAUUCAAAUUCAAAAUAACCAAAGUAUUAUAAAUUCAUUUGUUCAAACUCAACGGAAUCAUAACAUGACAACAAGAUCCAUGAAUCAAAUAAUUAAACCCAAACAACUUCAUAAAGUGAUAAAAUAUCAUCUUCCACAAACCUUUAAACCAACAUGUGUGUGCCAAGCUAUAUCUCAAUCUCAGCGGCGUAAUGUUAUGUCAAAUGACCUCACUACCAUCUUGAAGCAUACCACCUUCAAAUUGCACCCAUGUAGGUUGUAGAUGGGUGUUUAAAGUGAAGAGAAAAUCUAAUGGUUAUAUGGAUAGAUUGAAAUAUUGUCUUGUUGCAAAGGGGUAUAAUUAAUGCCCCGGACUUGACGAUAAAGAAACAUUCAAUGCAAUAGUUAAACUUGCCACCAUUAGAUCAAUUUUAACUAUUGUUGUCAUGAAUGGGAGAGAGUUGAGGCAAAUAGAUGUUAACAAUGAUUUUAUACAUAGGAAUUUAACUAAAGUAUUUAUAUGAUGGAUUCCAUGCCCUAAGUAUCAUGAAAUCAGUGUGAAAAGUUGGCAAAAAAUCAUUUCUGCCCUCAUUUCUUUUGUUCUCCUCCUCCAGCCUCCCUUUCCCCCUCUUUUUCUCCACCUCCAGCGACACCACCACCUUUGGUCACCAUACACGUACGAUCUUCCAUGAACAACCACGAACCCUUCUAGCAACCCUCUUCCUCCGGCCAAACAAGGUUGCUAUGUUUUUGUUUUUUUUUCCACUUCAAAACCCCUCCAUUUAUGAUUUUCUCGCAUGUUUUUCUAUUAAUUUUGUAAAAUAUCAGGCUGUAAUAUAGAUUCAAUAUUAAAAAACCUAGUUUUCUCUGAAAUGCUUCUUAAAAAAAUUUGAAGAUUAAAAAAAAUCUCAAAAUUUUUUAAAUUAAUUUCCUCUUUCAAAAUAAUAAAAAAAUAUUUUGUUUUCAUGCAUACGGUCAAAUCCUAAAAGUUUUUUAAGCAUACUUUUUUUUUUUUAAAAAAAACAUCUUUCUCAUGUUUUGAAAUGAAAAAAUAAAUACCGUAACUAGUUUAUGAUUAUCCCUUAGAGUUUGACUAAAUAUCAAAAAUCCUUCACCAAUCAUUUUGUUCAUUUUAUAUUUAGAGUGUUAGGGUUUAGCUGUAGACUUUAAUAUUCAGGGAUGUAAAACUACACAAUAGAGUACACCCUUAGGUAUUAAAGAUAAAAAGUGAAAAAUAAAUGCAAUGCUAAAAUUUAGACUUUUGAAUAGUUAUGAUUUAGCCUGAUAAGAUAGAGACCUCUUCACGAAAAAAGAUUUGCCUUGAACGUUAGAUAUGACCGACGAACAUGAACAUGACUUAUAAUAACAAUCAAAUAACAAUUCAGCUUAUUAAUUUUAGGUAGGGUGAUGUGCCGCGCCAUUUGAUGCCCCCCACCACACCUUAUAUAUAAUAAAGGCUACAACUUAUUUUAACAAUCACAACAAUAUGCAAGUCUCCUCAAAUAUUCUUAAUAUGAGUGCAUCCUUAGGUUUUUUUUUGUAAAGAAGCCUAAAUCACCCUUCAUCGAUGCAUUAAUAAGCAACAUGUGUGGCACGAAAAUUGAUUACCAUCGAGCAUAAAUUCUAUAAAAGACAAAUUAAGAUCCACAACUUCAGUAGUACUACAAUAAUAAAAUAUUGAUAGUGUUCCAAAAUUUGAUAUACUAAAAAAUAAGGUUAUUUGUGGUUUACAUAGUGGUUAAUCAUAUAAAGAAAAUCAAGACUUUGUAACAAUAUAGAUUUACACUCAUCUUAUCUCUUGUAAAUCUUCUAUCCUCAUGUAUUUGAAUUUAUAAUAAACAAUAUCUUGUACAAACCUUAUAAAUAGGAGUUUUACUUAUAAAAUAAGAAAAGCAAUUUAAUUAAGGAGAGCAUUUUUUAGAGUUGUAUAUCAUACCCCGAGGGUGCUUGUUUAAGCCUAUAGAUGAAUUUUCUUAAUAUACACACAUUAUUAGGAUUAAACAUGUCUUUAAAACAAAGAAUAGACUAUGGUUAAUCUUCCUUCUAUUUCUCGUUGUUUUUUUUUUUUUCUAUUUUUCCACUUUCAGCCUUCUUCCAGUCCUCUAUUUUCUUUUGUGCUUCUGCUCUCCCUUUUCUUUUUUGUCACUAUAUGUUUUCCUUUCCUCACCCUCUGUUUUCUUUCUCAUCCCUCUGUUUUUCUUCCUCUCUCUCGUUUCCUUCUUUCCUAAAAGGAGUUUACAAAAACUACUAAAGUUUUGAAACAACUUCUAUCGGCAAAAGAUGAAGGCUUUCUUCGGGUUGUCAGAGGCAAUGAACAAGGUAGGGACUACCCGUCGGUUUGUACUUCAUUUGUACAAGCAAGAUGUGCAGGUAUAAGCCAAUUUAUUCUUCUUUGUUAUAUUUAAACUAGGCAUUUGUUGAUUGUUCUGUUCCAAACCUGUUUCUCCUUUUGCUCUGAAUAUUCGGUUUCUGUGUGGACAAAGGUUAUAUGCUCGCCUACUAAUCUUUCAUGGCUUUGAGUUUAGCUUAUUGUUUAUGUUAAAGGGGUGUUUCUUUACUCAUUCCCCUACCAUGAGAAACCAUGAGCUUCAAAAACCCUCACCAUUUUUUUUCUUUAUUCAGGUACCUCCCUGGUUUUAAGAUUCUGUAUAGGAGGAGCUGUGCUCCUAAAUGUAGUUUGUCCAGAGGAUUAAGAAAACACAAAGAAAGUUCCUUUUUACUUGAAGUAACGUUGGCAUGUUCUUGGGAGAUUCACGUUUUUUUCUUCCCUUUCUGUUCGCUGGAGAAAGGAUAGCCGACCAUGAUGUUGUUUUUGGUUUUUAGUUUGUGAUAUACAUGAUAUAAAGGCGUGCUCCCCAACGUUUUCUUUCUGUUUGCAUGAAAUGAGUAAGGCAACUCCCAACUUAGGGAAAAAGGGUGGGGUUAUGAGGCACGAACAUAAGAUUUUAAGGGGAUAAACAGUGUCACUAUAGUAUUUUUAGAUUUUCUUUUAGCUCAUAGUGUUAAUUUGUGAAAUUGAUCUUUAAUUCUUGUCUUAAUUUUCUAUGAUACAUUAUUUAUACAAGAGCAAGCAAAUUAAAACAAAAUCCAACACAUCAAAUCAAACUAAUAUAACUUAUAAAGAUGAAUUGUAAUGAAAUAACAUUAAAUGGUUGAAGUGUAAGAAUUUUUUUUUUAAAAGAAAACAAAACAAAACAGGGAUCUAAUAAAAAAAAAGGAGGGCAAAAACUAGAGUGAAUUGCUGGAAAAAAAACAGACCAUGUUUGUUUCCACGGCUAGGCCAUGUUUUUCAAAAAACUUGAAUUUGUUUUUGCUUUAAAUUAUAUUUUUUAUAUUUUUAUAUUGUUUUAAUGUAUCAAUAUUAAAAAUAAAUUUAAAAAAUAAAAAAGUUGUUCUCUCAACGAACAACCAAGAAAAAGUUGUUCUUUUUAGUUGACAGAAACUAUCCUCUCCCCUACAUGACAGCAUAGCUAGAAACCUACCAGAGAUUCCAUCUCAAAAUCAAAAUAUCUGCAGCUAUAUAUCAAGCUUUCUCCAUCUCUACAUCCCAAGACAGAUGUUUCCCUGGGUCUCCUACGAGUAUUCAUGUGAAGUUGCUGGAAUGGCUUGGAUUAUGCUGAAAGUGGACUAUUCAAGGCUGUUCUGGUUAUUAUUUGGUGUCUUUUCGUAUCAGAAUCUAGGAAGGCCUCGGAUCAUCUAGCAACUAGCUAACCUCUUGCAAUCCCCACUUCCAUAACCAUUAUAUUCUGUAGUGUGUGUUUAGUAAUAAGAACUAUUGCGUGCUAUACUUACAGCACAUAAACUACUAUAACAAAGCAGCUUGAACCAUGUAUACGACUCGAGUUGGAGCAUGUGUUGAUGGAGCUAAGGCACAGCUUGGAUAUGUUGAGACCGACCCUUCUGGUCGUUAUGGACGUGUAAGUCAAUUGCUUGCUUAAUUUUCUUCGUCGAAUACACGCCAUAAGAUUUUUCCCGAUCCAACCAAAGACUCCGCCUCCCCCCUCCCUCGCUGCCAAAAAAAACUAAGAUGUCUUUGUUUACGCGCAAAAAUGAACUUUCAAAGUAGGACAGGGCCUUUUUUUGUUUUAUUUAAGGACAUGAUAUAGGGCUAAGUGGCACUAUAAAAUACGUACAUCAACCAUCAUCAAGACUUACAUAAUAUAGAAAUUUAGCUGUUUUUCUUUCUGUUUAUUUCUUCGAGUAAUAUUUUGUUUCUGUGAUUAUGGCUGCUGGGCAAGCACCAUUCAACCCCGUUCCAGCUAUGAGACCAUACCCGCCAGUGGAGCAUCCAGUGGUGGUAAUAGGGCCACAGUACCUGGCACAGUACCCUGUUGAACUCGCCGUCAACAGUGAUUUUAAGGUGUCUGACAUUAAUGGCACCCUCAUCUUCCACGUCAAGAGUAAACUCUUAACCCUACAUGGUCGUCGUUUUCUGAAAGAUGCAGCCGGAAACACUCUUGUCAAUCUCAGGAAGAAGGUAUGUUUAAUUGCUCUCUGUCAUUUGCUCUCUUCUUUUUCAAUCUAACCAUCACAACAAUGAUAUGAUUCAAUCUGAUAUCAAUUUCUUAUCGCGUGUUUAAUUUAUCAUUUUCUCCAGACAAGGACCAUGCAUCGGAGGUGGGAGGCUUUUAGAGGAGAAAGCGAGGAGGAGACUGAUUUGCUUUUCACAGCCAAGAAAUUAAAGCUGUUCCAAUCCAAGACUGAGUUACACGUCUUCUUGGGUAAUAACAAAGGAGAGGUCCCUGAUUCCAAGGUCAAAGAAGGCUACAGCAAGAGUUCCUGCUCUAUACUUCUUGGAGAUUCCAAUACCAUGCUUGCACAGGUAACAUUAACAAAACUUAUUUCUGAAAUAUGACAAUCUUGAAUAAAUUUAACCCAGUGGCGGAGCUACAAAAUCGGCAAGAGGGGCAAUUGCGCGCUUUUUUUUUUUUUUUUCAAAAUAUUUUUUUAUAUUAAAAUAUUUAUAUAAUAACUUUACAGGGUUAAUUUUCUUUGUUAGCUACUAAUUAAUCCAAACCUUUUUUUUUUUUUACUAUUGUCCCUGCCUCUUUUUUUUCCUAUAAAAUUUAUCUUCAAGCCCUAAUCUAUUAAUUAAUUAAGCAAGUAACCUCUUAUAUUUUAUACUUUAAGGAAGUUUCUUUCAUCUUUUUUAUUUGUUUCAUUAUCUAAUUUUAGUUUUAUUUCUUUAUAAUUAGUUAUUGAAAUUGUUGGGGUUUAUAAUAAUUUAUGAGUUUAUUGAAUUAAUAUAUGUAUGGGUAAUAUUAUAUGCUAAUGGAUAUGAAUUGAAAUAAAUUUUGAUGAAUUGAUAAGUAUUUUGUUAUGAAUUUCAUAUGAAAAAUGAUGGUGAUGAAUUUACUAAUGAUUAAAAAUGAAAUACAGGACAACUCAAAAAAUUAGGGACAUAAUAAAUAAAUUAAAAAAGAAAACAUUUAAUAUUUAUGUUUAAUCCACUUGUACAAAACAACAAGUCAGCAAGAACAAUAUCAAUUUAUGACAAUCCUUUUAAGCCAUGAUUUUAAAUGUUAUGUAUCAUAUGUCAGCAUAGAAUUGUUGUCAAGAACUUUCUUAGUCCUUGGAAGAUUUAUAAAUAGAUAAAUGAAAGCUUAUUGUAUAUAUUGAGAAAUAUAUAAGAUUAAAAAUAAAAUUAUUAUGAAACACUUUUAAAAUAUAAAAUCUCGAAGAGAAUAAUUAUAAUGUAAAUUGUUUUAUUUUAAAAAUAUUCUUAAAUUAGUUUUACUCAACUUAAGUUGGUAUAUAUAUUUCAAAUUAAUAUUUUUAUAUAACACAUGUCAAUAUAGUAUAUAAUAUCAAAUAUUUAUUAAUAAUUUAUCCCUUUAUUUAAAAAAUCUUGAUUCCGCCACUAAAUUUUGACCACAUCAUCUUCUCAUAUAGAACUAUAUGUCUGUCGCUGAGGCUGCCGUAGAAAUACCCCAGAUUUCAUUGCAUCAUUUACAUUAAAACCGAUUAUUGUUUUAAUGAAGAAAGUUGUCUUCAUAAUUAAUAUCUCUUGCCGGUAUUUUUCUUAUUAUGGGAACGCAGGUGCAUGGAGGACACACUCUCGCUAUUAUGCCUAAUGUUGAUUAUGCCUUCAUAGUGGCUCUUGUGGUGGUGAUUCUCGACGGGAUCAAUGCGGAUGAUGAUGUUGGGGACGCCGUCAUUGACGGUUUUGUCAAUGGAAUUGUUGGGUCGGUAUAAUGUAUUGGCAGUAAAUAUUUUGCAAAUCUCUAUAAAAUAUUGACGGUCUUUGGCUGUUGUUGUAGACAUUAGUGAUAGUGACAUAUAUAAUAAAUAUUUUUCAAUUCUAUGUAAAAUACUUACGGAGUCCAUCUGAAAAUCCGUCGGUUGUGAUUUAAAAAAAUAAAAAAUUAUUUAGAAUAAAUAAUAUAAAAUUAUGUAAAUUAAUAGUAAAAAAAUCAAUUAUGCAAAUAAAAUUAUAGGAAACAUUAAAAAUAUAAAAAUAAAGUUAAAUAAUAUUUAUCCAAAUAAUCAUUAUAAAUUUAAUGUGUUUCAAAAAAAAAAUUAAACUAGAACAAUGGUGGAGCUGGAGGAGGAGGAGGAGGAAGUUGGUUGUUACCGGGAUCAAACAGCAAAAAAAAGGACGCACAUGUAUCACUCAUCUGUGAUCUAAUGUCCAUGAUCAUUUAUCGGAGUUGUUCAUAAUCUACCGAGAGUCCCUCCUAUUGUUGUUUCAACCCAAUGAACUCCUCAGAAUAGUUGCUCUACACUGAUUGGGAGCUCCCAAUAAUUGAGACACUACGGGCCGCCCGCAAGUUCUCAGCUGUAGUGUUGGAGAGCUCGUACACCUAAUUUUUAUCAGGUCCACCAGACGGUCCUACCUUCAGCCACAAAUCCGAAUCGAAAUUUAGAUGGGUCGAAGGAUCGUCCCCAUAUCUCUCCCUCAAUCGGCUAUUAAAGGUCUCUUGAAAAUUAAAAAAAAAAUCAUCAUUUUCAAUUCAAGAAAAUAAUAACUUACGAAAUAAAAUGGUCGAACGAACAUACCAUUAAAUGUUGAGCGCGGUUAUUCACGAACUAUUGCACCCCCUUUUGGUGAUCUGCACUUCACACGUGCAUCUCUACAACCAGCUCCAUUGGGCUCAACUCACGUUCAAGAGACGUAGCCUGUAAGAAAAAAACUAUUGCAAGUUAAAUAUAUUUAUAAGUAACAACAAUUAAUUAUUGAUAUAUUUUAUUUAAAUUAAUCUUACCAUUCAUUUCACAUGUGCACUGAACGGAACGGAGCCGCUGGUGUGCGUAGUCACCGAACCAUGAAUUUGCCAGUUUCGGUUGUCAAAACCAGACUGUGAGCGUCGUGUGAACCACUCAGAUGUCACGUGCUCAAUAUAUUGCGGCCAUAUAUCUCCCGAGAUGUAUUGUGGUUUGAAAUCUCUCCAAACUGCCACGUCAUUCUAGCCUUGUAGACCAUUACCUCUCGUAUAUUUUUUUGGCUUUUUUUGUGUGUCAUACCAAAAAUCAUACAACCUACUUCCAUAGUGACAAAUUAGAUUUUAAAAUAAAAAAUUAUAUUGUUUUCGAUGUUACUUAGUUGUCACGUGACUCUCUCACACUCUCCUCACAGCAUUGUCACGCGCGCUAAUUUGUAUUGUGCAUAAAUAAUUUAUUUAAAAUAAAAAUAGUACCAAAUAUAAAAUUAUAAAAAUAAUUUAUUAAAAAUAAGUUGGAAAUUAGAAGUUAACACCUACCUAAAAUCUUUGAAACCAUGCAUCGAUAAAAGGUCUCCAAUCAGGAUGUCUGGAAAGCUGACUCCAUUGAAAUAUGGUCUCCAUUGAUGAUUUAAACACCGAUGUUAUUACUCGAGCGGCCUCAAUGUUUGUGAACCUGAAAAUAAAUAAAAAUAAUAAAAUAAUAAUUAGUUGUUCAUAAAUUAUGUUAUAAGUAAAAACACUAAAACCGAAACAAACUUACAUUGAAAGGUCGUCCUUCCAAUGUGUUUGUUAUUUGCAGGUGGAAUUGACCCGUUGUGAAGGCACACUAUCUCUGCGGUGUGAAAUUGCGUUGGAAGAGGCAACAUCAUGAGUGGGCGCAGGUGCCUCUUCUUGAUCACACAUAAGGAUAAAUCAUUCUCUCUGCUAAAAGAACUAGCUGCAACUAUAUGCUGACGACGUGUUGUUGAUUUCUUUCUACGCUUUUACACAAAUUUAUACUUAUAUUACAUAAUUAAAUUUAAUUAUUUAAAAAUAUUCGGCAGCACUCUCCUAUACUGGAGGACUACCUAAAAGUUUCCAACCUGCAAAUAUUGAAAAUAGCCACAAACCAAUUGACUCCAUUGAAAAUCUUAUAUAUAACCUAACAUCUAUACAAAUUUAACAAAAAAAUAAAGCAAAAAAAUAACAUUUAAUUUUAUAUAUUCAACUAACAUCUAUAGAAAUUCAUCAAUAAUAAUUAAAAUUAAUGGAAAUAAUCAAACACGUAUCAAGCAUAAUAAAGUAAAAUGGAGAUAAAAUAAUUAAAUUUAAUCCUAUUUUUUCAAUUACUAUUUACAAGGUAAAUUCAAUAAUAACAAUUAAAAUUCAACAAGAUAAUCAAUUAUUAUGGCAAUAAAAACAAUAAAAUAGGCAACAAAUUAAAAAAAAAACUAUAGGCUUUAGGAAUGAAAAAUGCUUACCUUAAUAGUGUGUUUAUUUCUAGACUUUAUCUACAUUAAUACAAAAAAAAAAACAAAAAUAUAUUGUUAAUAAAACAAAGAAAAUAUGAAAAAAAAAAUUUAUUACAUAUAUUGAAUCAUAAUACAUAGUUUUUAAUUUGUUGAAGAUAAAAAUAGAACCACAAAUAGAGUUUAAAGGAUAAAAAAUAGAGAGAAUUAGAGAUUGAAAGCUGAAGAAAUGAAGAAAAGGAAAAUGAACUGAAGGGCGGUCGCUGGGAUUUGUACUGUAUUUUUAUCGACAACAUAUUUAAAUAAUAUUAUUUUUAAUUAUUUGGUUGGUGAAUUUUCAAAUGUUCAUCGUUAAAUUUGAAUUUCCCACUAAAAGUUUUAAAUGACCCUCUAGAAUUUUCACAGUCCGUCAGUAUAUACACGUAGUCAGAGAGCCAUUAAUGCCCGCGCUUUGGAAUUUGCACAGUUUGUUGGUAUGUGUCAACUGUACCAACAUAGAAGUCUAACAGUCAUGCAAUGUUACAUACUGACUGACGAUAUCUGUUUGUAUAGAUGUUCGUGAUUGUGGCAAAUGUAGUAUAUAUUUCAACUCUCGGUAAACUACAGAUGGACGGUAUUCGUCUGUAUAGACGUCAAUGAUUGUGGCAAAUGCAGUAAAUAUUUUGUAACUCUUUGUAAAAUACUGACAGACUUUGUCCGUCUCUUUAGAUGUUGGUGAUUGUGGCAAAAACAGUAACUCUCUGUAAAAUAUCAACUAAUGAUAUCCGUCUAUAUGGACGUUGGUGAUGGCACACUGUGCGUUACAAAUUAUGUUUCUAUUGCUUAUUUAUUCUCCCGCAAUGCUUAAAUUUCAAACUUCAGCACAACACAAUAACACAGUGAACAAUUAUAAAAUAAAUAUUUUGUGUUACAAAAUAUCAUCCAUAAUAUUACAUUAUAAGAAAAUGUUUUACACUUCGUGUUCUGAUAGUUAGUCAAAUUUUCUUCUUCUUCAUCGUCAAUUGAAUCUUCAUCACCUAUAUCGCACUCUUCAAUGUGGAUAUCAUCAUCAUCUUCAUCGACAUUUGCUUGUCCGCUAGAGCUCAGAAUAACAUUCAACUCCUUUCCGUCAACAUCAACAAAACUAUCAUUGAAACACGAAAAUUUAAAUUUUCUUAUAAUUCAAUCGAAGGAGCAACUCGAUAUGGUUCAACUAACUCACUAACUUGAAAGACUUCAUCUUGCACAACUUGUGUCUUUGUUCUCAUCCUGAACAACCUCGACAUGUCCCUGGAUUUUGUUUUUAAAAUUGAUUACCAAUCAACUCUUAAUCAGUCUUUUCUAAAAAAGAGGUGUAUGUGUAAUAAACUUGUGGCAUUGCUUUGCGAAAACAAGACAUUGUUUACCUACGGAGUCUAGCUUUUAAGUUGAUUUCAAUGACACCAUAACAAGGAUCUACUUUGAUUCCUCUAUCUGGUAUCAUACCAGUUACAUUUGAAUAAAAACACUCUAUUCUGCUCGCUAUGAUAUUGCAAUUCGACGACCUCUUCUAAUUUACCAUAAUAAUCAACUUCAAACUCACUACAACUCGAUCCUUUAACACAAACACUGUUAUUGUAUAUCUUUCUUCCAUGCCUGUAUUAUUCAGUAUGAAACACAUAUCCAUUGACAAAAUACCUAUUGUAGCACUUAACUUUUCUUUUAGGGCCCAAGGUUAGUAAAGACAAUGAAAUACCGCACUUCCUCCCAUUUAAUGAACCUUGUCUAUCAAGUACAACAAUAAUCAAUAAACAAGAAUUAUGUAAUAUUGAAGUACAAUAACCUUGCAAGAGAUAAUGAGUUUGUAAUAAUACUUACAUGUAUUUCGAACCACGUGAUAAAUUGUUCAUCUUGUAUGACGCCACAAAAAAUAAGAGGGAUCCUCACGUUCACCCUCAAAAGUUUAUCUGGAAUCCACCAAAAAUAUGAGAGAAGUCUCAAAGACUGUAUUGAAUAUUUUGGAUACCAAGUGCCUGUAAGGCAAUGCUUACAUUGUCUAUUUAUUCUACUUGUAACAUGCAUGAUUAAUUAUAUCUAUUGAAUGCUAUUUAAAUCUUAGCGUACAAUACUCAUGACCUUUUCACCUUCACUAUGCACCUAUCAAUUUUUGCUUCAAAUUCCCUGCCAUGCGUUCUGCAUCACACUCCUCCACUUUGAAAGAACUCGUCUCUGAGUUAUCUUCAUAAUAAAGAGCUUCAUCUUCAUGAUACUCAUACAAAUCUAUAACAUUAAAAGUGCUUGAAAUUCCCAUAGAUGCAGACAAGUCAAUAACAUAGGCAUUAUCAUUGAUCUUCCUCAAAAUCUUAUAAGGUCCAUACUUGCGCGGCUUCAGCUUGUUGUAGGUUCCAACGGGAAUCACUCCUUUCUGAGAAAAACCAUCACAUAAUCUCCUUCAUUGAAAACUUUAGCACACCUAUACUUGUCUGCAGUAGCUUUGUACCUAGCAUUGAUUUUUUCCAGCUUAUCUCGCACUUUUCUUUAACCUCAAUAAUGUCUUUAGCCAUAUGUUGAGCGCCUAUGUUAACUCCAUGAGCUUUGGGAAGUUUUACCAAGUCAACGACAUGGUUAGGAACUGAAGUAUAUACCAAAGAGAAAGGAGACUUUCCUGUGGCACUGUGAACUGUGUUAUUGUAAGCAAACUCCACUUGUGGCAAGGCAUUAUCCCACUUCUUUGAAUUAUCAGUACAGACACUUCGAACCAUGUUGCCAAGCGUUCUAUUAGUCGCCUUUAUCUGGCCAUUUGUUUGUGGAUGUGUUGUAGUGCUAUGCUUCAAAGUAGUACCGAAGAGCUUCUAUAGAGUAAUCCAAAAGUGACUCAGAAAUUUGGUGUCACGAUCAGAUGUAAUAGUUUUGGGUACACCAUGCAAAAGCACCACCUCCCUCAAAAAUAGUUUGGCUAUGUGAGUAGCGUCAUAAGUCUUUCUACAAGCUAUAAAAUGUGCCAUCUUAGAGAACCUGUCAACCACAACAAACAUAGAAUCGACCCCACUUUGGGUUCGAGGAAGCCCCAACAUAAAAUCCUUGGACAAGUCUUGCCAAAUAUCGCUAGGAAUCGGUAAAGACAUAUAAAAACCAGUAUUUUGAGCUUGACCCUUUGACACCUGACAAACAUAGCAGUUUCUCACAAUUUUGCCAACGUCAUUCUUCAACUGAGGCCACAAAUAAUGUUUUUCAACUCCUUCAAUGGUUUUGCCUCUUCCUAGGUGCCCGCUCAAUCCACCUCCAUGAAUAUCUCGAAUAAGAUUCGUAAGGAUGAGCUGGGAAUGCAUAACCUAUUGCCUUUAAACAAAUAUCCUUCUCUCAUGUGGUAGUCUAAAACAGGUUGACUCACACACUUCACCUAAACUUCUUUGAAAUCAAGAUUAGCUUCAUAUAACUCCUUUAGAAAUUCAAAUCCCACAAUCUCUUGUGCUAAAGUAAUCAACGAGUCUGCUCUCUGACUCAAAGCAUCAGCAACACGAUUGAGAGAUCUGGAUUUAUGCUUAAUCACAAAAGAAAAAUUUUGAAGGAAAAUGGUCCAUCUAACAUGCAUUUUACUCACUCUUCUAGCUGUUGAUGAACUUCAAGGCUUCAUGGUUAGUGUAAAGAACAAAUUCUUGUUGCACUAGAUAAUGCUCAUAUUGCUUCAACGCGUACACAAUUGCAUAAAAUUCCUGAUCAUAAGUACACUUUUGACAGGCUUCACUUAAUUUUUCACUAAAGAAUGCCAUUGGUCUUUUCUCUUGAGACAACACAGCUCCCACCCCCAAUCCACUUACAUCACAUUAGGAAGGGGCAAAACUGGUGCAGUGCUAAGCUUUUCUUUAAUCAACGCAAAACUUUUAUCUUUUGCUUCACCCCAAUGAAACUUCCCUUGCUUGAGACAUUCAGUAAUAGGGGCUGCAAGGGUACUAAAGUUUGUACAAAACGCCUGUAAAAAGUAGCAAGGCUUUGGAAACUACGUAACUCAAUUACAGUCUUUGGAGUUGGCCAUUCUCUGAUUGCACGUACUUUGUCCUGAUCCACAUGAAUUCCAUCUUCGCUAACAAUAUACCCUAAAAAUAACAGUUUAUUUGUGAAGAAUGUGCACUUCUUCAAAUUAAUAUAAAACUUAUUCUGUUUCAAAACAUCUAGAACCUGUCUUAAGUGCACCAAAUGUUCUUCUUUGUUUUUACGGUAAAUUAGAACAUCAUCAAAAUACACAACUACACAUGACCCAGUAAAAGGACGCAAAACCUGGUUCAUGAGUCACAUGAAAGUACUUGGUGCAAUUGAUAAUCCGAAUGGCAUCACUAGCCAUUCAUACAGACCGUCAUUGCUCUUAAAUGCCGUCUUCCAUUCGUCCCCUGGUUUAAUUCGAAUCUAAUGAUAGCCACUACGCAAAUCAAUUUUCAAAAACACCUUGGAACCCUCAAGGACAUCCAACAUAUCCUCUAACCGCGGAAUUGGAAAUCUAUAUUUGAUGGUGAUUUUAUUAAUGGCUCUACUGUCAACACACAUACGCCAAGUGUUAUCUAUAUUUUUGCACUAGCAAGACAGGAACUGCACAAAGACUCAUGCUCUAAUGAAUAAAUCCUUUUUUCAACAACUCUUCGAUCUUCUCCUUCAAGAUCACAUUUUCCUUUGGGCUCAUCCAAUAAUGGGGAAGAUUAGGUAGGCUUGCUCCAGGAAAUAAAUCAAUCUAAUGUUCAAUAUCUCGCAUAGGAGGAAGUUGUGCUAGUAAAUCUUUAGAAACUAGAUCUUCAUACUCGCUCAAAAUUUCCUGAACUUAUUUUGGAACGUGACUUGAAACAACAUUUGUCACCAUAAGCCCCUUAAGUACAAUUGGAUACAUGAAUCCAACUUCUUUAAUAAUGUCUUCAAACUCGUGGCUAUUAUUGGAGAUAACUAGAAAAUUUGAACUCCCAGCUUGUGGUUUUUCUAAUUUUCCAGAUUAAUCAAUAGGAGCAACUGCAAUUUUAUGAGAACCCCACUCGAAGAUAAACACAUUAUCAUGCCCUUUAUGGGUAGCAUCUACAUCAAACUGCCAAUGCCUUCCUAGUAAUACAUGGUUGGCAUCCAUAUCAAUUACAUCACACCAAAUCUCAUGUUUGUAAGGCUUACCAAUAGAAAGAGGAACCCUGCAUGCUUCUGUCACCUUUACUGAUGGUUCUCUCUUCACCCACCCUAACAUAUAAGGAUUCUUCUGCUUCUCUGUUGUAAGUUUUAAAUAAUCAACCACUUUUGUGACAUAAAAUUCUCACAGCUGCCACCAUCUACAAUCAAUGUGCACACCUUCUUAUCAACAGAACAUAAGGAAUGAAAUAUGUGAUUCCUUUAUCCUUUUUGUUUAGGCAAAAGGAGAGCUCGUUAUAACACCAUGUUGAGCACUUCGUCUUCUUCAAUAGUAGUACGAUUCAUCAUCAAAUUAACAACCUCAUUAUUAUCUUCAUAUGCAAACUCAACCCUAUCAUAAUCAUCAUCAUAAUUUCCACUAUGAUCAUCAGCUUCUUCAUUUCCUUCUACAAGGUUCGCUUGCUUUUGCUUUGGACAGUUAUUGGAUCGUUGGCCAGGCUGGAAACACCUAUAACAGACAUCACUAGUUGCUCUAGCGUAAGGGCCAUGGUUUGGUCUUUGAUUUCGAUUAUGAUUUAUGUCAUUGUUCUGGCUGCUCUCUCCUCUGUAAUUCUGCCCUUUAUAAUUAUUUUUUUGGAUCAGCUGGAACUCUUCCUUCUUUUGUUAGGAACAGAAGAAUCUGCUGCCUUCCUCAAGUAAUUAUUGUUGUUGCCAUAGUUCAUUUUUUUAUUCUUUUGUUCACAUCCCUUCAGUUCUUUCUCUAACUAUUGUGCCUUUAUAGCCAUAUUUUGAGCCUCAUGGACGUCUUAGAAAACUUGUAACCCAAUUCUAUCAUGUAUUGACAUCGUCAAUCCAUUGACAUAUCUUGAUAACAUCUGCCCCUGAGUCUCAUUCAACGAAUUUCUCUAUGCCAACUGUAGGAACUCGUCAGUAUAAUCCUCUACUGCCCUGCUUCCCUGGGUACAAUUAUGGUAGAGGCAAUAGAGAUGUCACGCAUAAUCUAUUGGAAGGAAACGAUCCAUCAUCAAUUGUUUCAUCCUGCGCCAUGUCCUGACCUGUUGUUUGGCCUGCCUCUGUUGUGACUUUUGCAAAUUAUCCCACCAUAUAGUUGCACUCCCCUUUAAGCGAAAAGCCGCUAUCUUUGUCAUCCUCUCCUCUAGUACCGAUAUAAUCUCAAAAAAUCCCUCUACCUCCAUGUUGUAACCCAUUUUCGGGUCCCUAUAAAAAUAAAAAUAAAUAAUAAUAUUAAUAAAAUAAAUAGCCAAAAGAGAUUAGAAAAAAUAAUAGCAGGCAGAAGCGCUCAGAAGAGGCGCAUAAAUAGAGGGGCUGUAAUGUAUUGAUUCAGGGGCCUAAUUGAAGAAAUUGGCAGCUUAUUGAUCAAUUGAGGGCUCAAUUGCAUAAAUCAGAGGCCAAGGACCAAAGUGAAAAACGCGGCCAACUAUAGGGGCGGGGACUGAAAUUGGCAGGGAUGGAAUUGAAUUUAUUCUUAAAAUCGAGAUUAGAUUUGAGGACUUAAUAGAGCAAAGGAUAAAUUAAGGACUGAUUUGGAAAAAAACUUUCUGGCUCCACUUUUAAAUGAAACGAUGCGUUUUCUCCAAAACGAUGCCGUUUCAUACAUUAAAAAAAAAAAGACCGAACGGUGCCGUUUUGAACGGCACUGUUCCCCUUUCUUCUUCCCCCCGAACGUGCAGCAGGGGAAGAAGAAAACCUUUGUUUUUUUUUAAAUCUUCCCGCCUCUCUCUCCUUGCGUGCUUUGACCCGGAGCCCCGCGCCCUUGGCAGCGACGCCUGCCGACCAACCGACCAGCGCUGGCCCACUCCCCAUGCAGCCAAUAAAAGGCAAACCAAAAACGGAGAGAAAGCAACGAACCGAGAGAACACAGAACCAUGGAAAACAGCCGCAGCGCCGCUUAGAGCCGUCGUCUGUGAGCCACGACACCGCCACCGGCCUCCACCGCAGCACCGCCAAUGAAGCAGCCAGGCCAGCAACGCGCCGCCUCCUCCACGCCAGGUAACUCUUCCUUCCCUACCGCCUGUAAUUAACCUCCUGCAUGCAGAAUGAAAUAUCGUUCUGCAUGCAGGGGAUGGGAGGGGAAAAUAAUUCCCCUCCUCGUUUUCGUUUUUUCCUUCCUGGGCUAGACUGAUUCUGGCCCAGCCUUUAGGUCUGGGCCGGGUCCAGCCCAAACUAGAAGAAACAUGAUGAACUGUGGGGCCGAUAUCGGCCCAAUUCCUGCUGGGCUGAGCCUAGCCCCUUUAGUUGGGCCGGCCAAUCCCACAUAAUAUAUUAUAUUAGAUUAUAUAUUAUAAUGUUUUAUAUUAUGUAUGCAUAUAUAUAUAUAUAUAAAAUUAAAAAUAUAUAUUUUGAAAAAAUAUUUUUAAAAAAAUAUUGAUGAUUUUCCUGCAUAUUUUUGUCAAAAUGGCUUAAUAUUGGUUUGUAUUUUUGUACCAUAAAGAUACAAAUCCAGUAUUAAAAUACCCACAUUUCAUCGAAGCAUCAAAAAUUUUUAAAAUAAAAAAUGUUUUACUUUCAAAAAAUUCUAAAAAAAAUCCUUAAAAAAAUAUCGUUGAUUUUGCUUCAUAUUUUAUUAAAAUGGCUUAAUAUUGAGUUGUAUUUUUAUACCGUAAAGAUACAAAUCCAGUAUUAAAUACCCGAUUUUCGUCAAAAAAAAAAAAAUACAUAUAAAAAAAUGUUUUUUUUAAUGCAUACGGCCUAGUCUCUCUAAAAUAAAGAAAAGUCAUCGCAUCAUAUUUUCAUACGACAAAAGAAAUUUCGAAAACAAUAUAGGUAUUAGCAUGCAUUUUGGCUUUAAUAACUAGUUUAUUCAAGCCAUGAGAACUAGGCCAAUAUUUCAAAAAUUCCAAAAACAUUAUUGUGUUUUCUUUUAGUAUUUGGGGUUACGAUCUUAUACGUAAGACGUAUUCUGAAUAUUAAAUUCUUUUGUUAAUGUCAGAAUUACCUAUUAAGACAAGGAUCUCCUUACCGAGGAGGACUUUUCUUGAACCAUACCAACAACUAGGAAAGCACGAAAAGACCUUAGAUUUUAUCAGACAAUAAAACAAUACAGCUUACCUUAGGUAGGGCGUAUUUGGGGUGCUAACCCCACCCUUAGGUAGGGCGUAUUUGGGGUGCUAAAACAAUACAACCAGUCCCCGUACCCGAUCUUUGAGACCAGUUAGGGUUCCUAGUGACCAAAAUACUAGGUGGCGACUCCCAUUCCAUUUUCCACCAAUAAACAACAAGAAUUUCGUGUCUCCCCAUAUUUGCCAAAUAGAUAUAGAUAGAUUUACAUUGUAGAUUUAAAAUGGAAAACUUGUAAUUUUCGCCGCGACGCCGCACACGUGCGACAGAAUGACGACUCCACUGUGGACCUUGUAGACUAAGCUUUGUUUUUGUCUGAUUUGUUUGUAUUUGUGUGUGUUUAUUGUUAAUAUGCCUUUCCUUUUAUUUAUUUGCGUAUUUGUUUUUUUUAUUUUACACGUAUUAUUCAUGCAUUGAAUAAAAUUGUCUCAUGCAUCACUUGCUUUUAUUUUAAGAAGCACACACAAGCCUUAAGUUAAGUGGGGAAUUAGCGAUUUGCCCUAAGACUAUUGGUCAGGGUUCAGAUGCGUGAAACACCCAACUCAUAUUUGAGUGCCUGCUUGGUAAUGGUGGGCAUACGUUUCUUAACUAUUCCUUGCAACGCCCCCAUAUUGUCUUUACGAAGAACGUCACUAGGCAGAUAUGAGACCCUUCAAGACUAGAUAGAAAAACUACCCACUCCCACUUAAUAAAUAGAGCUUGUCCUUAGGUUAUGUAUCUUACUUUCAUUUGCAUCAUGAUUAAUAAUGUUAAAUUCAUCAAUCCAGGUUUUGAGCUAAAAUCAUGACUAAGGACCUUUCUUUCCAAGAAUUUGGACAAGAAUCUGAGUUGGCUCAGAUAGCUAAAAGAAAAUGUCCAAGAAUUGAUGCUAGUGGGUUACCAUGGAUUACCAAGAUAAAUCACAUGGUAAAUGACUUAGGGAAGUUAUUGUCUAUCAUGGAAUAUGUUGAUGAGACUCUUUUUGAAAGGCGAUACGGGAGAAUUGCACAAUUAAUGAGGUUGCCCGUACAAGCAGCAGCGAUCAAAGCCCUUCUAAAUUUUUGGGAUCCCAGUUAUCGGUGUUUUACCUUUAGGAACAUCAAUAUGACACCAAUGUUGGAGGAAUAUGAGAGGAUUCUAGAUUUUCCAGAUAACAGCCACAGAAUUUACCAUCGGCGAAGAUUUGAGGACACAGCUUCGGAGGUAGUCAGUUUAUUAGGCUUAGGAAAGAUCAGCCAAUGUAGAGUCACCGAAGGGGGUUUCAAAUGGAAGGUCAUUGAAGCCCGAAUGAAGAAAAAUGCUAAAGAAGGCAAGUUGGGAGAUGAAUGAUAUAGGUUGGUGGCCUUCGCCAUCUUUGGACUAGUAUUAUUCCCUUCCGAAAUUGGGGUCAUUAGUUUGGAAGCAGCAAGUGUGUUCGUAGAAUAUGAGCAUGAUCGGAUCAAUCCUUCCUCAGCCAUCUUGGGGGAAACCAUGUUAUCACUCAAUCACUGCAGAACGUAUGGAAAAUGAGCUAUGAGAUGUUGCAUCCCUAUGUUGUACUUAUGGAUAAUCAGUCAUAUCGAAACACCAAGGGACAUCUUCAACAACUUUUGGUGGUUUGAUCUGCGACUGUUAAAGAUUACCAUAGAUGAGACUUGAAAGAAUUGGGAUGAGAAAACAUGGAUGGAUAAGUAUGCAGCAUUGCCAAGGAGCAACUUCAAGUGGAAAGUGUUGUGGAUGAACAACGCAUCUGCACAAUGAGCUGUGGAAGCAAGAUAUGGGUUCCUUUGAUUGGUGUAACCGGUUACAUUAGUUAUGCGCCCGCCCUUGUAACAAGGCAAUUAGGAAGAAUGCAGUACACACUAAGAACCCUGGGUUUAGCUGAUUUCAUUGGUUUAUUCAAGCACCUGCCAUUCCUAGAAGAAAUAGAGCUUAUUCGUCAAGAUUGGGAAAGACCUCUAAAGGUGAAAAGGGAAGAAGGGGGCAAUUUUGAAACAUCUUUCAGCCAGAAUUAUGCAGUUUGGAGGAACGAAGAGCUUUCUGGAGUGAAGGGUUUCUCAACACAAGAACAGUCGAAAUCAGCGAUAGAGCAACAAAAAAAGAAAAAGAACGGAUGAUGAGGAAGAUUUAAGAAAGCAGAUAGAGCAGUGUAGAAUUGAUCUCAAUAAAAGUAAGGGGCAACAACAACUAUUAGAAAACCAGUUAGAGGAAGAAAAUACGAUGAGGGUUUUUUUGAACCAGCGGUUAGAAAAACAGGAUAAGCAGUUAAUGUCUUUAAAGGAAUGGCAGAAAAGGGCCGAGGUAGCUGAAGAGAUAACAACGGGUGUCCAGGCUGAGUUAAGGAAUCGAAUAGCUGAAUAUGAUGAGCUGGUUAAGAAGAAUGGGCUCAUAGAAGAAUGGGCUAAGGUUAAGAGAUCAACAAAAGGCAAGAUGAAUGUGGAUAAGGAGGUGAUGGAUUCUUUGAAGAAGGGAAGGAACCUUCUUUUAAAGAAAGUAGAAGUUGAAAAGGAGAAGAAUCGGCUAGCCAAGCUUGACAUAGAAGAAGAAAGGAAGGUCAGAGCUCAAUACAUGGUGCAACUGGAGGAAGAGAGAAGUGUGAGAAAGGCCGUCGAGUCUGAUAUGAUAGAUUACCAGAAGAGAGCUGAGUCUUCGAAAGGAAGGAUGAUGGCUUUACAAUCGGAGAUCGAGAUACGAGAAGAAGAGUUGAGGGAGUUAAGAAACCAUUACUUCGAGAUGGAAGAGGAGCUGAGUAAGGCUCAGCAAGAGCGUCAGGAAUGCCAAGACUACAUGGACAACUUUGCAGUUCAAAUUAAUUCCAAAAUAGCCGAGCUGGAUAUCGAAAAGGAAGAACUGUAGAGGAUAAGAGAUAAGCUGGCACGGUUAGAGGAUAUGGUUCGAGUGUUGGAAAGAAGUAACAAAGCCUUAGGAGCUAGCAACGAAGCGAUAAUCGCAGAUAACAUCGUAUUCCAUGACAGGAUAAGACAUAUGUCAAAACAGGUUGAGCAAGUAGCCCGUUAUGCGAAAAGGUUGCAACAGCAAGCCACCCAAGUUGGAAAUGAUGCUUCAAAGUAUCGAGAAUAUAUGGGGGCCAUGGCCUGUUUUAUUGGGGAUUUAACUAAUAGGAGAAAUGCUUUUUAGAGGUAGCAAUGUGUAAGACCCUCUUUUCCAUUAUCGUUUUGUAUGAGCAACUUUUUAUUUAUAAGAAGGCCAGGACAUAUUGCUCUUCUUAAUGUGUUUUAGUAAGCCAUUAUGAUAAGAACUUGGCAAACCCUCCUUUAUGGUAAUCGGGUCAACUCAAAAAUCUUGCCUAAAGGAUUACAAAAGUCAUGAAUCAGCUCAUAAAAAAUACACAUUACAUGUGGAUCACAUUUUCAUCACGCAAUUUGUUUUUAAUUUAUCAUAUGCACUCCAGAUCAUAAAACAUAGGUCCCAAGUCCAGAUUCCACCAAACCCGGUCCAGAUCAAGGAUGGAGAACGAAGAAAGAGCUCACUUAGAGUCACACUAUCAGACCGAGUUAGAAUCCGUAAAAAAUGAAGUUGCUAGGCUGACCAUCCUACUCGAGCAACUGUUAAGAGCUAAGAAUGGGGAUGGAACGUCAGCAUAACCACCUGAAGGAGCACCAGCAGCUCACGCCCUUAAGCAUCCCAAAACCAGGGGGCAAACUCGGCCAAUGAACAACAUUUUGUGCCUAUUACCCCUAUCCAACCAACUAAUGCUCCAAUCACUGUUGACUUAACAGCGGAAGGAACCCCGGAUAAUAGGUCUCCCAAUUUGAUGGACUAGGACAAGUUGUUUGCCUUGGAAGAAAGAUUAAGGGCAGUUGAGGGUAAUGACUGGUUUGACCCCAUGCAAGCAGCUGAAGUAUGUCUAGUACCAAACAUCGUGGUGCCAAAAGAUUUCAGGAUACCAGAGUUCAUUAAGUACACUGGUUUGGAAUGCCCAAACACUCACCUUCGAUCCUACUGCAAUAAAAUGGCGGAAGUAAUCCGCGAUGAUAAACUGCUAAUCUAUUUCUUUCAGGAUAGCCUCACAGGAUCCGCUUUAAGCUAGUACAUGAGGUUAUAUAGUGUUAGGAUCAGGAGUUGGAGAGACUUAGUGGAGGCUUUCCUUAAGCAGCAUAAGUUUAACAUGGAAAUUGCUUUUGAUCGAACAAGUCUAAUGUUAAUGGAGAAAAGGAGCCAAGAGUCAGUAAGGGCUUAUGCACAAAGAUGGAGGGAUGAGGCAAUGCAUGUCCAACCCCCUUUGAUAGAAACAGAGAUGGUGAAUUUGUUUGCCAAUACCUUCAAGGCACCUUAUUAUGAGCAUCUAAUAGGUAGCUCCUCUCAGCAUUUCUAUGAUCCGGUCCGAAUAGCCGAAAGGAUAGAGCAAGGGAUUAAAGCUAGGCGUAUAAUGGAGCUGUUGGAAAAGAAGGGUUUUAGUGGAAGAAAGAGAGAAGGCGAUAUUAACAACUUGGAAGGUGGGUAUAAGGGCAAGAGAGUAGAUUCCCCUAAUCCACAAGUACCUACCUCCCAAUUCCCCCGCGUGAACUUUAACCAACUCUUUCCCCCUAAUCGAACAAAUAACUAGUUAAAUAACCAAAUUCACCACCAAAGACCCCAUACGAGACACACUUCAGAACAAUUGCCGUCGUUACCCAUACCUUUGAAAGACAUGUACGCCAAACUAUUGAGCAUUGGACAUAUAGCUCUUAUCCCUACACUACCACUACAACCACCAUUCCCAAUUUGGUACAAGCCCGAGUUGACUUGCAAGUAUCAUGCGGGUAAUCCCGGGCAUGGGAUCGAAACCUAUUACGCUUUCAAGAAGAGGUUGUUGGAGCUUAUUAAAAUAGGAUGGGUAUCCUUUGAAGACAAGCCCAAUGUUAAUUCAAACCCGUUGCCUAAACAUGCUUCAAGUAGUAGUGGAAUAGGCAUGAUAGAAGUUGGAAAUCAAUGCAAGGCGUUGAAGGUGUCUAUGAAAAAGUUGUACGGCAUGCUAGUACGAUCAGGAUUUCUAGAGGCAAAUGUGGAAAGCCAUUUGGAGGGGGGUGACUAUUGUGAGUUCCAUGGAAGAGAUGGACACCAUAUUGAGGAUUGCAUCGAGUUUUGCAAAAAGAUUGCAAAAAUGCUGAGAAUGGGACAAUUGAGAAUUGAACCCAUGGAGAGCAGGUGUGAGGUGAGUAUGAUGGAAGGUCAAGAUGAGAUGACAGGAGCAUGCAGGGUCCAACAAACAGCUAAUGGGCCCCCAAGGCUGAUUUUGGUUAAACCGUCCUGCACGAAAGGGAAUCACAAUGCCAUGCCUUAUAAUUAUGGUUAUGCCUCCAACAUUCGAGCUCCUCUUCCUUUGUUCCAGACUGAGAUAAGUGAUUUGACCAGGAGUGGUCGUUGCUUUACGCCUGAGGAGUUGAGGAAGGAAAAGGGUAAAUAAGUGGUAGACCUAGAUAAAGCACUAGAAGUUAAUAAGCCGGUAACGGAAGAGGAGUCGAAUGAAUUCUUGAAGUUGAUCAAGCAUAGCGAAUAUUACAUAGUAGAUCAACUAAAAAAGACUCCAGUUAGGAUCUCCCUUAUGUCCUUGAUACUCAGCUCUGAGCCGCAUCGAAAUGCCUUGCAAAAGGUAUUGAAUGAGGCAUAUGUACCCCAAGACAUUGAACAUAAAACCAUGGAGCAUCUAGUAGGGAGGAUCCAUGCAACUAAUUACUUGUACUUCACGGCUGAUGAGCUUGAUGCUAAAGGUACCGGACAUAACAAUCCCUUAUACAUCACAGUUAGGUGCAAGGACUGCCUCAUAGGAAAAGUACUCAUCAAUAAUGGCUCGGCCCUUAACGUAUUACCAAAGCACAUUCUGGAGGAAAUGCCGAUCGAUGAAUCUCAUAUGAAGCCGAGUACUAUGAUGGCCAGCGCAUAUGAUGGCUCACCUAGGCCAAUAAUUGGGACUUUAGAAGUGGAGCUAUAUGUGGGACCGCAAAUGUUCCUAGUGACACUUCUGGUUAUGGAUAUCCACCAUUCCUAUAAUAUAUUGUUGGGAAGACCUUGGAUUCAUGCAGCGGGGGCGGUAGCUUCUUCAUUGCACCAAUGCCUGAAGUAUAUCAUGAAUGGGAUGUUGGUAACUGUCAAGGCCGAGGAGACAAUAUCCAUGAUAAAGAAUGUGGUUGUGCCUUUUAUUGAAGCGGAUGAUUGCAAGGAUAACAAUAUCCAUGCUUUUGAGAUUGUGAACACCGACUGGGUGCCGGAGAACACAGUACUGAGAAGGCCAAGGAUCUCAGAAGCAGCAAGGAUGGCAAGUCUAUGCUUUUUGGACUGGGGGAUCCCAUUUUAGUAUAACCUUAUUGUCGGGAUACCAGAAGGGGUUAAUCUGACAAGGAUGAAAAGAGCUGAUCAAAGAUUUGGGCUAGGGUAUCAACUUAACCAAGAGGAUUAUCGGUGGGCUGCUGGUCGGAGAAGGGCAAGAAGAAUGGCUAGAAUUAAAGGAAGAGAGCUUGAAGAAGAAAAGCUAGAAAUCCCUACCCUUAGCGUAUCAUUCCCAAAAGUUGCAUACAUAAUGCAACAUGAUAAAGGAGCUGAAAGCCUUGGUCAAGAACUGGCAAAUAUGAGCAUAAACACCUUGGAGGAGAAUGAGGAGGAAGGAGAUGACAUGGAAGUAGUAGCAGGAAAAGGAGAUGAAGUGCUGCGACAACUGACGGUCCAUACAUGAGAAGAAGUCUCCGCCAAGACUUUUGUGCGCAAGUUGGCUCAGGACGAGAAGUUUCAGAACUGGGUAACCCAAGAAGCCCCAGUAGUUUUCAAAAUGUAAACCAACCUUGUUUGCCUUAACAUGCUUUUGUCAUUGCUUAUGUUUGCUUUUAUUUCCUCUGGUUGACAAUCAAGGCUCAUGAUGUCAGCUAGAUUUUGUGUUUGUCAUGGAGCCCACAUUUUCUUUAAAUAAAUGAUGAGAUCAUGCACUUUUCAAAUUUGUUUUUUAUACAUUUACACCAAGCACUUCCUGCUUUCAAGAAUCCUGAAAGCGGAUCUCCUACAACAUCACAUACAUUUAGCAUCAAGAAUAAAUGGCCAAACUUGAACGAGCAUGUGAUAGCUAUGGAAGAAGAAGAGUGGGAUGAAAGCAAUAUCAGUGAAUUCACCAGGCUAGUAGAACAACAGGAACAGAUUUGGAAGCCUGCCGCCGAGGAACUCGAAACCAUCAAUGUAGGCAGUGGUCAGCUCAAGAAAGAGUUGAAAAUAAGUACCUUAAUUACUUCUGAACAAAGGAUAACAUGAUCACCCUAUUACAAGAAUAUUUAGAUGUCUUUGCUUGGUCCUAUGAAGAUAUGUCCGGUUUGGAUACAAGUAUUGUAGUACACAAGAUACCGUUGGAAGAAGGUUAUAAGCCAGUCAAGCAGAUCUAACAGUAAAUGAAGCAGCCAUGAGAUGUGUAUUGGGUCAGCAUGAUGAAACCGGAAGGAAGGAAAGAGCUAUUUAUUACUUAAGUAAGAAAUUCACUGAAUGUGAAUCUAGAUACACGGAGAUAGAAAGGCUUUGUUGUGCAUUGGUUUGGGCGGCAAGAGGUUGCGACAUUAUAUGUUAUACUAUACCACUUUGUUGAUUUCAAAAGUGGAUCCCCUGAGGUAUAUUUGUAACAAACCCUUUCUCUCAAGUCGAAUUGCAAGGUGGCAAGUUUUAUUAGCGGAAUAUGACAUAGUGUAUAUGACAAGGAAAGCCGUAAAAGGGAGUGCAAUCGCGGACCAUCUGGCCGAUAAUGCUAUUGAAGAUUACGAACCUUUGGAUUUUGAUUUCCCCGAUGAAGAUAUAUUGUUAAUAGAAAAAGAAGAAGAGAAGACAGAUUGGUGGACCAUGUUUUUUGACGGGGAAGUGAAUGUAUAUGGUAACAGGGCCGGUGCGGUAAUAAUCUCUCCUAAUAAAAAACAAUAUCCAGUUUCGGUUAAACUGCAUUUCGAGUGCACCCAAUACAGCUGAGUAUGAAGCUUGUAUCCUCGGUUUAGAAGUGGCAUUGGAGCUGAAGAAAAAGAAGAUAGAUCUAUAUGAGGAUUCAAUGUUGAUUAUCUGCCAAGUAAAAGGGGAAUGGCAGACUAAAGAGGAAAAGUUGAGGCCGUACCAGGAACACCUAUCCACGCUAGCAAAGGAAUUUGAAGAAAUUAGAUUCACCCAUCUGGGAAGGGAGGGGAACCAUUUUGCGGAUGCUUUGGCCACGCUAUCUGCUAUGACUACCAUUGAUCUCAAGUGCAAGGUACAAUCGAUACAUAUUGACAUUAAAAAUGACCCAGCUCACUGUUGCUUAGUUGAAGGAGAGAUAGACGGACAACCUUGGUAUUACGAUAUCAAGAAUCUUGUGCAAAAUCAUGAAUAUCCGGUGGGAGCUUCUAAAAUGAAUAAGAAAACCUUGAGAAGGUUGGCUAUAGACUUCUAUUUAGAUGGAGAUAUUUUAUAUAAAAAUCAUUUGAUGGAACCCUGCUAAGGUGUUUGAAUGAGGCAGAUGCUAGAAAGGCAUUACGAGAGGUCCAUGAGGGGAUUUUCUCAACCCAUGCUAGCGGGCAUAUGAUAGCAAGGAAAAUCCAAAGGGCUGGUUAUUUUUGGAUGACACUAAAGAAAGACUGUAUCGACUAUGUCAGGAAAUGUCACAAAUGUCAAGUUUACAGUGACAAGGUCAAUAUGCCACCAGCUCCUCUAUUUAAUCUAAUAUUUCCUUGGCCAUUUGCAAUGUGGGGAAUUGACGUGAUCGGUCUUGUUAACCCAAAAGUUAGCAAUGGUCAUAGAUUCAUCCUUGUAGUUAUUGACUACUUCAUAAAAUGGGUGGAAGCUAAUUCAUAUGCCCACGUAACACAGAAGGUAGUGAAGAAGUUUGUAGAAAAAGACUUGAUUUGCCGAUAUGGUCCUCCAGAAAAGAUAGUGACAGAUAAUGCACAAAAUUUCAAUGGCAAAAUGAUAGUGGAGCUGUGUACUAAAUGGAAAAUCAAGCAUUCGAAUUCCUCACCAUACCGACCAAAAAUGAAUGGCGCAGUAGAAGUCGCCAACAAGAACAUUAAAAGGAUUACUCAGAAAAUGGUAGUCACAUAUAGAGAUUGGCAUGAGAUGUUGUCGUUUGCUCUUCAUGCAUAUCGCACUACAGUCAAGUCCUCGACAGGGACUACCCCAUAUUCUCUUGUGUACGGUGUGGAGGCAGUGAUGCCUUUGAAAGUGGAAAUCCCGUCGUUAAGAGUGUUGAUGGAUUCUGAAUUAGAAAAGGCCGAGUGGGCCAAAGUGAGAUAUGAGCAACUGAACUUGAUCAGUGAAAAGAGGAUGGCUGCAAUAUGUCAUCACCAACUUUACCAGAAACGAAUGGCCAAGGCAUAUGAUAAAAAGGUUAGACCGCGGUUGUUUCAAGAAGGGGAUCUAGUAUUGAAGAAAAUAUUGUCGUUACCUGGAGACGAUCAAAGCAAAUGGGCACCAAAUUACGAUGGUCCGUACGUAGUAAAGAAGGCAUUCUCAGGAGGAGCGCUGAAGUUGGCUAAAAUGGAUGGAGAAGACCUAGCUCGACCUGUGAAUUCUGACUUUGUAAAAAGAUAUUAUGCUUGAUGUAGGCUCCUAAAUGAAUAAAGCAAAGUUUGGCCAUUGACUUCUUUGUUUUUUUGCAUUGAUCUCACAACAGUCAUUUUUGCAUUAAUCCUAACAGUGCAUUUUUUGUUGUUAUCGCAUCACUCACUAAAAAUUUUAUCAUUGGCUGAAUGAAUUUAUUCUCUAUAUAAAAGCCUAGACUAGGAUCACACCCAUACACUAGGGGCAAUAAGAGAUGUUUCAUGAAAAGUUUUACGUGUUUGAAAUUGAACGGAAGCCCAUAGAUUUGAAAACCAAGCUAAAGCAUUUGAUAAAAGCAUGACAAAGAAGGCAACAACAAGCCAUACAUUUUGAAAAAUAGUUUCCUGUAAAAAGUCAAAGACUUCUUCUCAAGGAUAUGAUAAGUAAAAAAGGGAGGCAGCACGACAAAUGAAUCUAGCAUGCGACUUCAAAAGUAAGCUCAUGACAAAAGGGAGAUUCAUAAAAUAGAAGAAGAUGAUGGGACCUAUGUUUCAAAACCAGGUACGAAUGCAUGCAUGGCAUCUAAUCGUAAAAUCAUUGCAAGUAUUGUUUUUGGGUCGUUACAGGAGGAGUCCUUAUUGUAAUCCAACAAGAUUGUGGAUGAAGAAAGAAUCAUUGAGUUGAUAAUAAGAAUCACGGUUUUGAUUCUGGAAUAACGAGAAGAUGAUGAAAGUUCCAAACCUUGCCAUCGGGAAGAACGACAUCGAUAUUAGCUUUGGUAAAAGGGAAUCGCCAGAUGGGAUUCCAGGUUGACCGAUUUAGUAAAUAGAUUUUUUUGGUUUUUGAUUAAAGGAGAUCGCCAAAAGGGAUCUCAUAUUUUCAGCGUUGGUCAAAGGAGGUCGCCAGAAGGGACCUCAUAUUUCAGCUUUGGUUAAAAGGAAUCGCCAGAUGGGAUUCCAAGUUGAUUGAGCUACAGGAGAUCACCAGAAGGGAUCUCGUAUUUCGAUAUUGGUCAAAGGAGGUCGCCAGAAGGGACCUUAUAUUUCAGCUUUGGUUAAAAGGAAUCGCCAGAUGGGAUUCCAAGUUGAUUAUAGGAGAUCGCCAGAAGGGAUCUCAUAUUUUGAUAUUGGUCAAAAGAGGUCGCCAGAAGGGACCUCAUAUUUCAUUUUGGUUAAAGGGAAUCGCCAGAUAGGAUUCCAAGUUGAUUAAGCUACAAUAAUAGGUUUUGGUUUAAGGAGGUCGCUAGAAGGGAUCUCAGGUUAACCCAACCGUAAUACCGAUUUUAGCUUUGGCUAAGGGAAAUCGCCAGAUGGGAUUUCAGGUUGGCCAAACUACAAAUAUGAUUUUUUUAGUUAAAAGAGAUCGCUAGAAGGGAUCUCGAAUGGAAUUCCAUGUUAAUCAAAUGGAAGUUAGAAUUCAGAGGAUCGCCAGAUAGGGAUCUCGAGCUGACUAAGUUUCGAUCAUAAUUAUUUGGGCUGAGGAGGAUUGCCGUAAAGACAAUGUUUUAGAUCGAUCAAGCUUCGACCAGAUCGGUUUCGGGAGUUCAAUUUUGGGUUUAUCUUUAUAAAACUUACUGCGCAAAAUCCCUGCUCUGUAAGUAUUAUAAAGAGGGGGCAUCUGUUGUAACCCAUUUUUGGGUCCCCAUAAAAAUAAAAAUAAAUAAUAAUAUUAAUAAAAUAAAUAGCCAAAAGAGAUUAGAAAAAAUAAUAGCAGGCAGAAGCGCUCAGAAGAUGGUCAGAAAAAUUGGUCAAGGAGGUUAAAAAUACAAAGAUCGGAUUUUUGAUAGUAUAUUCUUGAAUGAUGAGAGCCCUGUUGGGAAGGAAAAUUUGAAUUUUUAGGAGAAAAGUCCAAAUUUAGAUGUUUAUGGACUUAAUUGGAUUUUUAAUUGAGUUUAUAAAGGAUUUGAUUGCAAGAAAAAAGGCAAAGAGAGACUCUCCAAAACAAAACACACAGACCCGGCCGCUCAACCUUUUCUUCCCCCACACUGCACCUCCAAACAACGCAGCCCCUACCCCUUUUUUUUUUACCCCGGCCAAACAGCCCCCCCAAAAACCCCCCCCUCGGAUUAUUUUUUUUCUUCCUUCAGCCGCUCUCCCCUGGCCGACUCUCUUCCUCCCACUUCCACAGCCCAAUCACCCAUCUCCCCUCAGCCAAAAAAAAAAACGCAGCCGCUCCUUCAUCCCCUCUCAGCCGGUCUUCUCUGUCAGCACCGAAGGCAUCCCCGACCAAGGAGAAGCCGCCCCCCCCUCACAGGUCUCCGCCGAACAGCCUCCAGCGGCAGCAAUAGCCACAGACCAGUGGCCACAACCCCUUCGUCUCCACCCAUUUCUUUCUCCUUCAAUCGACCACCAUCAGCACAGUCCACCAACCAGCCUCCUCCCACCGAAGAACCCAGCGGCGGCCGACAGCAGCAACACCACAGAUCUUCCCAUCUUCGGCCCCCUGCAACAGCUUUCUAGUCACCAACAGCCGCUGAACCCAGAAGAAAGGAGAAACGGGGCAGAUCAAGAAAAAAGAAAACGAAGCAGAUUUUAAAAUAAAGGAAAAAAUUUAAAACAGACUGUUGCUGUGUUUUUUGUGUGUUUGCAGGUGAUUUUUGUUUCCCACCGACGACAAGGAAGGGAAGAGGGAAGGAGAUUAGCACAACCCCCUGCCCACAAUUUUUUUUCUGGGGGGCGCGUGCACCCACGCGCCGCCACUGUUCAGAUGGCACCAAGGCUGUGCAGCACUGUUCCCGAGGAUUUCCUUUUUCCUUUUUGUAAUUUCUAGAUGCUGUGUGUAUUUAGAUAUUAUUGUAUUUGAUUUGUUUUGAAUUUUUGUUAUUUGUUUUAUUGUGUAAAUGUGAUGUAAAAUAAAAUAAAAUAAAAUAAAAAAGAAAAGAAAAGAAAAAAUAAAUAAUAAAAAAAGUUGUGUGUGUGAUUGUUUUUAUUUAUUUAUUUAUGUUAUUGAAUUAUAAAAAUAAAAAAAACACAAAAAGAAUUAUUUGUUAAAUUUAAAUAUGGUUAAAUAUCUCAAGGACAAAUAAAAUCAAGUUGUAUUUUCCACGAAAAUGUAAGGACAAGUUUCUACAUAUAUUCGGGGAUUUAAUAACUGACUUAUUCAAGCCUUAGAAUUUAAUUAAUUUUGACAAAAAGAAUUGAUUGUUAAUUUAAAUAUGGUUAAAUAUCUCAAGGACAAAUAAAAUCAAGUUGUAUUUUCCACGAAAAUGUAAGAACAAGUUUUUACAUAUAUUGGGGAUUUAAUAACUGAUUUAUUCAAGCCUUAGAAUUUAAUUAAUAUUUUAAAUUUUCAAAUCACAUCAGAACAAAAGCAGCUUACCUCAGGUAGGGUGUUAGGGGUGCUAAUACCUUCCCUAACCACAACCAGUCCCUUACCCGCGAUCUCUGACAAGACCAGUACAUCAGGUUUCCUAGUAGCCUUCAAUGAAUUACUAGGUGGCGACUCCAACGAACGAAUUCAAAGCAAACGCAACAAACGAGAAAAAUCGCCAGCCGAUGCCGCGCGCUGGAUUUUUUUGGGGUGCGACAGAUGGCGACUCCACUGGGGACAGGUAUUGUUUUCAACUUUAUCGGACUAAGCUUUGUGUUUUGAUGUGUUCAAUUUUUUUUUGUGCUUUGUUUUGUUUAUUUGUGUUUUAUUCAUGCAUUGUAUAUAUUUCUCUCAUGCAUCACAAGUUUUAAUUUUUGAAAGCACACACCAGCUUUAGGUUAGGUGGGGGACUAGCAGCUUACCUUACGACUUGAGUCAAGGUUUAAGUUUGUGUAAACCCCAACUCUUUGUUGAGUGCUUAGACUGGUAAUAGUUGGACACGUGCCAACCAAUUACCUACUGGGCCCCUAUAUUGCCUUUACGAGGGCGAUCACUGGGACAACAAGAGACCCUUUUAGAGACCAAGUAGCAAACCUACCCUGUCUCACGUAAAAUAAAUAAAACAUGUCCUUAAGUUGUAUGUGCUAUCGUUGUUUGCAUCUGGGCAAACCCUUCUUGAAGCAUCUUGAACUCAAGACUUGUGGAUGACACAUUAGCCGUCACUCUGGAAAUUUGUCACUCUGGAAAUUUUCAUUGUAGAGUUUGAGCAAAAAUCAUGAUUCUUGCUCCAUCAUACAAGAGUUACGACCAUAUUGUCACCCCUCGAAGGGCGAGUUCAUCAUAUAGAUUACAUGUUCAUACAUUUAUCAUGCAUGUACCGGGUUGAAAAGUAGGUUCCCCCGCACAAGCUGUGCUGCAAGUGAUUAAAGAAAGGAUGGAAGUGAAGAAAGAUGUCAGAUAGAGGCUCAUUAUCAGAUUGAGUUUGAGAGCAUCAAAGGUGAAGUAGCUGGACUCAGAUCUGCUCGAACAAGUGUUGAGCAUCAAAUGGAAAGAGAAUGUCUGCACAAUCUUCUGUGGGAACACUGCUUGUCCACGUCCAAUUGAAGUUGUAUCUCUCCUUUCCAGUCAUGAACAAACAACAACAACGCCUUCAGUCAUCAACUAAUGACAACUCUGAUUCUUGUCUAGUUGCAUUGUUAAGUGUUCAUCGCCUCCACUAAUGGAUCCAAACGACUACUAGCCUCUUGUACAUGGUGCAUUAGUCUGCUUUGAAGUCACCCCAAUUAUGAGCUCAAUUCCAGUUCAGCAGCACAAGAUGUUGGUCUGAAAAACCAUGAUCAGACACUGAACUUCUACGUGGUAGAGCUCUCUCUGUAGAGAUUUAUUUGUGGAUCUGCCAAUGGAAAUGCAAAAAGGGAUGUAUUAAUUUCAUAUGCUUUGAAACUUUUUCCCACCAGUGGCACCAGCAAAACAUUGUAGUAGGCAGAAGAGUCAGACCUGGUCUGAAAAUAUUAGUAGUCGUCAAACUUCAAUGUGGCAGAGCUCUCUCUAUAAAAAUCCAUUAUGGCUCUGCAAAUUGGGAAUGCAAGAGGGGAUUUAUAAGUUGCAUAUGCUAUAAAUAUGUCUCUCAUCAGUUUCAGCACGAAGACAUCUUAGUAGGUUGAAGAGCCAGACCUGGUCUGAAAAAAUAUGAGCAGACAUCAAACUUCAACGUAGCAGAGCUCUCUCAGCAGGAAUCUGUUUGUGGAUCCGCAAGUGGAAAAUCCAAGAAGGAAUACAAUAGUUUCAGAUCAUCUAUGAUUUUCCUCCAACAAUGUCAGUAUUAAAAUGAAAAAGUAGAGAGAAGAGACAUGCCUAGACUGAAAAACAUGAAGAAGACUGAAACUUCCACAUAGCAGAACUCCCUCUAUUGGUGCUUGUUUGCUGCACCGUUCAAGAGGAAUCGAAGAAGAAAUAGAGGAGAUUCAUGUUCAUCAUUUUCUCCCAUAUAAGAGAUAAGGCAUGAUUCCACAUGUCGGUAGUGGCGAUACUACAAGUUUCUGGGUGCUGCCAAGAUUACCAAGUUGUUGGAAAGUUUUCUAACAAUCCUCAACCAACCACAACAACAUUGGAAGAUUGAAAUGAUGUUGUGAGGAUUUACCAAAGAAUUGAACAAGCUAUGAAGAGAGGAAAGGUUGAAGGAUCUGCCAUGGAUUCUAGAACAAUGAUGAGAUGUGAAUCAGGAGUUGACUUUGACGGUGUGAACCCUUAAUUAUAUGGUAUAGCCAGGUCUCACGGUAGCAUCAAUUGCUCAAAUGUCUUUGCCAAGAUGGGACAUUCCUCUGUCGUUUAAGUUUGUCGACCAGCAUCUGCCAAAUUCCAGAAUUUUGCUUGACUCCGAUAAAUCCCAUGCAACCACCAAUUUCUCGGUGGUAUAAUCCAAAUAAGAGAUGUGAUGUCAUGGUGGGGUCCUCAACCAUUUCAAGUGAACAGUUUCAAGAAUUGCAAGAAUUGAGUCUGAAAGUUGGUGAGUAAGAGACAAGUGGAGUCGGUGAAGGAGGGUGUCAUUGGCUAUAUUGUCCCCCGAGCAUCUUCAGAAUGACAUGUUGAUCGAAAGUGCUUGGCAAAACGCAAAUAUUCCUAGAAAAGCUGAUUCAAGAAUGGUGAUGAACAGUCAAUCAUAUUGUUUUGGAAUUCUGCAUUUUGUUUUGGGAUCACAUCUCAUCCUUUAACGAAACAUGCCUUGCUUUUGUCUCUUUGUUGUUUUGAAAUCAACAGAUGUUUAACAUUUUAUUCUGACAAAAUAUUUUGAUCAAACUCCAACAUGCGAUAAAGGCUAAUCAAUCCUGAAGAUUAAAAGUAUUUUGAUUGCAGAAAUGACUCGAUUCUUGUUGAAAUGACAUGAGGUGACCGAACAAAUUUUGAGCUCACACAUAAUUGAACCACACAUCAUAUAGCUAAGUUUUAGCAGUAUGCAUAAUGACAUGUAGUGGAGUUGGUAGUUAUGGACUCGUGAAUCAUGACUCUUACAAGUCCCAAUCAUUACACUAGAUGAGGUCAAAAUUUAUCGGUUCUAACCGACCUUGCUUGAAAUGAGAAAAGGCCAUCUUUGAUAUCCUUCACUUUCUAAAAAUUAUAUCCCUUGUAGUCCCAUUUUGAGCUGUAUAGAAUAUUUUUUCAUAAAAACCCUGACUAGGAUCACACCCCACACUGGGGGCAAAUGAGAGAUAUUUUGAAGACAUUGAUAUAAUUAAUGGAUAAAGGGGAAGGCUUAGAACAAAAGUCCAAUGUUUGAGAAAGGGCUAGAAGAAGAAAAUCCAUAGAUUGAGGGCCAUCCAAGAAAAACUUUGAGGAAGGCUAUGCAAAAAAAAAAAAGGAAAAGAAUGCCUAUCAAUUCUAAGAGAGGCAAGACAGUUUUCAAUUGAGAAAAGACAAUAAAUGCCAAAAGUCAACACUAGAAAAAUCGAUGCUUCAUAUCUUUUAGUGUGUCUAGGAUAAAGCCUCUAAUGUCUUAAAAAAAAAUUUAGAUUGGUUAUUCAUCAAAGAAAAGUUGGAUUUGCAUUAUGAUCUAUGUUAAUAGAAUUCUGAUAUUUGAGAUUAACAAGGUUAUAUGUCACUUUCUCUACAAUGAUGACGAGAGAAAGAGAAUCGAUGAAUAGUUAAUGUUGAUCCUAAGUCGUUGAAACCCUCAAACACCUUUUGAGCUUUUGAAAUUCUUUUCUUUCAUAGCCAUGAACCAUAGCCUGCAUUACAUGCUUUUAAAAGCCCUUUUUGAUCAAGUAAGCAAUCUGAACCGAUAAAUAGCGCUCUCAAAACUUGAAGAGCUUUUCCAUAAGGGUCGUGACUUCAUGAAUUAAGCUACUGGUUAUUAUGCAUGUUGAUAAAAUAAAUGCUAAGAAAAGAAACAACCUUUCUUGAUAAAGCCUGAGCAUCUUGUUUUUGAAAUUCAUAAAAAUGUCACCUCAUCACAGACCAUCAAAAGAUAUACCCAAAAUCAGAGUUUAAAGUGGACACAAAGAACCAUGAAAAAGUCAUUUUAAAUCUUACAACGGGUCAUUUCUUGUUUUCAAGAUACAAGACAAUCAAAGGACUGCAUUGAAUAGUGUGUUGGGUCUUUGACCAAAGAAGUUUGAGUUUAAAAAAAAAAAUUCAAAAACAGACAUCUCUCUGAUUUCAUUUCAACAAUUAGACUUGAAUAGACAUGAUCGUUGAAAUGUGAGAUUUGAUUUCAGAACAAGAAAGAUUUUCAAACAAGAACAUCAAUUGAGUUUGCAAAAUCCUUGACAAAAAUGACAUCAACAUUUCUCGACACUCCUUGAAACGUUGACCACCUGGGGGCAAUACAGUGGACCCUUGGAAGAAAAGCAAACAACAUUCUAAUCAGCUGGGGGCAAAGAAAGAAUGAGAUGAUGAGUCAUCAAAGUUCAUCAAAGUUAUGUUUUAGCAUCUGACAAUGACAAGGAAAAACCUUCUUGAGUAUAAACCGAUGAACAAACCUUCAAAUCAUAUUGGGGGCAAUGUUGUUCAAAGACAAUCCAUGAUCUAGUGCACUUCAGCAGCAAUUGAUGAGCAACGCUGCACUAGAAGGAUAUUUUCAUAUCUUCAUCUUGGGUUACCCUGUAAAACAUGGCUAUGACUCCUGACAGAUGUUAUCGGGUGAGUGCAUUUGAAUGAACAUCGAACAUAUGCAUACCACUAAGAUUGACUAUGGGACCAUCUAUUCUAAAGCUCAAAUGUGUACUUCACCACAUGAAUAUGGGUGAUAACAUGAACAUCAUUGAUGAUGCCAAAGCAGUUAUUUUCACGAUCUGAUUUGGCAAGCUAAGAGGAAUCCAUAGAGAAAUACAUCGCGCUUACAAUGAUGAGCUGUUUACUGCAAAGCAUGAGAUCCAUGUCUGGAUGACUUGGCAGUUCCAUGAAGGCUGGUGACCAUACAUACUUGAAUGGUGUUUCAACCGAAGGCAAGUUCAUCUUGAUGAGGUGUUGACAUGAUGCACACAAUCAAUCAAAGGAUAAUUCUCAAAAGAAUCCAAGAGAGAAAAUCCUUUAUAAUGAAUCAAGCAGCACCACACUUGGGGGCAGGGUCAAGCUUGAUGAACGAUAUGAGCAGUAAUUGUCGAAGACCGCCUAGGAUGGGCACUGCAUUUACAGCUGAGUGUAUGGCCAAUACAUGAAUGAGUCAAUGCCUCGGAAGAACAAAGAAAGCUUUGGGAUACAAACAGGGGCACCCUAUGACGAUGGAGCAUCAAGGAGGGGGGGACCUAUAUUUCAAAUCAGGUAAUGAUGCAUGCAUAUCAUUUAACCUAAAAAAAAAACAUAAAACAUAAAAAAAACAUAAAAAAACAUAAAAACAUAAAAAAACAAAAAACCAUUUGCACAUAUUUUUGAAUUGUUACAGGAAAAGCCUUAAUGAGGUCCAGCAAGAUGGUGGAAAAAGAAAGAAGCAUUGUGGUGAUGAUAAUAAAGAAUCGGUCUUGAUCAUGGAAUAAAAGGACGAUGGGAUGAACCUUACCAUUAGGAAAAUACCAAAGAAAUGAAAAGAUCAACCUAGCAAUCGGGAAGCCUCGAGUUUUCAACCCUUGCAGUCAGGAAACACCGAGUUUUCAAACCCUAUGAUCGGGAAUUAUCAGGAAGCACCAAGUUUUUCAGCCCUUCUUCUGUCAUCCCCUCAGGACUUCGCCAGGUAAGUCCUAUUUUUCACACUUGUCAUAUCACAUUUUUUCCAUCUGGGUAGGUCGUCCAUCAUAACAAGACCGUUCAUCAUAUUUUUUCCACAUGGGUAGGUUACCCAUUACAAUGAGACCACACUUCAUAUUUUUUCCAUUUUGGGUAGGUCACCCAUUACAAUAAGACCGCACUUCAUAUUCUUUCUAUUUGGGUAGGUCGCCCAUCACAACGAGACCACUUCAUCAUAUUUUUUCCAUCUGGGUAGGUCACCCAUUACAAUGAGACCACGCUUCAUAUUUUUUCCAUUUUUGGGUAGGUCACCCAUUACAAUGAGACCGCACUUCACAUUCUUUCUAUUUGGGUAGGUCGCCCAUCACAACGAGACCACUUCAUCACAUUUUUUCCACUUGGGUAGGUCACCCAUCACAAUGAGACCACCAUUUUCUCUGGGUAGGUCACCCAUUAGAAUGAGACCAUUCUCCAUCUUUUUUUUACCUGGGCAGGUCACCCAUAAGAAUGAGGCCAUUCCUCCCCCUGGGUAGGUCACCCAAAGAAUGAGACCACUCUUCCUCUUUUUCACCUGGGUAGGUCACCCAUCACAAUGAGACCACCAUUUUUUCUGGGUAGGUCACCCAAAGAAUGAGACCAUUCUCCAUCUUUUUUUACCUGGGUAGGUCACCCAAAGAAUGAGGCCAUUCCUCCCCCUGGGUAGGUCACCCAAAGAAUGAGACCACUCUUCCUUUUUCCACCUGGGUAGGUCACCAAUCACAAUGAGACCACCAUUUUUUUUCUGGGUAGGUCACCCAAAGAAUAACACCAUUCUUCAUUUUUUUUUUACCUGGGUAGGUCACCCAUUAUAAUGAGACUGCUUUUUACACAUUCUUUUGUUCCAGUUGAAUGAGGUCGCCAGAUGGGAUCUCAUGUAGCUUUGGUUAAAAGGAAUCUCCAUAUGGGAUUUCAGGUUGACCGAGUUACACACAUUCUUUGGUUUUGGUUAAAGGAGGUCGCCAGAUGGAUCUCAGGAUAAUAAAAAAAAAGAGAGCGAAAAAGAAAAAAAAAGGUUUUUAGAUUAAGUGGAUAUUGAGCAAACAGAAAGACAAGUUUUUCUUUACAAAGCUUACUAUGCAAAACAUCGAGGAUUUUUGCUUCGUAAGCAUUAUAAAGAGGGGGCAUCUGUUGCUACCCAAUUUUUGACCCAUGUUUUUGAUAUAUUUUCAAAAAAUCCAAAAAAAAGAGAAAAACAAUGAAAAUCCAAAAAAUAUGUUUUUUUAUAUAUUCUCGUCAUUUUAGCAUUUUCAGCGUCGUCUAAAAAGAAUUUAAUUUUUCAAAAGAUUUUCAAACGCGUUCAACUUUUCACGCGUCAUUUUUUAAAUCAUUGAUUUUCCUCAUCGAGUCGACGUUGAUAUUGUUCGUUUUCAAAAAAAUACAAAAAAAAACAAGAAAAAUCAAAUUUUACAAAAACAAAAAGUUAAGGGACCAAUUUGGAGGCCCAAACAAUAUUUUUGCCCAUGUAUAAGGAAUUUUGAAUAUUAGAGGGAGAGUCAACACAAAAAAAAAAAAAAAAAGCAACCUAAGAAUUUUUUUUUCUUCACCCGAAAUCAGUCGCUCCCCCUGCCCCAAGACCAUUUGAUCCCUCUCUUUCGGCUCUUCUUUUCCUUAUUUCCAGCCGACAAUGGAGGCCCUCCUCACAAUGAAAACUUCUAUUUCUUCUCAUCCCCAGCUUUGCAAAAGAGGGGGGGGAGAUUGGAGCCAUUUUGGUCGGGUCCCGAGAGUAGUGGGCAGAGAAACUAAAACUCCUUUCCCCCUAUUUUUUUCUUCUCCUUCUCCAGCCGGCUCCCAGCCAACCAGACAGCCCCUCCAGCCGCCUCUCACUGGGCAAAGAGAGACUCUCCAAAACAAAACACACAGACCCGGCCGCUCAACCUUUUCUUCCCCCACACUGCACCUCCAAACAACGCAGCCCCUACCCCCUUUUUUUUUACCCCGGCCAAACAGCCCCCCAAAAAACCCCCCUCGGAUUAUUUUUUUUCUUCCUUCAGCCGCUCUCCCCUGGCCGGCUCUCUUCCUCCCACUUCCACAGCCCAAUCACCCAUCUCCCCUCACCAAAAAAAAAUGCAGCCGCUCCUUCAUCCCCUCUCAGCCGGUCUUCUCUGUCAGCACCGAAGGCAUCCCCGACCAAGGAGAAGUUGCCCCCCCUUACAGGUCUCCGCCGAACAGCCUCCAGCGGCAGCAAUAGCCACAGACCAGUGGCCACAACCCCUUCGUCUCCACCCAGUUCUUUCUCCUUCAAUCGACCGCCAUCAGCACCGUCCACCAACCAGCCUCCUCCCACCGAAGAACCCAGCGGCGGCCGACAACAGCAACACCACAGAUCUUCCCAUCUUCGGCCCCCCGCAACAGUUUUCCAGUCACCAGCAGCCGAUGAACCUAGAAGAAAGGAGAAACGGGGCAGAUCAAGAAAAAAAAAACAAAGCAGAUUUUAAAAUAAAGGAAAAAAUUUAAAACAAACUGUUGCUGUGUUUUUUGUGUGUUUGCAGGUGAUUUUUGUUUCCCACCGACGACAAGGAAGGGAAGAGGGAAGGAGAUUGCACAACCCCCUGCCCACGAUUUUUUUUCUGGGUGGCGCGUGCACCCACGCGCCUCCAGUGGCGGCGGUGCGUGAGGUCCACGCGCCGCCACUGUUCAGAUGGCACCAAGGCUGUGCAGCACUGUUCCCGAGGAUUUCCUUUUUCCUUUUUGUAAUUUCUAGAUGCUGUGUGUAUUUAGAUAUUAUUGUAUUUGAUUUGUUUUGAAUUUUUGUUAUUUGUUUUAUUGUGUAAAUGUGAUGUAAAAUAAAAUAAAAAAUAAAAGAAAAGAAAAAAUAAAUAAUAAAAAAAGUUGUGUGUGUGAUUGUUUUUAUUUAUUUAUUUAUGUUAUUGAAUUAUAAAAAUAAAAUAAAAUAAAAACACAAAAAGAAUUAUUUGUUAAAUUUAAAUAUGGUUAAAUAUCUCAAGGACAAAUAAAAUCAAGUUGUAUUUUCCACGAAAAUGUAAGGACAAGUUUCUACAUAUAUUCGGGGAUUUAAUAAAUGAUUUAUUCAAGCCUUAGAAUUUAAUUAAUAUUGACAAAAAGAUUUGAUUGUUAAUUUAAAUAUAGUUAAAUAUCUCAAGGACAAAUAAAAUCAAGUUGUAUUUUUCACGAAAAUGUAAGAACAAGUUUUUACAUAUAUUCGGGGAUUUAAUAACUGAUUUAUUCAAGCCUUAGAAUUUAAUUAAUAUUUUAAAUUUUCAAAUCACAUCAAACACAAAGCAGCUUACCUCAGGUAGGGUGCGUUAGGGGUGCUAAUACCUUCCCUAACCACAACCAGUCCCUUACCCGCGAUCUCUGACAAGACCAGUAUAUCAGGUUUCCUAGUAGCCUUCAAUGAAUUACUAGGUGGCGACUCCAACGAACGAAUUCAAAGCAAACGCAACAAACAAUGAAAAAUCGUCAGCCGAUGCCGCGCGCCGGAUUUUUUUGGGGUGCGACAAAUACAAACACCACUGUUGUAUGUCUUUCUUCCAUGCUCGUAUUCUUCAGUAUGAAAGACAUAUGCAUUGACAAAAUACCUAUUAUAGCACUUGACUUUUCUUUCAGGGCCUAGGCUUAGUAAAGACAGUGAAAUAGCAGCACUACCUCCCAUUUGAUAAACCUUAUAAAUUAAAUAUAACAAUAACCAAUAAACGGAUAUUAUGUAAUAUUGACGUACAAUUAAUUACAUUGCAAGAGAUAAUGAGUUUGUGAUAGGACUUACAUGUGUUCUAAACCAUGUGGCAAAUUGUUCAUCUUGUAAUUGAAAGAUCUGGGAUUUGGUUAGCUGUGAGUUAUUGGAUAGUAAGUAUCAUCAAUGUUGCUUGCAAGAUUGUUCCAAAUUAUAUGAGUUUAUGGUAUCACAAAACAUAAAUAGUACACUCUUGACAAAGUUUAAAUCGAACAUCUACUUACUUAAUAAAAGGUCUCAGUUCAUCACAGUUAAAUAAGACAUAAUUGUGUGCUUGUCUGAACUCUAUUUCAGACAAAUAUCUUCCCCUCACGACAUUUUUAGGUGUGGGUCAUCCAGGAUUGGAGAAUAUUGACAAGUUUCCACUUAAAGGCACUUCACCACCAUAAUCAUGACGUGGAACACGGUUGAUCCUCGUUCUCAAAUGAGGUUCGAAAUAGUAUAAGAUAAAUAUUGAGAUCUCCUUAACAAUACAGGCCUCAAAUAUUGACGCCUCAACAUGCCCUUUGUUAUCAACAUUUUUUUUUAGAUUGAACAAGUACUUGCAUAUAUAUAUAUAUAUAUAUAUUAAAAAUUAUCAAUUAAAAAAGCAAAAAAAAAACAUUUAAUUAUGAAUUACAUGGCAACUGUAAUAUCUAACCUCUCAAAUGGAUACAUCCAUCUGUAUGAAACCGGUCCUCCAACUUUUACCUCAAACGGUAAAUGUACAGGUAGAUGCUCCAUUGAGUCAAAAAAUGAUGGAGGGAAUAUCAUCUCAAGUUUGCAUAUUCUCUCGAUGAUAUUCGUUUUAAGCCUUUCAAUGUGAUCAACAUUCAACUUGUUGGAGCAUAUAUCUCUGAAGAAACAAUUGAUCUCUAUUAGUGCAUCCUAUAUCCCCUUUGGCAACAAAUCAUGAAAAGCUAAUGGGAUGAGUGUUUGCAUAAACACAUGGCAGUCAUGACUCUUCAUUACUUAUAAUUUGCAUUCCUCUGUAUUAACUAGCCUUGAUAUGUUCGAGGUAUGUCCAUCGGGGAAACGCAGACUCUUAAGCCAUUUGUAGACUAGUAGUUGUGCAUUUUUCUUUAACACGAAGCUUGCUCUUGGUUUUGCAACCCAUGACCCAUCACAAACCAACUCCAUAUUUUUACGGUUACAGAACAGUGCUACAUCCAAUCUAGCCUUGAUGUUGUCCAUUGUCUUCCCCUUCACAUCUAUGAUGGUGUUGAAAAUGUUCUCAAACACGUUCUUUUCAAUAUGCAUGACGUCAAGGUUAUGGCGGAGAAUGGUCUUCCAAUAAGGAAGCUCCUAAAAGAUACUUCGCUUCACCUAGUUAUGGGUCAAACCAAAACCAGGAAACUUCUGCUUACCUGAUUAGAGACCAAACACAAUGUCACCAUACUCUGACACAACAUCAAGCAAUUCUUCACCGGAAAGAUAUGGGGGUGCAACAUCCUUUUCAACUCUGCCAACAAAGAAAUCUUUUCUGUUCUUUUUGUACCUGUGAUUUGGCGACAAGAAAUGACGGUGACAGUAAAAACAGAAGCUUUACCCUCGUUUGUUAGCGUGAAUGCCUUGUUGUUCUCCAUACAGUAUGGACAUGCUAGCUUUCCAUGCGUGCUCUAACUAGAAACCAUUCCAUAAGCUAGGAAAUCAUUAAUAGUCCACAUCAAAGCCGCUCUCAUAACAAAAUUCUAUUUCCUUGAAAUGUCAUAAGUCAAAGCUCCAAAGGACCACAACUGCGUCAACUCAUCAAUCAACGGAUGAAGACAAACAUCUAUAUUCUGACCCGGACUGCUCGGACCUGGUAUGACCAUAAAUAAAAACAUGAACUCCGACCUCAUACACAUUCUCGAUAGCAAGCUAUAAACCGUCAGUAUGACCGAUCAACAAGAAUAAAGAGCAGUAAAUUACUCGAAUGGGUUGAAUCCGUAUGUACACAACCCAAGACGCACGUUCCUUGAUUCAACUGAAAAGUGAGGAUGCACACUGUUAAAGUGUUUCUAGGCUUCACCAUCAGAAGGAUGCUCCAUCACUCCACCAACCAUAUGAUGUGAUUGGUGUCAUGUCAUGUGCUCAGCAGUCCUUGGUGACAUGAAUAACCUCUGCAAUCUAGGUGUGAUUGGGAAGUAUCUAAGUUUUUUAUAUGUCACGAGAGUCUUCCCUCUAUUAGUUCUGGGUUUGUAACAGGAAUGCCCAUAUGUCAUGCACUCAAUCAACUCAACAUUUUCAAAGUAGUAUAACAUGCAGAAGCUAUGGCACAUGCCAAUUUUCUAGUAUCCUAAACCGAGGGGUUUCAUUAUAGACUUGGUAGGAUAGAAGUUCUCUUUCAGCAUGUUCCCUUCAGGUAAAAUGCUUCUCGCCCAUUUGAUAAUCUUGUCAUAAUCGGCCUCACUCAACCCGUGAUUUGACUUGAUGGUGAACACAUGUGCUACGGCCGAUAAUUUACUGUGGUUCACGCAGCCAUCCUAUAAUGAUUCGUCAGAAUCUUUCAAUAGAUCAAAAAACCUUAUUGCAUCUACAUUGGGUUUUUUUUUUACGAUUGGACAUUCACUGACAUUACCUUUAGGGGUGAGCAAAACCGGUUCGGUUCGGUUUUUAUCAAAAAAAGUAACCAAACCGAAAUUAUUUUUUUUGGGAAAAAAAAACCAAAACCAAACCGAAACCGGUUCGAACCUGCCGGUUUCGGUUCGGUUCGGUUCGGUUCGGUUUUUUUAGGGGAAAAACCAUUUUGGAUCGGUUUUUUCCGGUUUGGCUCGGUUUUGCGGUUUUGGCUCAUUUUUUUCCGGUUUUGGCUCGGUUUUUUCGGUUUUGGCUCAUUUUUUCCCGGUUUUGGCUCGGUUUUUCCGGUUUGGCUUGAUUUUUUUCCGGUUUGGCUCGGUUUUUCCGGUUAUUUUUUCAGUUCGGUUCGGUUUUUUCGGUUUUAUAAGCCUAAAACCGAUACCGAACCGAACCGGUCGGUUUUUUCAAAAUUUUAAUCGGUUUAAUCGGUUUUUUUUUUCGGUUUGGUUUUUUCGGUUAUUUUUUUCUCGGUUUUCUCGGUUUUUUUUGGUUUCUCGGUUUUUUUGCUCACCCCUAAUUACCUUCACUCAUUCUCAUUGCAUCCAUAACCAUAUUCCUGUAAGGAUUACUGUUCUCAUUUCCAACUUCAUGCAUGUUGCUAGCACUAGAAGUUGACUCAACCGCCCUUUCUACCAUGCUCUCAUUAGGAACAAAUAGUUUUUUAUGUGCAUACCAACACAAGUAAUCCUCCAUGAACCCUUUGGUUAGAAGAUGCAUCAUUACAACAUCUUGAUGCAGAAACUUUAAAUUUUUACACUUCCUACAUGGACACCUAAUACCGCCAUUAGUAAAAUUCCUCGGGAUAGAUGUUGCGAAGUUAAUAAAAUCUUGAACACUGUUACAGUAAUCCAUCCUUCGCAAUCCUUGGGGUGAGUCCCGAUACAUCCAUGAACGAUCAUCCAUGACUUCUAUUGAAUCUCUAUAAAACAUAACAAAAAUAUUGGUUUCUUAUGUUAAAUAUUCAUUAUCAAUUAUCCAACAAACUAAAAAAAAACACUUAUGUUAAAUAUUCAUUAUCAAUUAUCAACUAUCAACGUUCAUACAUACAAAUUUAUACAUAUAUAAAUUUACAAAAAUCACAACUUCAUAAUAAAAUUGAUAACAAUUAAAACAGACCCGUUAAACAAGCUAUUAUUUAUUUCAUCACAACACAUUUAAUUCGGUGUAAUUCAAACAAAAUUUCAACAAUGUACAAACAAAUAUAAUUUGACAAAAUCUAAAACAAACUAUAACAACUACAAAAUUAUACAUUCAUACUACAAGUUUCUUUGACAAAUAAUAAUCAAACAAGUACAUACGUUAACAAAAUACAUAUACUAAAAAAACAAUAAAAUUCACAUUUAAAUGUUAAAACUAAAAAGGAUAGAUUUACUUACAAAAAAUAAUAAAAUUCACAAGAACGGAUGUUGUGACCACGUACAAAAGUAUAAGAAACUUGAGUGCUUGUGUUGAGAAGAGGGGAGAGUUGGGAUGGGUGGUUGGCUACAGUUUAAGAGGGGAGAGGUGGGAUGAGGAAGAAGAAGGAGAAACAGAGGAAGAGAGUGUCGGCAGAGUGGGUAUAUAAUGGCUUUUACCGAUGGAAUCACUGACGGACACGUUCCGUCGGUAUACUCAUCGGUGAUUCCGCCAGUGGAAGUGUCACAUCACAGAACAGCUAUCCCAAUUUGAAUCCCUUGGUAAUUUCAUCGGUAAAAUCAUCUGAAAAAAAUCCACAUCAUCAUACUGUUGCAAUUUUCCAAAAAAAUAGUCUCAUCCAUCGGGGAUACCAACCUUAUCCUCGACAAACUAUAUCGGUUGGUAAAUCCGACAGAUUUGGAGACAAAAUUAUUCCCGUCGAUAAAAAUUUCCGACGAAAAAAUUCUGUUGGUAAUUCCAUUAGUUUUCUCUGAUUUUCUGGUAGUGAAAUCAUAUGCUAUUAUAUGAUGCAAUGAUGGGUCCGGUUAAUAAUCGAAUGUCACGUAUUUUAUAUUUAACAUUAUUGUAGUGUACUAUUAACAAUCAUAAGUCCUUUUCUUUUCAAAUAGUAUAUCGUCACUUCCGAUUCCUCUCCACUCUUUAAUCUACUAGGUUUGUUUAUAUGUUUUUUGGUUAAAAUCUAAUAAUCGGUUCUUUAUUUGUUGUUUAGCUUAGUAAUACAAGAGGUUCUUAUUUUUUUUUAGAGGUAGUUGCAUUGUUUAGCUAAAACAGUAGCUAAAUAAACCACCACUUGAAAGUUGAGGGGUUAAGUCUCUAUUUAGGAUUGCAGCCUGGGUUGAUAAAAAAUUAAAAAAUAUAUAUUUAAAAUUAAUUUUUUAUAAUUUUAUAUUGUUGGUAUCAAAAAUAUUUUUUUAAAAAUAUUAUUUUAAUAUAUUUAUAAAUUAAAAACAUUUUAAAAAACAAUUAUUAUGAACAAAACAUCCCGAGCAUCAAUCUCAAUGUACAGGGGCUACAAAAGAUGGCUAACACACCAUCACUUGCUAAGUAAUGAGAUUAGUAUAUAUAAAUCAUGGAUUACAAAAUAAAAUGUUUAUUAGGAAAUGUUUGAUAAUACAAUUUAAAUAUUCCCACUAGUCAGGGGGUCAAUAAUUCCAUGAAGGAAUACUAAUAGAAAAAUAAGACAUGAUGUUCUUUCCUGGAAGGAAUACUAAUAGAAAAAUUAUAAAUGAAUUUUUUAAAAAAUACUUUCUUAUUUUUAUAUAUAUCUAAUAAGUGAAGUCUGAGCAAUUUUUAUUUUGUAUUAUUAAACAAGAGCAAUUAUAAAUGAAGGCUUAAGGAACUCGAGUGAAUUGUUGAAAAAAAAAAACAAACAAACAAACCAUGGCUGGAAAAAGGGGAAAGAGAAAAAUCAGCGAGUCAAAAUAAAACAAAAUGCAAAGAAAAGUCAAGGAGAGGUGAGGUGAGAGAUCCUCGAGAUCAAUGCGGAUCGUAGUGGCGAAGAUUAAAUACAACUCUUGGAGUGGUUCUUGAUGACAUCAAUUAUUAGGAGUGAAGCUCUCAAGUUUAAUUGUUCUUUCAUUGUAAAAUUAAAUGCAAUUCAUGUUUUAUUGCUUUAAUUUUCCUUAAUGUAAAAAUGUUUGUCUUGUGGGUGACAUAAUUAAGAGUAAAAUACAUUAUUUAUUUUUGUUAGUUUUUAUACUGUGUUUUGAAUUCUGAUCAAACUUUAUGAUUUGGAAUAAAUGAUCAUUCAAUAAAACUUAAUUAGUUGAAUAACUUUAAGUAAGAUUUGUUAAUUUGGAGUAUUUAAUUGCAAGAGGAUAAAUGAAUUGGAUCAUCUGAUUCUCAAGAUGAAAAAGUCAAUAAUAGCUUAAUUAUUUCAAAAUGAAAUCUCUAUUUUUAUUAUUAUUGACUUUAAAGUUAAGCCCCUGUUUAGCAUUGAAAUUAAACUUCCUUUUCAUUAAAAUUGUAGAUUUUGUUAUUUUUUAGACGAGACUAGAUAUAAUUUAAUUUGAUAUCAAUUUAUUAUCGGGUGUUUAAUUUAUCAUUUUCUUCGUACGUAUAAGGACCAUGCAUCGAAGAUGGGAGGCUGUUAGAGGAAAAAGAUUUUUAUUAUUACUUUUUAGAGAAACAACUUUGCAAAUAGAAAAAUAGAGACUCGUUGACCAUAUAUUAAUCACCGGCUUUAAAGAAACAGCAUUCAAAAAAUUGAACAUGAAAUUAAGCUCUUAAAAAUAUUCUUGUGUGAAUGAAUGACUUGUUGAUUGUGUUAUAAACAAUAUACUUAUUGUCAUGAGAAGACAUGACACAUUUUAUCAACGAUAUUGUUUAGUUUUUCCAAUACCAUUAAAAUUAAAAUUAAGGCAUGAUUUUCCACAAGAAUGUAGCAAAUGAUCAAAGCAUUUACCUGAAUUUCUCUAAUAAAAGUAAGGUUUACUUAAGGUAAACGAUAUAUGGGAUGAUAAAAAAAAAUAACAAUAAAAUCAAUUUAUAAAAAAACAUAGAUUUAGUUUUCCCAAAUUUUAAAUUUAGUGUGAAUACAUUCCGCAAGAAAAAAAGAGUGCAAAAUUAGCCUUUCAAGAAAUAGAGAAUCUUCCUCUUGAAGGAAUUAAUAAGUGGGUUGGAAAAACUUCUUUUGCUCUAAUAUUUUCUUCAAUUUGUAUAUAGUCUUACAUUAUUAUUAUUAUUAUUAUUAUUAUCAGAAAGUGAUAUAUACUUCUUCUGUUAUCCUUCAAGUUUUCAAUUGAAAAGGAGGGUCGUAAAAAACUUAAAUUUUUAUAAAUAUACAAUUAACUUUGGAUGUGGAUAAUUAAAAAUCAAAAGAAUACACUACAACAUUUAAUAGUUUUAUUGGCGGAAUUUUUUCAUCGGCGUAAGACACAUAAUCCGUUGGUAAUUAAUUUACCAACGAAAUCACGGACGGAAAUACUCCGUCGGUAAAUCUUUCAUCAGUAAUUUUUUGUCCAUUGAUAAAUUUUUUGGCAAUAAAAAAAUAUUAUUACUGACGUAUUUACUGAUAGAACAAACACGUAAAAAAAAUUACCCACUUUAUUUCAUCGGUAUAUCCCUCGGUACUAAUAUUUUUUUUAUUACCCACGGAUUUACCGAGGGUAAUUCCAUAGGUAAUUAUUUAAAAACAGUUAAAACAAAUUUAAUUUUAUAAAAUUAUAAAAUAAUUAAAUCAACACUCUAUAAUAUAUACUCAAAAUGCUUGGAAAAAAGAAUAAGAAAAUCAACUCAAACAAAUUUGCAACAAAUAAAUAAAAUGACGAAAUAAAUUCAACUAAAAAAAUUCAUAUGAAAAAAAUGAAGUUGCAAUUGCUAAAAAUUUAAAAAUCCUAUAAAUAAAUCAACUAAAAAUUGAUAUCAUAUGAAGAGAAAAAAAUCUCACAACAACAUUUAUACAAUUAUUAAGAACAAAAACAAUUAAAAAUAAAAUAAAAUAAAAAUGCAAUGAAAAAAAUUAUAAAAAAAAGAGAAAAAAAUUACCUUAAUGUAGUUGCAAGUGAAACUAAGGAGAGAAAACAAAUUUCGUAAAGCAUAUCAAAUAUAAAAAAAAAUAAGAGGAUAAAAGAAGAAAGAAGAAGAAGACAUACCCAAGCAUGGAGGAGAAGAGAAGGAGAUGAGGAGAGAAAAGAAGAGAAAAAAAUAGAUAUUGAUAUUUUUGACAUAUAGUGAAAAAGAAGAAGAAGAAAUGAGUUUGUCUCUUGUGAAAUAGGGGGAUUCAACCUUUUUAUUUGUACGUGUUAGCGACAGAUUAAUAGACGGAUAAUUAAAUAUGAAUAUUUUUUAAUUAUUUCAUCGGUAAUAUUUAAUUUAAAUUUUCAAUUUCGUAAAAAGUUUUCAAAAACCGUCAACAAUACCGAUAAAUUUUUAAUCUGUCGGUGAUUUCGUCUGUAAUAUUUAAAUAAAAUUUUUGAAUCAAUUGAAUUUUUUCGGAAAACCGCCAAAUAACACCGACGACUUUUUAAUCUGUUAAUAUUUUUAUCCAUAAAGAACAAUAAUUAACAGUGCAAUUGGAAAGUGAACAGUUCCAGAGCUCUUUGGAAUAUACCGGUGGAAAAUUCUGUCGGUGAUUCCCUUUAUAAUUGACAUAAUGAAUAGUAUUCACAAUUUACCAACGAAUUUAAUGAUGGAUUUUACCGACAGAAUUUAUUCUAUCGGUAAUUUUUUUGAUAAAAAUGACACGUCAUUAAUUUUUUUUUCAUUAUAAUUCCCUCGAUAUAUACCGAGAAAAUAUUUAUGUCCGUAAAAUCCCUCGAAAAUUUACAUUGGCUGCCUUGUUUUUAAUGUUAAUUAUUUUGAAAGUAAAUAGGUCGGUUGCCUUGUUUGAAACUAGAGACAUUGGCUGCUAAAUAGAAAAACACAUGUCCUUGGUCAGGUCAACAUGGAAAAGGGCUAGCUUAAUAAUUAAUUAACACCAUAUUGCAACGGGAAGCUGUCCACUGCAACUGGAAAUUGUGUUGCCAUUGUUGACUUGUUUAGCAACUAUUUAGCAAAUUCCGCGAAAGUAAUCUUGUGACUCUCCAGUGACAAGUGAAUUUAACUUAUAAAAGUUGAUAAAGGUAGUUAAAAGCAUAAACUGUACCAAUAAUUGUUGUGGGCGGGGGGGGGGGGGGGCAAGUGGAUAUAUGGUUUGCAUGGGGGCAGCAAGUGGAUAUAUGGUUUGCAUUCAUUUCCGAAUAAAUUAACUUGUGUUGCCAUUGUUGAUUUGUUUCUUGAAAUGAUGUACAGUUGACUGUAUUUUUUUAUUUGAAGACACGACAUGCCAUAUAGGCUAAUUGGCACUAUAAAAUACAUGCACCAUUCCUCUCAAAGACUACUUCUAUAGCCACCAUCAAGACCUGCAUAAUAUAGAAAUUUAGCUAUUUUUCUUUCGGUUUAUUUCUUCGAGUAAUAUUUUGUUUCUGUGAUUAUGGCUACUGGGCAAGCACCAGGCAACCCCAUUCCAGCUGUGAGAACAUACCUGCCGGUGGAGCAUCCAGUGGUGGUAAUAGGGCCACAGUACCUGGCACAGUACCCUGUUGAUCUCGCCGUCACCAGUGAUUUUAAGGUGUUUGACAUUAAUGGCACCUUCAUCUUCCAGGUCAAGAUUAAACUAUCAAGCCUUAAUCGUCGUUUUCUGAAAGAUGCAGCCGGAAACACCCUUGUCAAUCUCAGGCAGAAGGUAUGUUUAAUUGCUCUCCGUCUUUUGUUCUCUUCUUUUUCAAUCUAACCAUCACAACAACGAUAAGAGUCAAUCCAAUAUCAAUAUCUUACCGCGUGUUUAAUUUAUCAUUUUCUCCAGAUAAGGACCAUGCAUCGGAGGUGGGAGGCUUUUAGAGGAGAAAGCGAGGAGAAGAGUGAUUUGCUUUUCACAGCCAAGAAAUCAAAGCUGUUCCAAUCCAAGACUGAGUUAGACGUAUUCUUGGGUAAUAACGAAGGAGAGGUCCCUGAUUUCAAGGUCAAAGAAGGCUACAGCAAGAGUUCCUGCUCUAUACUUCUUGGAGAUUCCAAUACCAUGCUUGCACAGGUAACAUUAACAAAACUUAUUUCUGAAAUAUAUCAAUAUUGAAUAAAUUUAACCAACAUCUUCUCAUAUAGAACUAUAUGUCUGUGGAUGAGGCUGUCGUAGAAAUACCCUUGAUUUCAUUACAUCAUUUACAUUAAAACCGAUUAUUGUUUUAAUCAAGAAAGUUGUCUUCAUAAUAUCUCAUGCCAGUAUUUUUCUUAUUAUGUGAACGCAGGUGCAUGGAAGAAACACUCUCGCGAUUAUGCCUAAUGUUGAUUAUGCCUUCAUAGUGGCUCUGGUGAUUCUCAAUGGGAACAAUGGGGAUGAUCAUGGGGACGCGGCCAUUAAUGGCCUUAAAGUUGUUAACGGUGUUAUCGAAGGUUAUAUUUUAUAUGGUUAUAUUUUAUAUUCAUAGCUCACUUUAUGAAAUGUAAAAGAUGCUCCUAGUUGCAUUAUUUAAGAAUAAAAUUGUGUUGCCAUUGUUGACUAGUUUCUUGAAAUGAUGUCCAGUUGACUGUUUGUUUUUAUUUAAAGACACGACAUGCCAUCAAGACCUGCAUAAUAUAGAAAUUUAGCUAUUUUUAUUUCGGUUUAUUUCUUCGAGUAAUAUUUUGUUUCUGUGAUUAUGGCUACAGGGCAAGCACCAGGCAAACCCAUUCCAGCUAUGAGAACAUACCCGCCGGUGGAGCAUCCAGUGGUGGUAAUAGGGCUACAGUACCUGGCACAGUACCCUGUUGAACUCGCCGUCAACAGUGAUUUUGAGGUGUCUGACAUUAAUGGCACCCUCAUCUUCCAGGUCAAGAGUAAACUAUUAAGCCUACAUCGUCGUUUUCUGAAAGAUGCAGCCGGAAACACCCUUGUCAAUCUCAGGAAGAAGGUAUGUUUAAUUGCUCUCUGUCAUUUGUUCUCUUCUUUUUCAAUCUAACCAUCACAACAAUGAUAUGAUUCAAUCUGAUAUCAAUUUCUUAUCGCGUGUUUAAUUUAUCAUUUUCUCCAGAUAAGGACCAUGCAUCGGAGGUGGGAGGCUUUUAGAGGAGAAAGCGAGGAGGAGAGUGAUUUGCUUUUCACAGCCAAGAAAUCAAAGCUGUUCCAAUCCAAGACUGAGUUACACGUCUUCUUAGGUAAUAACAAAGGAGAGGUCCCUGAUUUCAAGGUCAAAGAAGGCUACAGCGAGUGUUCCUGCUCUAUACUUCUUGGAGAUUCCAAUACCAUGCUUGCACAGGUAACAUUAACAAAACUUAUUUCUGAAAUAUAUCAAUAUUGAAUAAAUUUAACCAACAUCAUCUUCUCAUAUAGAACUAUAUGUCUGUGGCUAAGGCUGUCGUAGAAAUACCCCAGAUUGCAUUCCAUCAUUUACAUUAAAACCGAUUAUUGUUUUAAUCAAGAAAGUUGUCUUCAUAAUAUCUCAUGCCAGUAUUUUUCUUAUUAUGUGAACGCAGGUGCAUGGAAGAAACACUCUCGCGAUUAUGCCUAAUGUUGAUUAUGCCUUCAUAGUGGCUCUUGUGGUGGUGAUUCUCAACGGGAACAAUGCGGAUGAUCAUGGGGACGCGGCCACUACUGGCCUUAAAGUUCUUAACGGUGUUAUCGAAGGACUUGGUUCGUCGGGGUAAAAAACACACUCCAUAGGUAAAAGUCAACAACAUAAACUGUUUGUCGGCAUUUAGGUCUUUUGUAAUUUUCAAGAAAAAUUCCACUAGAAAUAUACGGACAGAAUAAUUCAAUCUCUAUUUCGGACGAUAACUCACAUAAAAAAGUUUUGUCAAUGAAUGUGGUAUAUACAGUAAAUAUUUUAUAAUUUUAUAUAAAAUAUCGAUGGUCUUUGAUAGUUGGUGUAGAUAUCGAUGACAAUGGCAGUUAAUAUUUUUUAAUUCUCUGUAAAAACCCAAUUAUAUAAAUAAAAUUAUAUGAAAUAUUAAAAAUAUAAAAUAAAGUUAAAUCACAUUAAUCCAAAUAUUCAUUACAAAUUUAAUGUAUUUCAAAAAAAAAUAAACUAGAACUGUGGCGGAGCUGGAGGAGAAGACUAGUUAUUCCCGGGAUCAAACGGCUAAAAAAGAGGCACACAUGUAUCACUCAUAUGUGAUCUAAUGUCCAUGACCAUUUAGUGUAGUUGUUCAUAAUCCGUCGAGAGUCGCUCGUAUUGUUGUUUCAAGGCCAUCAACUCCUCAGACGGUGCUUGAUACUAAUUGGAAGCUCCCAACGGUUGAAACACUAUGGGAUGUCCACAAGUUCUUGGCCGUAGUGUUAGAGAGCAUGUACACCUGAUUUUUAUCGGGUCCACCAGACAAUUCUACCUCCAUCCAUAAAUCUGGAUUGAAAUUCGGAUGGGUCGAAGGAUCAUCCUUGUAUCUCUCCCUCAACUGGUUAUUAUAGGUUUCCUGAAAAAUUUUUUAAAAAAAUCAUCUUAUUCAAUUCAAGAAAAUAAUAACUUACGAAAUAAAAUAGUUGAACGAACAUACCAUGAAGUGUUGAGCGCGGUUUUCCUUGAGCUGUUACACCCCCUUUUGGCGGUCUUCACUUCGCAUGUGCAUCUCUACAAACAGCUCCAUUGGGCCCGCCUCACGUCCAAGAGACGUAGCCUGUAAGAAAAAAAAAUGUUGCAAGUUAAAUGUAUUUAUAAGUAAUAACAAAUUAAUUAACGAUAUAUUUUAUUUAAAUUAAUCUUAUCAUCCGCUUCGCAUGUGCACUGUACGAAAUGGAGAUACCAAUGUGCGUGGUCACUGAACCAUGAAUUUGUCGGUUCUGGUUGUCGGCACCGAACUGUAAGCGUCGUGUGAACCGCUUAGACUUCACGUGCUUAAUAUAUUACGGCCAUAUAUCCCCCAGGAUGUAUGGUGGUUUGAAAUCCCUCCAAACCACCACGUCAUUUCAGCCUUGUAGACCGUUAUCUCUUGCAUAUUUUUUUAUUUUUUUGUGUGUUAUAUCAAAAAUCACGCAACCCACACCCUCUUCGCAACAUUGUCAUGUGCGUUAUCCCACUUGAACUUGUGUACUUGUGUUGUGUAUAAGUAAUUUAUUUAAAAUAAAAAUAGUAUGAAAUAUAAAAUUAUAAAAAUAAUUUAUUAAAGAUAAGCUGAAAAUUAGAAAUUGACACCUACAUGUAAUCUUCGAGACCAUGCAUCGAUUUAAGGUCUCCAAUCAGGAUGUUUGGAAAGCUGACUUCGUUGAAAUAAUAGAAUCUUCAUCAACAAUUUAAAUGUCAAUGUUAUUACUCGGGCGAUUUCAAUAUUUGUGAACCUGAAAAUAAAUAAAAAUAAUAAAAUAUUAAUUUGUUGUUCAUAAAUUAUGUUAUAAUUAUAUAAAAAAAACUAAAACCGAAACAAAUUUACAUUGAAAGGUCGUCCUUCCCAUAUGCCUGGUACUUGCGAGUGAAUUGACCCCACUAUGAAGGCACACCACCUCUACACUAUGAAACCGCGCUGGAAGAGGCAGCAUCGCGAGUGGGCACAGGUGCGUCUUCUUGAUCGCCACCUAAGGAUAAGUCAUCAUCGCUGCUAGGAGAACUAGUUGCAACCAUUUGCUGACGACGUGUUAUUGAUUUCAUUCUAUGCAUUUACACAAAUUUAUAUGAAUAAUUACAUAAUUAAAUUCGAUUAUUUAAAAAAAAAUGAGCAUCAUCUUCCCUAUACUGGAGACUACCCAAAGUUUUCAAACUUGCAAAUAUUGACAAUAGCCACAAACCAAUUGACUCCAUUGAAAAAUCUUAUAUAUAACCUAGCAUCUAUACAAAUUUAACAAUAAAAUAAAGCAAAAAAAAUAACAUUUAAUUUUAUAUAUUCAACUAACAUACAUAGAAAUUCAUCAUUAAUAAUUAAAAUUAAUGGAAGUAAUGAAACACAUAUUAAGCAAUAAUAGAGUAAAAUUGGGAUAAAAUAAUUAAAUUUAAUCCUAUAUUUUUAAUUACUAUUUACAAGUAAAUUCAAGAAUAACAAUUAAAAUUCAACAAGAUAAUCAAUUAUUAUGGCAAUAAAAGCAAUAAAAUAGACAAUAAAUUAAAAAAAAAACUAUAAGCUUUAGGAAUGAAAAAUACUUAUCUUAAUAAUGUAUUUAUUUCUAGACUUUAUCUACAUACAAUACAAAAAAACAAAACAAAAAUAUAUUAUUAUUAUUAUAUUUUUAUAUCAUUCUAAUGUUUUAAUAUUAAAAUUAUUUUUUAAAAAAAAAAUAUUAUUUUAAUAUAUUAAUAAAUUAAAAAUAUUUUAAAAAACAAUCAUUAUCAUCAUAGUCGGACAAAACAUCCCAAGCGACAAUCUCAAUACAGGGACUACAAAGCAAGGCUAACACAUCAUCACUUGCUAAGUAAUGAGAUUAGUAUUUUGAAAAGUCAAAUGUUUAUUAGGAAAUAUUUGAUAAUACAUGUCGCACGUCAAAAAUUCCGCACGACAUUGACUGGCGAUUUUUUUUAUUAUUGGUGUUUUGCUUGGUUCGUUGGAGUCGCCACUUAGUAUUAUGGUCACUAGGAACCUAAGGUCUACGGGAGUCUGAGUAAGGGACUGGUUGUGCAAGGGGAAGACGCAUCACCCCCAGUACACCCUACCUAAGGCAAGCUGCAUUAUUGUUUGAUUGUUUUUCUAGGUCGAAUUUCUAUUCGUUGGUCUUUCUAAGGUUCAAGGCAGAUCUCCCCUCAUGAGGAAGUCUCUACCUUAUUCGGUUAAAUCCUAACCAUUCUAAAGUCUUAAUUUAUUUACACCUUGUAUCUUUAAUAUUUGAGGGUGUACUUUAUCAUUUAAUUUUACACCUUUCAAAUAUUAAAGUCUACAUCUAGAUCCUAGAAAAAAAGAUUGGAAAAAGGUUUUUGAUAUUUUGGCCAAACCCUAAUGGAUAAUCAUAAACUAGUUAUGAUAUCCAUUUUUUGGAUUUUUCAAAACGUGAGAAAGAUGCAAUUUUUCGAAAAAAACAUGCUUGGAAAAUUUUUAGGACUUGGCCGUAUGCAAUAAAAUAUUUUUUUCUUUUUGAUAUAUUUUUUAAAAAAUAUUUCGAAAAAGCCGGGUAUUUUAAUACCGGACUUAUAUCUUACAAUGUAAGUAUACAACCCAAUAUUAAGCAAACUUGGUGGAAAAAUAUUUGAGAAAACCACAAUUUUUAUUUUUAAUAUUUUUUGAAAAUAAAAAAGAAAAACGAAUAAAAAACUAAAAGGCAUGAACAGUGAACAGUGACGGCAUGAACAGUGACGCCGAAGAAGAAGAGGAAGGUGAGCGGACCACCUGGCGUGGCGGCGAUGGCUGGAUGGAGGAGGAGGACCUGAAGCUGGUGGUGGAAACGGCGGUGGAGUUAGCUGGAGCGGCUGCAGCUGGAAGAGGAAAAAAAAAGAAGAAAAUCUGCAGCAGGAAAAUGGAGGAAGGCUGGUUUUUUGGCUUACUUUGGACCCGAUUUUCUCCUCCCUCUAAGCACGAAAUUGGCUCCUAUUUAUAGGGAUGGAAAGAGGGUAAUCUUGUCUUUAACGGGGAAAAAGUCUCAGCCCUUGAUUGGACUUGAGGAAUCCAAGCCGUUGGUUCAAAGUGUGCACCUCGAACUGCAAAAUUUGGCAAUCCAAGGCUGCAGACUGCCCGAGGGUGCCACUUUGGGCCAAUAAACGGAGCCGUUUCCAAGAUUUUCCACCCGACCGGACCACUCCACGGGAUAAAGGGAUUUCAGGUGAACAUGUCGGUUCACGCCUUGUCGGAUUUGGGGAAUAAACGAGGUAGAAAAUGCGCCUGGAAGUCUGCCACUCGGGCAGCUUCACGAGGAAGAUGAUGAACAGUAACCCGUUGUUUUUUUUUUUUUUUGUUUUUUUUUUUUUUUUUUUUUUUUUUUUAAGCAAAGUCGUUUUGGGUUAAAAUUUGGGAUUUUUUCUGAUUUUCAAUUUAGUCCUCCAUAGUGCCAGCCUUUAUUUUAUUUUAUUUUUUAUUUUUUUAUUUUUUUAUUUUUGUUUUUAAUUUUUAUUUUGAAAAUUUGGGGAAUAACCCAAAAUUGGGUUAUGACAGUUGCCCCCCUCUUUACAAUGCUUAUGAUAGAAAGUCUCGUAGGAGACUUUAGAUAGUAAGCGUUGUAAAGAAGAAAAAGGGAAGAUUUUUUUUUUUUUUUUUUUUUUUUUUUUUUUUUGAAAAUUCAAAGAUUUUGAAAUGGUCGAAUUGUCAUGGGUGACCUACCCGGGUGAAAAAACACAAAGAUGUUUUAAAGUGGUGAAAAAUACAGAGAUUUUUCAAAGUGGUUUUGUUGUAAUGGGCAACCGGCCCAAGAUGGAGAGGUUUUGAAAAAUACAAAGAUUUUUCAAAGAGGUGAAAAAUGCAAAUAUUUUUCAAAGUGGUGAGAAAUACGAAGAUUUCUCAAAAUGGUUUUAUUGUUAUGGGCAACCGACCCAGAUGAAAGGUUUUGAAAAGCACAAAGAUUUUUUCAAAUAGGUGAAAAAUGCAGAGAUUUUUCAAAGUGGUGAAAAAUGCAAAGAUUUCUCAAGAUGGUGAAAAUUUUUGGAGAUGGUGAGAAAUGCAAAGAUUUCUCAAAAUGAUGAAAAAUGCAGAGAUUUUUUUCAAAGUGGUGAAAAAUGCAGAGAUUUUUCAAAGUGGUUUUGUUGUAAUGGGCAACCGGCCCAGAUGAAAGGUUUUGAAAAAUACAAAGAUUUUUUCAAAGAGGUGAAAAAUGCAGAGAUUUUUCAAAGUGGUGAAAAAAUGCAGAGAUUUUUCAAAAUGGUUUUGUUGUAAUGGGCAACCGGCUCAGAUGGAAAGUGAUGAAAAAUGCAAAGAUUUUUCAAAGUGGUAGAGAAAUGCUAAGAUUUCUCAAGAUGGUGAAAAAUUUUAGAGGUGGUGAGAAAUGCAAAGAUUUCUCAAAAUGGUUUUAUUGUUAUGGGCAACCGGCCCAAGUGAAAAAGUUUGAAGGUGGGGAGAAAUGCAAUGAUUUCUCAAAAAUGGUUUUAUUGUUAUGGGCAACCGGCCCCAAAUGGAAAAAGUAUGAAGGUGGGGAGAAAUGCAAUGAUUUCUCAAAAAAUGGUUUUAUUGUUAUGGGCAACCGGCCCAAAUGGAAGAUGAAAAGAGUUUUGAAAGAGGUCUGAUUAUAAUGGGUGACCUACCCGAGUGAAAAGGAAAAAUGUUUGAAAGGGAUGACAUGAUAGGACCCGAUGGGGAAUGAGGGCUGAAGAGCGCACUUGAAAGGAGGUAGGGAGAAAAACACACUACCUAAGAGGUAAGUGCUCCACGGCGCACUCUAAAGGACGCAGGGUUGGAAAACGCAUUACCUAAAAGGUGAGGGCUCAAAGCCACACUCAAAAGGAGAUAGGGUUACAAAACACACUACCUAAAGUGGUCGAAGGCUCUAAAACGCACUCAAAAGGAGGCAGGGUUGGAAAACACACUACCCGAAAGGUGAGGUCUCGAAAGGAGGUAAGGAGUUAAGGAGGUAAGGUUGGAAAACGCACUACCUAAAGUGGUGAGGGCUCAAAGGAGCACUUAAAAGGAGAUAGGGUUGGAAAACGCACUACCUAAGAUGUGAGGGCUCCAAGGAGCAACCAAAAGGAGGUAGAGUUAGAAAACACACUACCUAAGGUGGUUAAUGGCCCUAAGGCGCACUUAAAAUGAGGCAAGGUUAGAAAACACACUACCUAAGGUGGUUGAUGGCCCUAAGGCGCACUUAAAAGGAGGUAGGGUUGGAAAACACACUACCUAAGAGGUGAGGGCUCGAAGGAGCUCUCAAAAAGAGGCAGGGUUGGAAAACACACUACCUAAAAGGGUUAGGGCUCGAAGGCACACUAAAAAAGAGGUAGGGUUAGAAAACACACUACCUAAGGGGUGAGGGUUAAAAGACGCUCUCAGAAGGAGGUAGGGUUGAAAAACACACUACCUAAAAGGUUAGGGCUCGAAGGCACACUAAAAAAGAGGUAUGGUGUUAGAAAACACACUACCUAAGGGGUGAGUGCUCCAAGGGGCACUUAAAAAGAGGCAGGGUUGGAAAACACAUUACCUAAGAGGGUUAGGGCUCAAAGGCGCACUCUAAAGGAAGAGAUGAUGGUGAGACACCGAUCUGUCAAGGAUGAAAGCAAUGCAUCAUGAUCAAUAUGCAUGUAUACUUACCUGAGAAGUAUAGGUCCCCUUUUCUUCAUGGAGUUCUCCUUUUCAAAAGUUUGAGUCUCUGAUAGUAAGCUUUGAUGGCUUUUGUCCCCCUUGCUUACUCAAGAAAUAUGUUACGAUCUUGGCCUCCAGGAAAGACUUGAUGUCGUCAUUUCUUUGUUCUCCGCCCCUUUUAUCUCAAGGGUUGCCAAUUUUGCCCAAUAGUUUCUUCGAAAGGAAAUCAUGGAGCAAGCUCUACCAAAUGUUUUUGAUUGCCCCCUAGCUUGAUCAUACCCCAAGUAUUCAAUUUGGGUUUGGGGAUGAGGCUAUGUGAAGAAAGGUUUAACAAGGAGUUGUUUUCAUGUAGAAUUUUUGGAAUUUCAAAGCUAUUCCAGAUACAGAAAUCAUUUUGACAUCGAUUCAAAGCGAACUCAUUCUGAAGAAAUUCAAGUGAUUCCUAUUGAGAGGCUAUCAAAAGUGAUGAAAACUUUUUAUUUUGAUUUUUGGUGAAAAAUAUGAAGUGACAUUUGGUUGGUCACAAAAGGUUGAAACUUCAAUUUGAGGGUUAUUGAGAACCGUUGGUGAAAAUGCGAAGAACACAAAGUGACAUCUGAUUGGUCACAAAAGGUUUAAAUUUCAAUUUGAGGGUUAUUGAGAACCGUUGGUGAAAAUGCGAAGAACACAAAGUGACAUCUGAUUGGUCACAAAAGGUUUAAAUUUCAAUUUGAGGGUUAUUGAGAACCGUUGGUGAAAGCAUUCAUUUUAUUUGCAUGAAUAAUGAAUUUGUUUCGCAUGAGAAAGCACUACCUACCAAUCCAGAUUGCUUGCCUUUGAUCAGAAAGGGCUUGAUUAGGCACGUAAUGUAGGCUUGGGCUAUUGGCUAUGAAGAAAAGGAUAUCUGUAGGCUCAAAAGGUGUUUAAGGGACUUUAAGACUAAGGAUCACUAAUGCUUAUAUCCCAAACUCUUUUGUUCAUACAUUUCUGGACCUUGGAAUUGAUUUGUAAGAUGGUCCACGGUGCCCCCCAGUGUUGGGCUUGGGCUCUUUCUCUUUGUUUUUUUUUCUUCAUUUGAUUUUGAGCAUCAUUGCAUUGGCCUUGUUUUUUGCUCAAAAUUUUGGAUCAUUUGGAUUUUUUUUUUCAUGCCACCUAGCUUUGUAUGGGCACCUUUGAUGAUUGAGAUUUUUCUUUUAUGCCCCCCAGUAUUGUUUGGGCAUUCUCAUCGUUGAAGAAUUUUUCAUGCCCCCAAGAGUUAUUUGGGCACUUUCAAUCAUUAUGGAAUUUUUAGCACUUGCCCCCCAGUGUAGGGUGUGAUCCUAGCCAAGGUUAUUUUUCAAGAAAAAUUUAUUAGGCUCAAAAGGGGACUGCAAAGGAUAUAUUUCAGCCUUGUGAAAAGAUUAUCAAAGAUGGCCUUUCUUCAUCUCAAAUGCAUGCAUUUAGGAUCAGUAAGCCUUGCUUUCAUGCGAGUAUGCAGAGUGAUUUCUCAUUAUUCAUGCAAUUAAAACUCAGCUUUAGAGUCACUUCAUGGUGUGUUUUUUUUUGUUUUCUAGGUGUAUGGUUACCUCUCUAAGGAAUCACCUGAAUUUCCAGAACUUGUUUGUUUCGGACAAACAUCAACUGAUUUCUGUUUUUGUACUAAACUUUGAAUUUCCCAAAAAUCCUUAUGAAAACAUGGGUUUUUGAAGGGAGGAAAGAAAACACCAAAGAAUUAGUGGUUUUAUGAGUGAAGGGUGUGCUCAGUAUGUUAUUUGCAUGAACACAGAAAAGGCACAUGAUUUUAUUAACAGGAAAGGCUCAUUUAACAAAGAAAAUCUUGUGGCAUUAUGAGCCAAAUUGCCAACAAGACUAAAACGGGUUAAAACAAACAUGAUCAAGCCAAAAUGCAAUAAUUGGGUAGGCUCCAUCUUCCCAUUCUAUAGCAGAACUUUGUCCUCUAUCCUCAAAAGUGCACAUUGCCUUCUUCACAUCUUGCUCUUGCCAUUGGUGCUUUGAGGUUUCUAGAGCAUUCCGCCUCUAGUGCAUUCACCGAUCCACUACCUGAAGCAUGAUUGGGUAGAGGGUUCGAAGUUAUGUUUGGAGUUCCUUCGAGGGUGACCCAUCCGACUUUAAUCAGAUGCAUAAGCCUCUUCUUAAAGGCACUGCAAGUAUGAAUGUUGUGUCCCGCGGCGCCAGCAUGGUAUUCGCAAGUAAGGUCGGGCUUGUACCAAUUGGGGUAAGGUGGUUGUAAAGGUGUCAAGGGUUCAGGAGCUAUACGCCCAAUGCUCAGUAGCUUUUGAUACAUCUCAUUUAAGGGCAAUGGUAAUGGAGGUAAUUGUUCUUGGGUUUUUUGGUGUUUGGUUUGAAACUCAGGUUUUCUGGUAGGAAAUGAAGGGUUGAAAUUGAUGUUGGCGAUUUGGGGUGAAGUGUGGUAGUUUUGGAAUGGGUUUUUCCUACCCAUGUAACCACCUUCAACAUAGUCGACCUCUUUCAUUUUACCCUCAAAGCCUCUUUCUCAGUGGGCACAGAUAUUCUACCACUUUUUACCCCUUGCUCAAUGCGCUCAGCUACUGCCACACAUCAGUAAAUUGCUGGGCCGAACUACCCAUCACAUGCUCGUAGUAUGGGUCCUUGAGUGUAUUGCGAACAGAGUGACCAUCUCUUUAUCUAGGAGCGGAGGAUGUAUUUGAGCAGCUAGUCUCUCCAUCUUUGAGCAUAUUCCCUUAUGCUUUCCUUGUCCCUUUUCUCUAGAUUGGACAGACUGGUUCUAUCAGGAGCAAUGUCCAUAUUGUACUUGUAUUGCUUGACAAAAGCAUCCACCAAGUCUUUCCAUUUUUGGAUCUUUGUGUUGUCCAAUCUCAUAUACCAACUUAAUGCUGCCCACUUAAGCUAUCUUGGAAAAAGUGCAUCAGUAGUUUUUCAUCAUGUACUACUUCUGCCAUUUUGUUGCAGUAGGAUUUGAGAUGAGUCAUGGGGCAUUGCGUUCCGGUAUAUUUGAUGAAUUCAGGAACACGGAACUUUUUUGGGACAACCACAUUUGGGACCAGACACAUUUCUGCUGCCCGUACUGGAUCGUACAACUCUACCCCUUCAAUGGCUCUAAUUCGAGCUUCCAACGCCGCCAUUUUAUCUUGACCAAUGCCAUCAGAUGACUUGGUCUUGUGAGACUCAUUGGCAAAUGGAUCUAUGACUACAGGGGCUGGUGCUGAUGGCGUUGAGUGCACAAAUGCUGGAUUGUGUGGAGGUUCUUGACCAUGUUCACUCAUUGUUUCUUCGGGUUGAGCCAUUGUUGGAGCCUGAACAGAAAUAGUAGGUCGGUUGGAAGGACCUUCAACAGAGGCAUUUCUAAGUGCAUGCUCGAGUAAGCUAGUGAGGCGAGCCACGCUUGCUUUCAGAGACUCUAACUCUUCUUGGAAAUGGGCAUCACGGUGAGCACGCUCUUCACCUUCCAUGUUUCUUGCUUGGAGUCGGGUGUUGUAGACUCUUUGGGGACCUAUAUUUCAACCUGGCGCAUGUAUGUAUGUUAUUUACAAUGGAUGGAUGUAUGUGUGUGGAUGCAAAUGUAUGCACAUUUGGUAUGAAUGGAAAAAACUCAUGCAAAAUGAAUAACAAGAGAGUUCAUGCUCUAAAGGAAGGUUCUAGGUCAUUACAUGAUGGGUAGGCAUUCUACCUGGUCUUGAAAAGGUCUAUGAACUGCCUAGUGACCACCUCACGUGAAGGCAGUGUAGGGGUUUACAAGGAAUGGUUGGGGCACAGUGUGACCGCCAUUACCAAGUAAACACUCAGCUCAUAGUUGGAUGUUUCACGAAUCUGAACCCCGACUGAAAGUCAUGAGGCAGACCGCUACUCCCCACCUAACCUAGAAUAGGGUUUAUUCGCAAAAUUAAAAUGCAUGCUAAAGCAGUAAAAAUGCGAGCUAAAAAUAAAGACCAAUAAAAGGAAAACAAUCAAACAAUCAAUGCUUAGUCCGACCACACAUGGUUGUCCCCAGUGGAGUCGCCAUUCUGUCGCACGUCGAAAAAUUCCGCACGACAUCGACUGGCGAUUUUUUUUAUUUGUGUUUUGCUUGGUUCGUUGGAGUCGCCACCUAGUAUUAUGGUCACUAGGAACCUAAGGUCUACGGGAGUCUGAGUAAGGGACUGGUUGUGCAAGGGGAAGACGCAUCACCCCCAGUGCACCCUACCUAAGGCAAGCUGCAUUAUUGUUUGAUUGUUUUCUAGGUCGAUUUCUAUUCGCUGGUCUUUUCUAAGGUUCAAGGCAGAUCUCCCCUCGUGAGGAAGUCUCUACCUUAUUCGGUUAAAUCCUAACCAUUCUAAAGUCUUAAAAUUUUAUUUACACCUUGUAUCUUUAAUAUAAGGUGUACAUUAUCAUUAAUUUUACACCCAAAAUAUUAAAGUCUACAUCUAUCCUAGAAAAAAGUUGGAAAAAGGUUUUUGAUAUUUUGGCCAAACCCUAAUGGAUAAUCAUAAAGUUAUGAUAUCCAUUUUUAUUUUUCAAAAAAACGUGAGAAAGAUGCAAUUUUUUUGAAAAAACAUGCUUGGAAAAUUUUUAGGACUUGGCCGUAUGCAAUAAAAUAUUUUUCUUUUUUGAUAUAUUUUUUAAAAAUUUUCGAAAAAGCCGGGUAUUUUAAUACCGGACUUAUAUCUUACAAUGUAAGUAUACAACCCAAUAUUAAGCAAAACUUGGUGGAAAAAUAUUUGAGAAAACCACAAUUUUUUUUUUUAAUAUUUUUUGAAAAUAAAAAGAAAAACGAAUAAAAAACUAAAAAGGCAUGAACAGUGAACAGUGACGGCAUGAACAGUGACGCCGAAGAAGAAGAGGAAGGUGAGCGGACCACCUGGCGUGGCGGCGAUGGCUGGAUGGAGGAGGAGGACCUGAAGCUUGUGGUGGAAACGGCGGUGGAGUUAGCUGGAGCGGCUGCAGCUGGAAGAGGAAAAAAAAAGAAGAAAAUCUGCAGCAGGAAAAUGGAGGAAGGCUGGUUUUUUGGCUUACUUUGGACCCGAUUUCUCCUCCCUCUAAGCACGAAAUUGGCUCCUAUUUAUAGGGAUGGAAAGAGGGUAAUCUUGUCUUUAACGGGGAAAAAGUAUCAGCCCUUGAUUGGACUUGAGGAAUCCAAGCCGUUGGUUCAAAGUGGACCUCGAACUGCAAAAUUUGGCAAUCCAAGGCUGCAGACUGCCCGAGGGUGCCACUUUGGGCCAAUAAACGGAGCCGUUUCCAAGAUUUUCCACCCGACCGGACCACUCCACGGGAUAAAGGGAUUUCAGGUGAACAUGUCGGUUCACGCCUUGUCGGAUUUGGGGAAUAAACGAGGUAGAAAAUGCGCCUGGAAGUCUGCCACUCGGGCAGCUUCACGAGGAAGAUGAUGAACAGUAACCCGUUGUUUUUUUUUUGUUUUGUUUUUUUUGUUUUUUUUUUUUUUUUUUUUAAGCAAAGUCGUUUUGGGUUAAAAUUUGGGAUUUUUUUCUGAUUUUCAAUUUAGUCCUCCAUAGUGCCAGCCUUUAUUUUAUUUUUAUUUUUUUUUUUUUUUUUUUUUUUUUUUUAUUAUUUUUUUUUUUGAAAAUUUGGGGAAUAACCCAAAAUUGGGUUAUGACAAUACAAUUUAAACAUUCCCACUAGUCAGGGGGUCAAUAAUUCCUUGAAGGAAUACUAAUAGAAAAAUAAGACAUGAUGUUCUUUCCUGGAAGGAAUACUAAUAGAAAAAUUAUAAAUGGAGUUUUUAAAAUAUACUUUCUUAUUUUUAUAUAUAUUUAAUAAGUGAAGUCUGAGCAAUUUUUAUUUUGUAUUAUUAAACAAGAGCAAUUAUAAAUGAAGGCUUAAGGAACUCGAGCGAAUUGUUGAGAAAAAAAAAAAACAAACAAACAAACCAUGGUUGUUCUAGAAUUUGGUUUCUUUAAAUUAUAUUUUUUAUGUUUUUUUAUCAUUUUAAUGUAUUAAUAUUAAAAAUAAAUUUUUUAAAAAAUAUAUUAUUUUAAUAUAUUUUUAAAUAAAAAAAUACUUUAAAAAAUAAUAACCACCACAAUACUCCAAGUCGCAGUAUUUACGACUAAAAAUCAAGCUGUGUGGCCAUUGUUUAUUUGUUUCUUGAAAUUAUUUUGCAGUUGAUUUUUUCGUGAUUGGUCUAUUUAAAAAAAAAAACAAAUGGAUUUGUCAAUUUUGAUUAUUGUUUUCAGAAAAAAAAACAAUAGUGAAAAUGAAAUCCUCAUGUUUCUCUUAUUUUAAAAUAAAAGGAAAUUGUACUAAAACUAUUUUAAAAAUAUAUUUAUUUUUAAAAUAUAAUUAAUUCCUCGAAUACACGCCAUAAGAUUUUUCCAGGUCCCCCCAAAGACUCCCCCCCCCCCUGCUGCCUAAUACACGUGAUAAGAUUUUUAAAAUAUAGUGCCUUUUUUUUUUGUUUUAUUUAAGGACAUGAUAUAGGGCUAAUUGGCACUAUAAAAUACGUACAUCAUUCCUCCCAAAGACUGCUUCUAUGACCAUCACCUACGGAUAUAUUUUGUCUGUAUUUUUAAUGGUAAUCACUAAUGGAAUGGUCAUCGGUGAAUGUUGCAUAAAUAGUAAAUAUUUUAAAAUUCUUUGUAAAAUCCGAUCCGUCGAUAAUAGCAAUGGUAAACACCGAUGGAAUAUAUAUGUCGAUGAUAGUGGCAUAGGUGGUAAUUUUUUUGCUAUUUUCGAUAAAAUAUCGAAGGCUUGGUUUCAUCUGUAAGGAUGUCGGUAUUGAUUUAAAAUAUUUUAAAAAAAUUAAUUAACCAAAUAAAAUUGUAUUAAACAUUAAAAAUAUAAAAAUAAUGUUCAUCCAAAUAUUCAUUACAAAUUUAAUGUGUUUCAAAAACAAAAUUAAACUAGAACAACAGCGAAGUUGCUGGAGGAGGAGGAGGAGGCUGGUUAUUUCCGGGACCGUACGACCAAAAAGGGGCUGCACAUGUAUCAUCACCCAUCCUUGAUCUAAUAUCCAUGACCAAUUGACGGAGCUGAUGAUAUUCCAUUGAGAGUCGCUCAUAUUGUUGUUUCAAGUCCAGACUGCUCAGACUGGGUGCUCGAUAUUGAUGAAGAGCUCCCAACAGUUGAGACCAUAGUUUUUAAACCCGGACCGGCCCGGCGGGUUGAAACGGGACCCAGCCAACCCGGGCAUGGAACCGGUCCGGGUGGAGGCCAAAACCCGCUUGGGAAUUGGCCCGGUCAAACCCGGUCCACCCGGUAGGUCGACCCGGGACCCGGUCCACCCGGCCAAACCCGGGUGAGACCCGACCACUAUUUUUUUUUACUCCCCCUGUCAUUAAACGACGCCGUUUAAUGACUCUAAAAUAUACAAUCGCACCGAAAAGUGAAGCAGAAGAAGAACGAAGCAAUCGAACGAAGAACGAAGCAGAAGAAGAACGAAUUAACCAUUGAUCUCUGCGAAAAAGGUUUGAAUCUCCUUCUUUCACUCUCUGUUUUGUUUAUUCUUCGUCGUUUUCUCAUUUCUGGGUUCUGGCAUCAAUUUCAGUUUCAAGUUCAUACUUCUGUGUUUCUUCACUCGCUGCGAUUCAAGUUCAUACUUCUGGGUUCUUCAAUCGAUUUCGCAGAAGAAGAAACCUCAGCCCUCAGGUAUGUUUCUCCAACCCGAUUCCUGCUACAGUGUAUGUAUUUUCUUCAUCAAUUCAAUUCGUCUGUGUUCUUCAUCACUUCUUGAUGAACUCUCUGUCGAUUCAUACAACUGUUACAUAAUCAUUCAACCGUUGCAUGGUUUCUUCUUUCAAGGCUCACUAAAACAGCUUGGUAGUUCUUAAUAAGUACAAUUUUCAUCGAAAAGUAUAGUUGGAUCAAUGAAGAAUAUCUCAGCUUUGUUAGAUUUCACUAGAUGCUAGUCCUGCCCAGAUAUUUCCUUCUUUUGAACCAUCCUGGCAUGAUUUCUAUGUUUCUUUUCUUUAUGAUUUUGAGCAACAGUCUCUGUUUCUAUGCAAACAAACAACACAGUCUCUGUUUCUAGCAUGUUUUAUGAACUUAAUUAUUCGAGGUUUGUUUGUGUUGUUUUUGUAAUUAGUGAUUAACGAAGAGGAAUUUUAGAGAAAUAAAGGCGUCUGAUUUGUUCAUUUGACGAGUUUGUUUGUUCGGUUAGGCUAUUAUAAUUGUUUCAGAGUUGAAUAUCAAUUUUGUGCUUGAUUGUGAAUAUCAAAUGUUAUAACAAACAAAAAAGCACAGCCAACAUUGCAUAUUUACCUUAAUCUGCUGCUCAUGUAUCUCAAUUCUCAAAAUUAUCAAAUAGUUUCAAGAGAUAGAUGCUAACAUCUACACAUAAAACCAUGAUUGAAUGCUUUCAAGAGACUAGAAUGCAACUAUGAACUGCAGUUGUCCAUUUAUAACUAUUCUCUCAAGGCAGUUUAAGAGGACUUUAAUUGUCAACUAUCCAAUGAAACAUGGCUUCUAUCAAAUAAAAGCAUAGUUUAGGAUUUUAAAUUACAUGCGGUAAAUUUCAUUCUGCAAAAUGCGAUUUCUAGAUAGGAAUUACAUGGCAGAAAUAUACGAAAGUAUCAACAGUUUUAUUACAAGAAAUAAGCAUGUUAGAAUACCCAAAAUCAAGUAAUUAGUCUUGAAAGAUAACAGAAUCUAUACCAGACAUAUGAAAAAUCCAACAAUCAAGACGGUUAGGAAAGAAAAAGAACAUAAAUUAUAAGGAACCAAAAGGGAAUUAAACGUUAUGAAAAAAGAAGGCAAUGCUCACCAUGAAAAAGUGUAGAGGAAAAAAUUGAGUAAUUUAGAGUUUGGUUUAGCAAUUCAAUUGUUAAUAGUUGAAGGAAAAGUGUAGAGGAAAAAAUUGAGUAAUUUUUAGUUGGUGUUUUGGGAGUGUAUGGAUGGGGAGGAAAUUUUAAUUUGUUAACACAUUUUAGAGUUUAUUUUUAGAGUGUCAGGGUAAAUUGGAGUGUUGAAUUCAGAAUUAUUUUUGUCAUGCAUAAAGUUUAUUUUUCUUCAUCAGUGAUGGAAACUUAUGCAAUUCUAUUGCAUUAUGUCAGGUUUGAAAAUGUCUUCACAUGAUGGUAGUACUCCAAGUAAUGAUCCUUCAACGGCCCAAUCAUCUCAACCUUGAAUUUCCAUGUCAAGUGGUAGUAGAGGAAAAACAGAUUUAGCAUGGGGUCAUUGUAGAGAAGCUCCUGAACUUAGUGUUGGAUGUAAAAAAACUAAAUUAGUUUGUUUAUAUUGUGCUAAAGUAUUUGCGGGUGGUGGUAUUAAUCGAUUUAAGCAACAUUUAGCUGGAGCUAAAGGAGAAGUUGAACAAUGUCGCAAAUGUCCUCCUGAUGUUCGACAUCAAAUGCUUUUGAACCUUAAAGGAAAUGUUGAAACGAAAAAAAGAAUUAGAGAAAUGCAAGCAGAUUUCAAUCCCUUUAAUGCACAACAAAGGGAGCAUGAAAAGUUGAUAAUUAGGCAAUUAGAAUAUGAUGAUGGUGAUGAUGAUGAUGAGGAGGAGGAGGAUGAGGAUGUCAAUACUAAAAAACAUAUGUUACCACUGAAGGUUGCAAAAAAGAAAAAGAUUCAAAGCAUCGGUUCUGUAAAAUAAUCAACUACAAGCUAUGGAAAGUAGAAGAAAUCCGCAACAUUAGGAACAUAUUUCAUGCCGAGAACAACUCCUGGUGCUCAAAAGUCUCUUAAGAAUUGUUGGCAAAGGAAAGAAGCAGUUGAACGGUGUGAUCUUGUUUUAGCGAAGUGGAUGUUUGAUGCAUGUGUGCCAUUUAAUGUUGUUAACUCUGUGUAUUAUCAGCAUGCCAUAGAUGUUGUAACAUCCAUGGAUCCUGGUUAUAAAGGACCAAACUUGCAUGCUAUCCGUGGUUAUUACUUGGCAAAAACGGUUGAUGAAGUGAAGAUUUAUGUUGAGAGUUAUCGGGAGAUUUGGAAGAAGACUGGUUGCACAUUAAUGGCUAAUGGAUGGACAGAUCAGAAGAGGACAACUUUAAUUAACUUCUUAGUAUAUUGUCCUAAAGGAACAGUUUUUUUGAAAACGGUGGAUGUAUCAGAUGUCUCAAAGACUGCUAGAUUGCUGUAUCAGUUGUUUAGAGAGGUUGUUUUGUAUGUUGGGGUAGAAAACAUUGUGCAUAUGGUGACUGAUAAUGCUGCAAAUUAUGUUGCUGCUGGUAGGUUAUUGAUGGAAGAAUUUCAUUCAAUAUUUUGGUCUCCUUGUGCUGCUCAUUGCAUCAACCUCAUACUCCAGGACAUUGGUAAAUUGCAGUCAGUUGGUUUUGUUGUUGAGCAUGCUUCUGGUAUCACAAAGUAUAUUUAUAAUCAUUGUUAUCCAUUGUAUUUGAUGAGGAAGUUCACUAGAGGAAAAGAAAUACUUCGUCCAGCUCCUACUCAUUUUGCCACCAAUUUCAUUGCAUUGCAAAGCAUUUUAGCUCAUAAAGAUCAAUUGAGAGCUAUGGUGACAUCUAGGGAAUGGGUCUCAUCUGCUUAUGCUAAAGAUAUCAAAGGAAAAAAGUUUGUUGAAAGUGUGCUAGACUCUUUGUUUUGGGAAGAAUGUGCAAUAAUUGUGCGAAUGAGUGAACCUUUAGUUCGAGUUCUACGAUUGGUUGAUGGUGAUGCUAGACCUUCGAUGGGAUAUUUGUAUGAUGCUAUUCAUCAUGCAAAAGAAGAAAUGAUGAGGAGAUUUCAAAAGAGAAAGCCUACAGUGAAACCUUUCAUAGACAUUAUCAAUAAUCGGCGGGAUGGACAAUUUUAUAGAAAUCUUUAUGCAGCGGCAUUUUGGUUGAAUCCUCGAUUUCAAUAUGAUGCAAAUAUAAUGGAUAAACAUAUGAGCACCAUUUCUGCACUUCUAGAUGUUCUUGAGAAGUAUGCACAUGGAAAUCUACCAUUACAAAGUAAGAUUACAAGUGAGAUGAAGUUUUUUAGGAAUGCUGAACAUGACUUUGGCCGAGUGUCCGCAAAAAAUAAUCGCACUCUUAUGCCUCCAGGUAUAUAAUUUUUAUAUUUAAAAAUAUUAUUUGACAGUCUUACACUUUUACUUAUUAUUUUUUUGUAUAGAUGAAUGGUGGAUGACAUAUGGAACCAGCGCUCCAAAUCUACAACAAUUGGCUAUACGAGUGUUAAGUCAAACUUGUAGUUCUUCGGGAUGUGAGAGAAAUUGGAGUAUGUUUGAACAUAUUCAUUCCAAGAAGAGAAAUAGAUUGGAGCACCAAAGGCUGAAUGACCUUGUUUACGUCCACUGCAAUCUAAGAUUGAAACAAAAGUAUUUUUCUUUUCUCUAAUUCCUUAAAUAUUAUUUUAUCUUGUUUAGUAGCAUUAUUAAUAGUUAUAUUGUGUUUACCUUCACUUUUAAUAUAUAGGAAUUAUUGGAAAGGACGAAAUUAUGAUCCAAUUAAUGUUGAGACAAUUUUUGACAUUGAAAAUUGGGUGGUCGAAGAUGACCCAUCAAUCUUGACAACGGAAGAAGUAGAGAGUUUUCACCAAGCUCUAUCAACUAUGACCUUACAAGAUACAUUAGAUGAUGGUAAUUAAUGAUUAAUUAUUUAAUGAUAAAUAUUAUUUAAAAUAAAGUUUUGUUUAACACAUAAUAUUUAUUUCUUAAUUGUGUUUGAAAUGUAGAUGUCAUAAAUGUUAAUGAUAUUGAAGAUGAUUGUGACGAUGAAGUUUCAAAGGAGCAUGCUGAUGAUUUAUUAGGUGUUGACGAAUUGGCUCCAUUCCAUCGACAUUUGAUCCAAAUUUUUCUUCCAUGGAGACAGAAUAACUUAAUGUGUUAAUUCAACAUAAGUGAAUGUGUUGUUGUUUUAAAUUUUGAUAUUUUGUUUUAAAUAUUUUAGAAUUUAUGUUGUUCGAAUUUAUGUGGAUGGAUGUUUUGUUUUAAAUAUUUUAUAAUUUAUAUUUGGUUUGUAUAUUGGAUAUUGAAUUAAAUUUAUGUUGUUGGUUUAUAAUUUAAAUUUGGUUUAAGUAAGUGUUGUAUUGUAAUUAGGUAUGUUUUUUUUAUAUAUAUAGGUUUUUUUGGGUUGACCCAGGUUAACCCGGGUUAACCCGGGUCAACCCACCGACCCGUGACCCAGAAGGUCGACCGGGUCAAUGACCGAGUCGGGUUUCAAAACUAUGGUUGAGACACUACAGGUCGUCCUCAAGUUGUCAGUCGUAGUGUUGGAGAGCCCGUACACCUAAUUUUUAUCGGGUCCACCAGACGAUCCUACCUUCACCUUAAAAUCUGGAUCAAAAUCCGGAUGAGUCGAAGGAUUGUCCUCAUAUCUCUCCCUCAAUUGGCUAUUAUAGGUCUCCAAAAUUUUAUUUUUUUUUAAAUCAUCAUAUUCAAUUCAAGAAAAUAAUAACUUACGAAAUAAAAUGAUUGAACGAACAUACCACGAAGUGUUGAGCACGGUUGUCCACGAACUAUUGCACGCCCUUUUGGUGGUCUUGGCUCCGGACAUGCGUCUCUACAAACAGUUCCACUAGGCUCGGCUCACAUCCAAGAGACGUAGCUUGUAAGGAAAAAAAAAAAGGUUGCAAGUUAAAUAUAUUUAUAAGCAACAACAAAUUAAUUAAUGAUAUAUUUCAUUUAAAUUAAUCUUACCAUCCUCAUGUGCACUAAACGGGAUGGAGCCGCUAGUGGGCACAGUCACCGAACCAUGAAUUUGCCAGUUCCGAUUGUCGGCACCGAACUGUGAGCGUCGUGCUAACCACUCAGACAUCACGUGCUCAAUAUGUUAAUUGCUCUCUGUCAUUUGUUCUCUUCUUUUUCAAUCUAACCAUCACAACAAUGAUAUAAUUCAAUCUCAUAUCAAUUUCUUACCGCGUGUUUAAUUUAUCAUUUUCUCCAUAUAAGGAUUGUCACACCCUCGCGGCAGAGCGUGGCCUCGCGGUGACCCUCGAUUGAUUUCAGGGUUUUUGUGUUUUUGUUUUUUGUAUAUAAGGGAGUCGCCACCUAGUAUUAUGGUCAUUAGUGUUGUAACCCAUUUCUGGGUCCCCACAUAAAAAAUAAUAAAAUACAAAACAAAUUCAAAAAAUAUAUUAUCAAAAAAUAGAACAGUGAAAAAAUGCCAAAGCGCCCUAAAAAUGCUCAAAAAAAUUGUUUAAGAAUUUUCAAAAAUAUAAAAAUUAUUUUUUGACAGUAUAUCAUUGACUGAUGAGAGCUCCAAUGAUAAAGAAAAUUCAAUUUGUGGAAGAAAAAUGCAAAAUCAGAAGUUUAUGGACUCAAUUAAAUUCUAUUAAAGGUUUAAUUGCAUUUAUGAAGAUUUUAAUUGCAAGAAAAAUUGAUUUUGGAGUUAAUUUGGGCUUUAAUUAGGAGAAAUUAAUUUUCUGGGGUCAAAUUAUAAUUUUUGAAGUUAAUUUGGUCAAAUCAGGGGCUUAAUUGCAUAAAUAUUGAAGUUUAAUGGCCAAUUAGGGACUUAAUUGAAGAAAUCCGAGAGCAAGGACUAAAUUGUAAAACGUGCGCAAAUGGAGGGCCGAAAUUUGAAUCUGAUGCUUUUGGCGCCUUUUCCUUUUAAAUGAAACGGCGUGUUUUGACCAAAACGGCGUCGCUUCAUUCACUGUUGCAAAAAACAAAAAAAAAAAUAGAAGCCCAAAACGGUGCCGUUUUGACGGCACUGUAGCUCUUCUUCUUCCCCUGGACGCGCGAGGCAGGGGAAGAAGAAGAUUUUUUCUUCCCCUUUUCGCCUAAUUUCUUUCCCGUUUUUCGCGCAAUAAGACGCCCGCAAUCACCCACUUGUCUCCUUUUUAUCCUUCUGAGUUGAUAGUGGAGGGGCGGCCGACAGUGGCCGCCCAACCACGACACCGCCCCCCUGUUUUUGCCUAUAAAAACAGGGGAGGGGCACCGAGAAAAGUGGAGGAAAAAACAGAAGAGAAGAAAGAAGGAGACCGAGAGAAAGGAGACCGAGGGAGAGAGAGAGGGCAAAGAAGAAGAAGAAGAAGCAGAAGCAGCAGAGAAGAAAAAGAAAAACUGAAGAGAGAGAGAAGGGAAACGCAGAACCACCGUGCCUCCGCCACCAUCGCCUCCGCUGCCACCAGCAGGUAAUCUCUCGCCGCCUCGUCUCCUUCUCCGUUUGCCCGCCUCCUGUUUUCGGUUGCAUGCAGAACGUGAAUUAAUUCACGUUCUGCAGCUGAAGGGGCUGGUUACAUUUGGGCCAGCCCAUGCAUUUGGGCUAGGUUCGGCCCAGCCCACUGAAAUGGCCCGGGUCCGGCCCAUUUCAAUUUUUUUAUUUUUAAGAAUUUUUACAAUUUUUUUCAGCACAUGUUUUUAUCAAUUUUGCUUAAUAUCGCCACUGUUCACACGGUACUAUUCACCCGGCCCAUUCAGAAAACAAAAAUCAAAAAUAUUUGUUUCAGCAUUUUAUAAUUUUUCCGCGUUGUUUUUAUUUCAUUUUGAUUAAUAUCCGGCAGUAUUUUUACAUCGUAAAAAAUAUAAAUCCGGUAUUAAAAUUCCAAAAAAUACAAAAAAAUAAAAAAAUAAAAAAUGUUUUUGUGCAUACGGCCAAGUAUCUCAAAUCUAAAAUAUCAUAUCGUAUUUUUCAUAUGUUAAAAAACAAUAUUUUAGCAUGCAUUUUGGCUUUAUUAACCAGUUUAUUAAAGUCAAGAGAACAUUGGCCAAAAUCUCAAAAACAACAAAAUAUUUUAUUUUGUUUGAUUUUAGUAUCAGGGAUUAUGAAUUUAUACGUAAAUCGUAUUCCUGAUAUUAAAAAGAUAUUUUCUUUUGACGACUUCGAAUAGUUAGUUUUUUACCCGAUAAAGAUAAGGAUCUCCUUACGGAGGAGGACUUUUCUUAAACCGUAAACGAACCAACAAUUCAAAAACCACAACACGAUUUUAGAUUUUUUCAGACAUUAAAACAAUGCAGCCUACCUUAGGUAGGGCAUAGUUGGGGUGCUAAUACCUUCCCUUUACGCAACCAGUCUCCGUACCCGAUCUCUAAAGACCAGUUAAGGUUCCUAGUAACCAGAAUACUAGGUGGCGACUCCCAGUCUAUAUUUUCACAUGUAGAGACAAGAAUUCCUUGUCUCUCCCUAUUUUCCUGGAAUAAAUUAUUCCGAUUUUUCCUUGAGGGCGGACGAUCGUCGCGCCGCCGCACACGUGCGACAAUUAGGAACCCUAACUAGUCUUUCAGAGAUUCUAAGGCAAGAGACUAGUUGCAUAAAGGGAAGGUAUUAGCACCCUUAGUACGACCUACCUAAGGUAAGUUGCUUGGUGUUUGGUUUGCUUUAUAAUUUUUAUGGUGUUAGUGUUUUCUAAUCCCAUUAGUUUCCUAGGUUUGAUUCAAACUAAAUUUAUUAAGAUAGAAAUCCAAGGAGAUUCUGUGUGCUUUAAAAGCUUGUUUUUCCCUUAGUAUUUCAAAAGUUCGUGACUCGUAAAUUGCAAGGAGGGACCAAAAUUUAGAAAUCUAAGGCGCUUUAAAAGCCUAUUUUUGCCUUAGUGUUUUCUACUCUCACGGCUCGUAAACCGUGGAAUAAAAAAUUGAAAUGUCCUCGAUUAUAAUCAAGGCUUCUUUCAAGGAUGUAUGAGAAUUUAUUAUUCCUAAAAAAUUAUUUUGGAUAUUUACCACAUAGGAUUUCUUCAUCCAAAUAUUAACAGUGAAUAAUAACAAGUUAUUCCCAUUAAAUAUUUUGGAUAUUCAUCCCUUUGGGAUUUUUUUAUCUAAACAUUAACGGUGAAUAAUAGAUGAAUUCCACCCAAAAUAAGAUUUUUUAUUUUUUUGGAAUAUUGGCCAAUACCCUUUGGAGUUUUACAAACAUGUUGUAAAAUCUAGAAAUGCAAGAAAAUAAUUUUUGUUGUGUUUAAGAAAUCCAUGCGAAAAUACAUUUUCGAAACUUCCAAUAUUUUUUGUAUAAAAAAGAAACAUGGUAGAGUAUAUAUAUAUAUUUGUCACAUUGCGUCGAAAAACCGGGUAUUCUAAAUAUAAGAUUGAUAUUUUUUAUAGCAUAAAAAAAAUUAGACCUUAAAAUAAAUAUGCUAGAAAAUCAUAAAUCUCUUUCUCUUUCUUUUAUUUUUUUGAAGAAAAAAAAAUAGUAGGUCCGGCCUGGUCACUUGCCCAAGCAAGUGACCUGGCUGCAGGGGCGGAAGGAGGGGGGCAAGCAGGGGCCCGGGCCCCCCCUAAAAUAUUCCGCCCCUGUAUAAUAUAUAUAAGCUUGUGGGAAUUAUACGGAGAGGUAUUCUUGUUAAAAUAAUAAGGCCAUUCAACCCUAAAGAGAGCAUGAACUCUUAUUUAUUAGAAAUUUAAUGCUCUGUGUGCGCGUGUGUAUUAAGAUGGUCAAUACUACUCUAUUUGGUAAAAGAACUCGUUCUUUGACGAUAAAUAAAUUAUAGGUGCUGAGUGCAUCAAGUAUUUGCUGAGGUUGUGAUUAUUUCAUCUUAUUACGAAAUCAAUUACAACCUAGCUGAUUAGGAGAAUAUAUAUAUAUAUAUAUAUAUAUUAGGUAAUUAAGUGUGGAAGAGGUUUUUUAUUCUACAAAAGUAAGUUUUCUUAUUGUAAUUAAGUGUGAUUUUUCAAUUUGAUUUUUAAAAAAUUAAUUUACGUACCCUAAUAUAAAUCCUGUAAAUAUAAAUUCAUUACUUUGCACAAUAAAUUUUGCAGCCGGUCAAAAACAAAAAUAUAAAUAUUAAUCAUAAGUAAAAUUUUUCAACGAAAAAAUUGAAGUAGAGCCAUCAAUUAAUUUAUUUUUUAUUAAACAAAACAAGGUAACUUAAAUUUAAAAUCUAUUUUUAUUUUGUUUUGAGAUGUUUGUUAAUAAUUUGAUGAGGUUUUUUUUAUAUAAUUCUACCAUUUUUGCUUUAUUUUUUUCUUAAAUCUGCUAAUUUUACCAAUUGUUUUUUGAAUUCUUGUUAUAAUGUUUUUUUUUAAUUAAUUAGAUAUAUUUCAUUGGUUUGUUUUGAUUAUACUUUGAUUUUUUUUAUGUUUUAUUUUUAGCAGAAUCACCAAAAUUAUCAAUUUUUUCUCACGAUAUAUGUUUUGAUUUUAGGUUGAACCAUGAACAAAAUAAGAAGAAUUUUAUUUUUUUUUCAAAAAAAAUAUUGAUAACUCGCAGCUUUGUGAACCAACUCCAAUGUGUAAUGUUAAAGUUAUGAUUGAGCAACUCCAAUGCGCCUCAGUUUACAAAGAACCCGCGUUGAUUAGUGAGAAUAGUUAUGUAUUAUUUUUUGCUUUAUUUCAAAGUUUAUCAAACAUAAAUAAUGCUUCGUUUUAGCUAAUAUUUCUUAUAUACUUUGUAUGUUUAUAUUUGAUAGAUAUAAAGACCAACAUUAAAGUGAUGAAUAUAUUAUGAAGAUGAAAUUAACUUCGUUACUUUAACUCAAUUUAGUAUUUCUUCAAACCUUUUAUCUUAUACAAAUAUCAUUAUAUAUUUAUAGUAAGUUAUUUGAAUAAAACUAAAUUAUACAGGUUUUUUUACAAUCCAUGUACAAUAAAGUAAAAUAAAUAUUAUAUUUUAUUAUAUUAAUUAUAGCCUCCCCUAACAAAUAAUUCUAGCUCCGCUGGACACAAAAAAGGUGCAGUUACAGUUUAAUCAAAGCUGGCGGGUUACUGUUCAAGUGAAAUAAUUCACUUGAACAAUACAAAGUAAAAUGCAUGCAAAGAGACCACAUUACUGUUCAAGUGAAUUAAAAUUCACUUGAACAGUGUAAACACAAAGAAAACAAAUGCAUGCAAGAGGUGAAGAGAACAGACCUGGAGACGAAGAAGCUACAGCAACAUUGAAAGCAUGAUGGUUGCUUGGUCUGUUUUCGUCUGUUUCAAACCUUUUCCUUUCUGUUCUGUAUUUGCAUCUGUUUCUUGCUUUUUCUUUCCUCUGCGUCUUCGUCACUCUCUCUACUGGUUCCUGCACUUUCUUCUCCCAUGUUCUGCAGAUUUUAUUUGCAGAAAAAAUGGACCAAAGAUCGAAAGUCAGUCUCUGCUUCUUCCUUGUUUCUCCUCUUUUUUUUCAUCUUUUCUUUUCUCAUCUCUCUCUUCUAUUGCCUGCCUUCCUGAUCUCACAGCAAUGCAAGGAUGAAGGAAGAAACCCUUUGUUCUCUGCAUUUUUUCUCUCCUAACUGGCUACCUCUCUUACAUUUAAAAUUUCAUUUAAUGUUUUUUUGAACAAUUUCAUUUUGUAAUGACUAUUAUUUAUCUUAUAUUUUUUGUUUUUGAUGCUUAAUAUAAAUUUUAUUUUUUGUUCUCUGCAUUUUUUAUGCACAGGAGGCGUGGGAAAGCUACAGUGCUUUCCCCACGCGUUUUAGAGUUCUACUAGCUUUGAUACCCGCGCGAUGUCGCGGGUUAUUUUUUUUGUAUAAAAAAUAUUUUAAAAAAUAAAAAUUAAAAAAUCUUGGGUUUUUCUGCAAAGUGAUAUCCAAGAAUCUUGGGUUUGGCUGUAACGUCUGACCUAAAAAUAAUAUUUAUAAUAUUAAUAAUAAAAUUAAACUUGCAUGACCCAAGUUUAAGUGAGUCUGGCUGUAACACCAGACCCAAGAAUAUUGGAUGUGAGUCUGUCAUAAAAGCGUGAUAAUUAAAAAAAUCAACAAAAAAAAUCAACAAAAAGGAAAAAACUAAUGAAUAAAGAGAAAAAGAAAUUGAAUUAAUUGGGUUAACCCUUUAAACCAGGUUAUCCCGUAAAACCUGAGAUUUGUGUCAUGAAAGUUUGAUAACUAAAUAGAAAAAAAAAUAACGGGUUUACCUAGAAUUAACCGGGUUAACCCAUCAAACCAAGUUAACCCGUCAAGCCCAGGAUACGUGUCAUGAAAAUCUGAUAAUUAAAUAGAAAGAAAAUUAAUUUUAACAAACUAAACUAAAUGAAAAAAAUAACUUGUCAAAUCAGGUUAACCCAUCAAACCCGAGAUUCGUAUCAUAAAAAUAUAAUAACUAAAUAAAAAAAAUUUAACAUUAACAAAAUAAAUCAAACAAAAAAAAUUCAUUAAAAAAAUUAAAAAAAAACAGUCAUAUAAUAUAAUAAUAAUUAUAAUGAAAAAACAUGGGGAAAGCUAAAACUAAAGCUAAAUUCUCAACCAACUCAAUAUUAAAAAAAUAAAUUUAACAAAGAUAAUUUAAAAAAUAAACAUGUAGGAGAAACACUGCAGCUAAACAAAAAUCAUGCAAGGGAAACAUUGUAGUAAUCCAUAGUGUUUUUUUUUCUUUUUGAAAAAAGCUACAAAGCUAAGUUCUCAACCAGCUUAAUAUAGAAAAAAAACCGAGAUCCAUGUAAUGAAAGUAUGAUAACUAAAUUAAUUUUUUUUUUCACAUUAACAAACUAAAUUAAACAAAAAAAAAAGUCAAGUGUUUCAUUGUGUGCACAGUAAUACAUUAUAUGUAAAAAACAGAAGAAACAAAAGCGAGGAAAAAAAAAACAAAGCUACUACAGUUAAAAAAAAAAGGAAAAGAAAAAAAAAAGGAAAAAAUGCUACAAAAAAAAACCACAAACGAAAAAAAAAUGCCACAGAAGAAAAAACGAAAAAAAAAACAGCUUUAGCUACAGUAAAAAAACAUGACCCGCGCGAUGCUGUAAGUCAAUUUUUUUUGCAUAAAAUUGACGGGUUAACAUGUCAAGCUUGGAAUACGUGUCAUGAAAGUAUGAUAAUUAAAUAGAAAGAAAUUUAACAUUAACAAACUAAACUAAAUGAAAAAAAUUAAUUAAAAAGAAAAAGCAAAAAAAAUAAAAUGUAUAGUUAACCCGUCAAACCAGGUUAACCCGUCAAACUCGGGAUCAAUUAACAAACUAAAUCAAACAAAAAAAAAUUAAAAGAAAAAAAACUAAGAAAGAAGAAAAAAAACCCAUAAAAGCAUAAAAAACCAAAAAAAUACAGAAAAAAAUGAAAACGAAAGUAAUAUAUAUUAUAAUAUAAUACAAUGCUUUCCCCUGCCUUUUAGAGUUCUUUAAUAAUAAUUGGCACUAUAAAAUACAUCCACCAUUCCUCUCAAACACAACUUCUAUAACCAGUACCAUCAAGACCUGCUUAAUAUAGAAAUUAGCUAUUUCUAUUUCUGUUUAUUUCUUCGAGUAAUAUUUUGUUUCUGUGAUUAUGGCUACUGGGCAAGCACCAGGCAACCCCCUUCCAGCUGUGAGAACAUACCCGCCGGUGGAGCAUCCAGUGGUGGUAAUAGGGCCACAGUACCUGGCACAGUACCCUGUUGAACUCGCCGUCUCUACAAAGCUAUGGACUCUUGGAGAGAAUGAUUUUAAAGUGUCUGACAUUAAUGGCACCCUCAUCUUCCAGGUCAAGAGUAAACUCU